GGCAGUGAUGGUAUAUGCCUUCUCUCAAUAUAUGUGAUAUUUGUAGUAUAAGGCAUAGUGACAUUGCCUUCUCUCUCACCCUACUCUAAUAAGGCUUUAAUAUCUGGAGCUCAUAGGUGGGAGAUAAAGUAUACAUACUCACAAGACAUUUAUUGUAUAGUCAAACCAUGGAUCCAAAGAAACAAAUCAUUAAGUCAAAUCAAGAUGUGCAUGUGUGGCGAAUGAAUGGUGUAUGGUGAUGAUGAUGAUAACAAUGGUGAAAGUCUAAUUCUACUUUUGCUCUUUGAGGAAAUACAUACCUUCCUUGCUCUUUGAAACUUUUUGAGGAGAAUGAGAUGCUCUAUCUUCUCUUUUUUCUUUCCUCUCAGGUGGGUAUUUUGUACCCCUAAUUCUACUAUCGGACACUUGUCCAUUUUUACCUCUCGUCUCACUUUUUCUUUUCUUUCGAGGUUCCGGGCAGUUGCCCCUUUUUAUUUCCUCGUAUCCUUUUUUUAGAGCACUCAUCUCUUGAGAUAAUAUAGCAAGUGGUAGUGACAAGAUAAAUUGAGCAUUUAUUUCACAGGGGAAAACAGAAAUGUUUUUGGCUAUUCUCUCCCGGAUUAGGAGUAGAAUAUUUUUGGGUGGUUCUGAAGAUGGAAAUUGGUGGAUAUAUGUGGAUGGUACUUCCAGAGUAGAAGCAGCAUGUGUGAGUGAACGUGCAAGUGAAUCUUGAUUUAACCACAUGACAAGCUCCUAAGGGUCUACACAGCUUGACCACACUCAAUGCUCAUAAGCAGUGAAUAGUAAAUGUGUGGCUCAAAGUCUAGCAAGCAUGUAUAUACGGCUGUGGUAGGAAUUUAAACUCUCAUCAUACAGGAACUCAUCAUGCAAUAUUUUAAAGAUUUUUCAAAGAUAAAAUUCUCCAGAAUUCUAGCAUCUCUAGGAACAGAUAAACAGUAGCUCAACCUUCCCAUAUCAUAUCCGUUAACAACUUAGACUUCAGAUCAAGUUUUCUUCCCACAAGUUUAGGUUUACAGCAAGCUUUAAAUUAUAACAGUUAUGUCUAAACUUGAGAGAGAACUCAAAUUUUAAAAAUUAGGGAGAGCAACUAUUCAUCAUAUCCAUGCUAGAGUUUUAUUAUUAAGAUUCAGUUUAGCAUAGCCACUUUAUUUAUUUAUUAAAUACACUAAGCAAAAGAUAUAUAUAAGCACAAAAUUUUUAUUUGGUUUUCCAUAGUUAUGUAUAUCUAUAUUUUAAUAUAGUAUAAGUAUAAAGAUAGAUAGAAAUACUUAGCGGGAUAAAUGGGGGUGCUCUCCCCCAAGCUGAAUUUUGACGUAAUUUCUUCUGAUGUAGCUAGCAGGUGGCAGAGGUGUAUUGAAAGUCGGCAGUAUCUUGACAGCGAUUAGAAUGUCCUUCGUCUGCUAGUCUUCUUGAUUCUUGAAUUCUAUGGAGCUCAAAUAGACAACAAAGCUUUGUGGAACUGAUUAAGUGUUAGCAUAAAUAUCUAGCCUUUAUCAUGUUGAGCCUCCUCAAUAAAUAUUACUCCCUAUUUUUAUAUUUUCAUUUUAUAAAGCAGAAAAGAAAUAUUUAUUUUAUUUUUAUGCCACCACAGUGAAUGUACUUAUGGGUUUCAUGCCACUCGUAUACUCACAUGGGGCUUACUGUUUUUUAACAUUUUUAUUUUCUUUUUAGAAUAGUACGAACAUCAUUAACUAAGCAAACUGUUUAAAAUAUUUGAAAGGGAAAGGAUAACUACCAAAUUUACCUCUUGGCAAGACGUUCGGUGUUUUUAAGUCCUCCGAACAGGACUCUCUGUUUUCUAGUUGUCCUGGGAUUCGUUGGGUGGCAUAGUCGGUGCUUCCGGCAGCGCCUCCUCUUCAUGUAUAAUUAUCUUCUCUUUCCACACCUGACUCGGUGCUACGGUCUCCUCUAGACAAUUCUGUUUAAACUGUAUGUCUUCUGACCUUACCACUUCUCCUUCAUAGUCUGCCCAUCCGUCCUUGAUGAUCUGCCUCCUCUGGUUGUGGUUGCGUCGUUUUCUUCUUGUCCUGACCUGCUUAGAGUCUUCAACGAUAUAGUUAGGGUCAGUAUACCUUCUCUGAGUGGAAGUGCAUAUGGACUUCUCCAGUUCCAAUGUAGAUGAUUGCUUUAACGGUGCUGAGGAACGGUCUUCCAAGGAUGAUGGGUGGAUCGUAUUCGUCUUCUCCCAUGUCAAUAACCUGCAAGUUUGUGUAGAUAAAAUGAUCGUCUAUUUUGACAGGGGCAUCAGUUACUAUUCCUUUAACCUCUCGAAACGUCCGAUCUGCCAUCUGGAGUUGAAUGUAUGUUGGUUUUAGGGGCAUGGUUCCGAACAUGAGCCGAUAGGUGACUGCGGCCAUUAUGUUGACGCCCGAUCCGGUGUCGCAAGUUGUCUUGUAGAAGUUGUAUCCAUUUAUGGAGCAGUAGAUGCUUGACAUUCCUAGGUCGUCCUUCUUGGUCAGAAACGGUGACUUAAGUUGAUGAUCUUGACCUCCAUGAACUGCAGUGACCAUUUUAGCUGACUCGGUCCACACUUGCUUGUUCCUGUUCCUCCUAUUGGUCCUCUUCCUUGAUUCACGUCUGGAUUGAUCUGGGAUUUGUGUAGUCUUGUUCUUGAAGAAAAAUGUCUCCUUCCUCCCUUUGAUGUAGAAACUGAUCUUGGCAGCACUAGCGUAGAUGACAGCUCCUGAGGUGUUUAAGAAUGGCGUCCCUAAGAUGAUGGGUGCCCUCUCAUCAUUACCGGUCUCUAUCACCACGAAGUCUGCUGGGGCGUAUAAGGUACCAACUCAGACACAAAGGUCCCUCAAUAUUCCUUUUGGAAAACUUAACGUCUGAUCUGCAAACUGCAAACACAUGGUUGUUUCUGAUAAAGGAUAUGUAAAGAAUUUUUCAUAGAGUACCCUGGGCAUAAUGUUGACACUAGAGCCAAAGUCGCAGACUGCUUCUGGGAAGUCCACCAUGCCGAUGGAGAUCGGGAUGACGGGGCGUCCUGGAUCACCUCUCUUGACCGGUAGAAUGUCAGUAGUAACUUCAGUGACGGGGUUACUCCAGUAGUUACCUGUAUCAAACAUGUCUACAAGAUUUGCAGAUUCUAAUCCUUCUGGUUGUGAUGGUAUACCGGGGUUAGUAACAGGAACAGCAGCAGCUAUCUGAUUUAACUGAGAUUCAAUCAUUUUAUUAAAGUUAAUUUGAUUCUUGAUGGCAGUAGAGAAAUUAUCCAUUCUAUUAUUUAUAUUUUCUAGCAUUUUAUCAUUAGAUGCCAAUUUCUUAGAUAGGUUAUCCAUUAGCUUUCCUUGAUUAGACACUAACUCUCUCAGAGGUGGAAAAUUAUUAGUAUUAUUGUAAGAAUUGUUACCUUGAUAAUUACCUGAGUAGUUAGGGCUCUGUUGAUUCCAACCUUGAUUUUGUUGAGGACAGUUGUAGUAGUAGUAGUUGUUGUUGUUGAUGUAGUGCACAUCCUCAAGUAUCUCAGGGCAGUGAUUGCUUGAGUGUCCAGUAUCUCCACACUCCUCACAAGUCAUGUGAGAGUCGUAGAUGUGCAUAACUUCUUUCUUAUCUCCACCUCUAUCAUCGAGCUUCUUCAUGAGCAGGUCUAGCUUUGCAGACAGCAUGUCUACCUCCUUGAGCUGAUGCAUACCUCCACCUCUCUUGCGUGUCUGGGUCCUCUCUUCAUUCCAGCUUUGAUUGGACGCCAUCUUCUCCACAAGAGCUGUGGCUUGUGAUAUAGUAAGUGAUAGGAAUGCUCCUCUAACUGUAGCAUCCAUGGUUUCUCAGGCACUGUUGCCGAGCCCAUGAUAAAAUGUCUGCAUCAGUAGCCAACUCUCCAUUCCAUGAUGGGGACAUUCUAGGAUGUAGUCUUGGAAGCGCUCCCAUGCUUCUGGAACAGAUUCAUCAUGUUGUUGCUGAAAACUUGUAAUCUUCCCACGGAGAGCAUUGGUCUUGCCCAUGGGAAAGAACUUAGCCAGAAAGUUCGUGGAGCAAAGUGCCCACGUAGUAUUCUUCUCCUUUGUAGUGUAGAACCACUGCUUCGCUCUUCCUAACAGUGAGAAUGGGAAGAGGCAAAGUAGUAUAGCAUCUUUGGGGACUCCUGAUAUGGUGAAUGUGCUGCAAAUCUCCAGGAAGUGUUGGAGAUGAGCACUAGCAUAUUCGUGUGCCUUCCCACAGAACUGGUUGGAUUGCACCAUGUUGAUAAGUCCAGGCUUGAGCUCAAAGUUGCCAUCGAUCUCUGCAGCAGCUCCAAUGCGGAUGUUGUCCGUAGUGGGAGCUGAGAACUCACGGAUCGAUUUGUUCGCCAUGGCUUCGAAUUCUGAAGACAAGUUCCGGUGAUCUUCUUGAUUGGAUGAAGCUUCUUGCUGAAGUGUUGAUGAUUUCUUCUUAAGCUUGGCUCUUGUUUUUCUGAAUAAUGCUUCGGGAUUGUCAACAAAAUUUCCUGGAAGAUGUCUUCUAUUCAUACAUUACCCUGCAUAAGAUAAAACAGAAAAAUAUCGGGGUAAAACUGUAAGAGAGAAUUGAUAAGCUCAAUCAUAUUAGUGAUGCGAAUGAUAACUCAAAAUUCUAUAUUCAUUCCUGAUUAGUAAUCAACCUUCCCCGGCAACGGCAUCAAAAAUGCUUGUUGGGUAUUCUUAACAUCAUUACCAAAAGUAGACUUAGUUUUCUAAUUCUGAUAAUGGUGCCAAAAAUGCCAAACCUAUCCCUCAUACCACUUAAGCCAAGUUGUCAUCCCCAUCAUGACAUGAGAGACACGGUAUUGAAAUAUGCAAUUGCUCAUCUAAAUAAAUUAUGAAUGGGAUCUGCAAGCGCACAGAUUAAUACUGAUGUCGCAUUUUAACCGGGAAGUAUUCCAGGUAUCGUUAUUUAUAUUUUUACCACUAGGAAGGGAUUAGCAAUCAUCAAUGUUGAUUAUAGAAUGGAAUAUAAGAUUGAGUAUCUAUCAUUGCAUGUAUAAUUGAGAACACUUAUCUAACUCUUUCAUAUAGGGAUAAGUGUCACAUAAAAGAUAUAUAAAGUAAUGAAUAGUGACAAAGAUAAUUAAUCUGAUCAGCAUAACUUAGCCACAUAAUAAAUAUGAUAAGCACCUCAAUUAGAUAUUCUAGAAAGUCAUUAGCAUGGAAUUAGGACGAACUACAAGAAUAUUUCCUAAGUUAUUCUUAACUAUACAGUCUAGCAUUAUCAUAGUUAGUGCAAGCAUACUUAGCAAUCAUUGCGAGACAAGACUACGCCCAUGCAUAGUGAUAUUAGCAAGGAAUAUGAGAAACAUUGUAAUCAUUCCCUGUAAUAAUGUUGCUCUGCCAGCCCAAUACACGAGAGGGGGACUAUAUAAGAAUCAAUGAAGCUGUCACUAUCACGAACUACCCCACGAUCUGGCAUAUUGGGUACAAUCGCAGAUAAAUACGGUAUAAGCACCACGCCUACACAAUAUCUAUCAUUUACCCAUGGAUCCGAUGGAUAAACGCUAUAUGAUCCUAAACAUGUAUAUAGAUCCAAUCUAACUAAGCCAAGUAUAUUAUUAUGAUAAACUAUGAACAAUAUAAUCUUGAAUAUAAACAAGUAGAUCAAAGUCAUAAGCAAUAUAUUGAAGUAGAACAAAGUCAUAUUCAUAAUAUUGAAGAACAAAGAUGAACAAUUAGAAGAACAAUUAGAGAAUUACCAAGAAUCCUCUUGACAGAUCUGGAAACCAAUCGAAGAUGGACUCCUUCUAGUUCUAAUCCUAUGUAGCUAUGCUAAUCUAGAUGUCUAAUUGAUGUGGUGACUCUAGGCUUGAUCAUAGGCUUCUUCUCUCUUGAGGAAUAAUGAAUUGGGGUUGAGAGGCUCUCUCCUCCAGGGGCCAGGGGGUCUGGUUUUAUAGUCCUUCUAAGUGAAUAUGAGCCGUCGGAUCAAACCGACAUUGAUUGAACGGUUAUCCUUGAUCCUUUAGGUCGGUGGAGCGUAAUCUCGAAAGAGAGUUCUGAUUGGACUCUAUAGGGGGGCGGGCGCCCUGGUCUCCUGGGCGGGCGCCCUGGGCCAGGCCCCGUUUCGUCUCCGCUUCGUUCCUGUGGCUUCUAGAGUCUUCUAGAUGUAAGAUAAUUGCACGACACGUUAAUAUCUCUAUGUAAUCCCAACGUGUGGGCCUUUCUUCCGUAUUUCCUGAUAACCCCCUGCAGAAAUAGACAAACGUCAAAACUUGUGGAAUUCUGUCAGAUAAAACCCUAAGUCUCGGUGGAUCCUUUUCUUUGUUUAUUUGAUGAUUAUAUUUGAUACUUAAGGACUGUCAACACCGACCACUGAAGAUAGGGUAGCGGGGAAGAGGCCAGUGGCCGCAGAGCCAUCCCCUACGGAGGCAUUGCCGGUGGAGACCAGCCAGGCUCCAAAGCAUCGUCGGCUCGUGAGGAUCACCGACGACGACGACGAUGAGGAGGAGGCUGCACCAUCUUUGCUCCCAAGACCGUGCAGUCAGCCUGACGUCGCGCCAAUCACUCCAGGCUGGAUGACCAGUGAUCCUCCUGCCCCACACGCCGAGCCAACAUGACUUGGGGCAGCAGAAGCUUCAGCGGCGACCGGUAGGACCAGGAGGAGGUUCUUCGCAGCGACGCACAGGAGCUCCGACCUGUGAGUUUCACAACUUGUCUUCUGCGCUUCCUUCCCCCCUUUUUUUACUUUGCAAGUUGUGAUGUCAGCAUGAUAUCUUCUUUUGUCAGUGCGGCGUGGGAUGUUGACCCGGGCAACAUCGCCGGCCAGAAAACGGCCGAGCCAGCGGUUGUCGUCGAAAAUGCCGCCCCGCAGACCACCCAGGAACAAACCGAGGAGCAGCCUACGGUAGUGACUGCGGCGGAGACUGCCGAGGAGGGCCCGGCUCAGGCGAGGACCGGAGCGAGCACCCCUGCAAGGGAUGAUGAGGCUACAAGGACGCCUCCCCCAAGCAGUGUCGCAGAGGAGGGAGACAGAGCCCCGACUCCCCCGCCCGCUGAAGAAAGAAGGGCCCCAACUCCACCCCGGGAGGAGGCUUCUUCACCAAAGGGCUCCCCUGGUCGGGGUAAGGGUCCUGUGAUACCUGUUACCACGGCUGGGGGUAGCGCGGAGGGUGAGGAGGCCCAGGCGACCUCCGACGACAAGAUGGAGGAGAUCCAGGGGCGCCCCCAGGAUGGUCGCCAACAUGUUUUCGUGUGGCGCCAACGUGGGGACCACUUCAUCGGUCAUGAAGAGCUCGCCGAGACAAAGGAGGCGGCCAGAGUAGAGUGCGCUGCCAAGCGGCUCGUCAAAGAAGUCAAGGUAAGUGUUCUUGUGUUCUGCCCAAAAUGUGUAUGUACUGUUGUUUGCUUCUCAAUACAUGUAAUUCCUGCAGGGCGCAAUGAAAACGGCGAAGUACCGAAAGAGGUGCUUCGACCAAAUUGAAGGGGUCAUGGCCAAGAAUAAGGCCCUGGCCACUGAAGUGGACCGCCUUCGGUCAGAAGCCAAGGAGAAGGCGGCCGAGAAGGCGGCUCAGGAGGAGCGCCUGCUCGAUCUUAACCGGCGACUAGCCGACAAGGAUCGGGAGAAGAAAGGUAAGUCAUGCGUUCCGAGCAGCUGUAGGUUGACUACGCGAUUGGUUUUGUUGACCAGCGACUAUUUCUACAGAUCUGGAGGAGGAGAUUUUGCGCCUCUGAGAAGAAAGGGAGCGACUCGACCAGGAGCGUACCGGCGCACUGGAGGCCGGGCGUCGGGCUGGCGAGGAGCUGAAGAACAAGAGUCGAGAAUUGGCUGGUAAGAGUCGUUUCGCCCUUUGUUGACUACGCAAUGUUCCUCUUGUCGUGUUUGUAAUGACUGCUUGCUUGUUUCUCUUUGAAAAUUCUGUUAUAGUGCUUACAGUCAACACCAAGAAGCACCUCAAUGAGCUGGUCAAGGACCGGGACUCCUGGAAGACCAACUGCAUCAAGAUCUGGAAAGUAGUGGCCCCAGUUCUGGACUUGAUCAACCCUGAGCUCCCCGAAGACCAGCCCCGUGCACCGAGGCUGACCUCGGUCGAGAAGGCGCAGCAGGCGUGGGGUUGGCUUCUGCAAUUUGUCAAGGACGCCGGGAAGUUUGCCAGGGCGCACGUCCUCAGCAUGGUGCGUGCCCACUACCCCCUGGUCGACUUGUCCCGGCUAGAGAGGGGGUAUCCCAAGGAGGUUGGUCCGCAGGAGGCCGAUGAACUUCGUGUCAGCCUGCUCGACCUGUCGUCGACAGUGAUCGGCGACAUAAACCUUUGUGGGACGUCAACUCCCCACAAUCAACCAGGAUCAGAUAGGUCGGCCAGGGAGUUGUCGGGGGUGUCCAUUGCAGGAGAUGGACGGUCGACGCCUGCGGUCUCGACCAGCCAGACGCCGGUGGCCCCGACCCCUUCGACUGGGCAGCAGAGCCGUGCGGGUGAUCAGCCCGAGCAGUAGGCCUGUAAAGUAGUCUGUAGGAGUAGACUAGAGACCGCCCAGAGGGGUGUUUAUUGUAAACUUUGUUCAUAAAGUUUGUAAUAAAGCUUAAUUUAUCAUAACCAUGGUUUUGAGCGCUGUAAUAUUGUUUGAGUGACGCAUUGUUGAGUCAAGUUGAAGACUUGUGAGGAUCUUUGUCCUUGAAAGUAAUUGUAGUACUUGUCGAAUACUCUGCGUAUGAAAAAGCAUAUAGCAAGAAAGACAAAUUUUGUUAUUACUCAUCACAAAAGGUUUACAAAUGAAAUGUGCUGGAACUUAGGGAUAGAAACGGCGCAGUUUUUCUAUGUGCCAGGAGUUGGGCAAGCGUGUUCCAUCUGGGUACGCCAGUCUAUAAGAUGCAGGGUGUGUGACUUUGGUGACCACAAAGGGUCCUUCCUAGGGUGUAGAUAACUUGUGCAUUCCUUCCUGGCUUGUUUUUCACUUGAGUACCAAAUCACCGACCACGAAAGAGCGGUCUUUGACGUUCCUGUUGUGGUACCGCCUAAUAGCUUUGAGGUACUUUGUUGUUCGAAGGCAUGAGAUUAAGCGCUUUUCUUCUGUGCAGUUGAUUUCGAGCUCUUUGGCGAGGUCGGCCGAAGGCUGGUCGAAACGUUCGACUCUUGGAUAUCCAAAGACCACGUCCGAAGGGAGCACUGCUUCUGUGCCAUAAACCAUGAAGUUGGGUGAUUCACCCGUGUUGCGACUAGUCUGUGUUCGAAGACCUCAGACCACAGCUGGUAACUCUUUCAUCCAUCAUCUUGGUGCUUUGUCAUUUUCAGUGUAUAGCCUUUUCUUCAAAGCAUCGAUAAUCAUUCCAUUUACUCGCUCCACUUGACCGUUAGCCCACGGAUGGGCUACCGACACGUACUUUAUGACUAUGCCUCUGUCAUCGCAGAAGUCCAAGAAUGUAGUGCCAGUGAACUGGGUGCCCAAGUUAGUAAUUAUGCUGUUGGGGACCCCGAAUCUUUGUAUGAUUUGAUUGAGGAACUCCACAGCCUUCUCGGAAGUUGCUUUGACCAGUGGCAUGUACUCGAUCCAUUUCAAGAAUUUGUCGAUUAGUACGAAGACAAAUUUGAAAUUUCCGGGGGCCGGCUUGAAUGGCCUGUUCAUGUCGAGGCCCCAACAGGCGAAUGGCCAGGACGAUGGAAUUGUCUGAAUCUCGUGAGCAGGUACGUGGGUCCGCUUGGCAAAGAACUGGCAUCCUUCACAGUGUCGGACUAGUUUCUCGACGUCGGUGACUGCAGUUGACCAGUAAAAACCUGCUCGGAAGGCCUUCCCGACCAUUGUUCUGGAAACAGCGUGAUUGCCACAGGACCCGGCGUGUAUGUCGUCCAGGAGCUUGACGCCAUCAUCUUGUGAUCCGCAUUUCAGCAAUACUUCUGAUCUUGCGUUCUUACGCAUGAGUUUGCCUUCAACCAGUAUGUAAUUCUUAGAUCGCCGUAUGAGGCGUUCGUUCUCCGUUUUAUCUUGAAAUCCCGAACCGUCCAAUAGAUACUUGAUGAAGGGAGUACGCCAGUCGUGGCUGCUGGUUGUCGGAGUGGUGUCGUCUAUGAGCAUUGCCUCAUUGGGUUGCUUGUCGACCAGGUCUGUACUGACACUUGGGUUAUGGAUAUCUUGGACAAAAAUGCCUUGCGGGAUCUGGGCCCGGGAUGACCCUAUCUUUGACAACGCAUUUGUUGCCUGGUUCUUGUCCCGGACCACAUGGAUGUAUUCUAUGCUGUAAAAAUUGGAUUCCCAUUUUCGGAUUUCUUUGCAGUAGAGGUCCAUCUUCUCGUGAGUUGUGUCCCACUCCUUAUUUAACUUGUUGAUGACCAAGGCAGAGUCAUCGUGGACGUAAAGGCGUUUUACUCCCAGUUCGACAGCUAGUCGGAUGCCGUGCAGGCAUGCUUCGUACUCGACGACGUUUUUGGAUGCUGGAAAAAGGAUCCUAAGGACGUAACGAAGUUUGUCCUUGUUUGGCGAGACAAAAAGUAUUCCAGCACCGGCUCCAUUUAUGUUCAAGGAUCUGUCGAAGAACAUUGACCAGUGGUCGGAGACGUCUGGGGAGGGAGGCUCAUUUAGGUCUGUCCAUUCUACAAUGAAGUCGACCAGGGCCUGAGAUUUGAUGGUAGUACGACUCUGAAAAUCUAAAUAAAAUGGACAUAACUCCAUUGCCCAUUUCACAAUCCUUCCGUUGGCUUGCCCAUUUCACAAUCCUUUCGUUGGCGUCUUUGUUGCGCAGAAUGUCCCCCAAUGGAAAACUGGAAGUAACUAGCACCCUGUAUCCGUCGAAGUAGUGCUUCCGCUUUCUUGAGGUGAUUAAGAUGGCGUAGAUUAGCUUUUGUAUCGACGUAAGCCUCAACGAGGUCAUCGCGAAUCUCGUCAUGGAGGCAAUGCUAAAUGGCUCGUUGAUUAGUGGCCUCGGCAUUUUUGAAUUUGAAGGACAUGGUGGUGUAGCAAUAUGCACCGAAAGGGGUAAUAAAGGAUGUUUUGAUCUGUUCGUCUUCCUUUAGUGAAAUCUGGUGGUAACCAGGGUAACAGUCUAGAAAAGAGAGGAGUUCGCAUCCGGCCGUUGAGUCGACCAUCUCGUCGAUGCGAGGGAGACCGAAAGGAUCUUUAGGACAGUGUUUAUUGAGAUCAGUGUAAUCAACGCACAUUCUCCAUUCAUUAUUCUUUUUCUAUACAAGAACCGGAUUGGCAAGCCAAUCGGGAUGAUACACUUCUUUAAUGACUCCGGCUGCUAGAAGCAGUGUUAUUUCUGUCCUAAUAGCCUCCUUUUUGUCACGAGCGAACCGUCGUAGUUUCUGCUUAAUGGGUCUUGCGGUCUUCGAGACGUUUAAGGAGUGCUUGAUCAGGUUUCGUGGGACGCCGGGCAUGUCUGCGGGUUUCCAUGCGAAAACGCUUACGUUGUCCCUUAGAAACCUGACGAGCGCGUCUUCCUAUUUAAGGUCCGGAUUGGCCCCGAUGAGAACCGUCUUCUCGGGGCUACCGUCGACCAGCUGUGCCUCCUUGUGCUCUUUGGAUUUUGAGUUUUUCCUCGGAGUCUCUUGCUCGGGUAGCUGGAGCUGGUCGGGUGGAACUUGUGUAGCUUGGGCUACAGUUUCUGCCAUGCGAAUUGAGAGAUCGAUUGCCUCGGUGAUCUUGAAGCUUUCCUCCUCGCAAGUGUAUGCGGUGUAGACAUUGCCUCUGACGGUUAGGACGCCUUUCUCUGUUGGCAUCUUGAGGACCAGGUAUGAGUAGUGCGGAACUGCCAUGAACUUGGUCAGCGAUGGUCGGCCUAGAAUUGCGUGAUAGGUGCCGUCGAAGUCGGCGACCACAAAGUUGACGAACUUUGUGUGGAAGUGGUCCGGCGUUCCAAACUAGACGAGCAGCGUUAUCUGCCCAAGGGGUACUGAACUUUGGCCUGGUAAGACGCCCCAAAACUGAGCAUCAUACGGCUUUAGUUGCGCCGGGGUUAGCCUGAGGGCAGGCAAGCUGUUGCGGAAAAGGAUGUCAAUGGAGCUGCCUCUGUCAACGAGCACGCGUUCAAAUCUAACGCUGUUUAUGCAAGGGUCCAAGAUCAGAGGGAAACGUCCUGGUUCUAGGAUGGCGGCCCAUUGGUCCUUCCUGUUGAAGGAGUCUCCCUGUGCGACCAGGGAGGAAAUUUCGGGUCGGCGACCAGGCCAUCUGCGCUGUCUACAUUGAGGCAGGCUCUCUUCAGGAGCAUUCUCUCUCGUUUAGACUCGAUGGAAACUUUGCCUCCGAAGAUGGAGUGCACCACGUCGAUGGGACUGACAUACUGGUGUCGUGGGUCCCUAUCCUGGUCGUCGUCUUUGUCUUCGUGACCAUGUUUGUCUUGUUUUCCGUUUUUCUUGGCGGAAUCCCCUUGAGCAGCCCGCUGUGUGUAGAUGCUUUUGAGGACACGGCAUUCUUUCAUCGUGUGAUUGGACUUGGGAUGGAGUUGGCAUGGUCCUUUCAGCGUCUUGUUAUAGUCUUCCUGGUAGUCUCGCCGCCCAUUGGGGCGCUUGACUGUGUUCACCUCGUGGUCGUGGUCACGAGGUCACUUGCCCCUAAAAUCGUCGUGGUUGUCACGUCGCCUGUCCCAUCCUUCUCGGUGGUCGCGAUUGUCACCGCGGCGAGGGUUCCGGUUGUCGAAGCGUCCAUGACUGUCGUCUCAUCAGGGAGGCUGGUCGGCGCCUCUCGCAUCUUCUCGGAUGAGUUUUUCUGCGUCAUCGGCAUCAGCGUAGUUUUUUGCGCAGUAGCUUAUUCCUUAGUGCUUCGUGGAAGCGUAGACCUUUGAUGAAGGCUUAUAUGGCCUCAUCGUAAGAAAUUUUUGGAAUCUUAAGGCGCAUAUCCGAGAACCGUCGGACGUAAUCGCGCAGGGGCUCGUUCUUCCUAUCCCUUAUUCUCUCGAGAUCGUAUUUGUUCCCAGGCUGUUCGCAGGUAGCGAUGAAAUUGUCAAUAAACGCCUAGCGCAGCUCUUCCUAGGAGUCAAAGGAGUCCUCGGGCAGGUCGAGGAGCCACUAAUGGCCAGCCUGGUCAAGGACGACUGGGAAGUAAUUUGCCAUGACAUGCUCGUCUGCUGCUGCUGACCGGACUGCGAUCUCAUAGAGAGUAAUCCAGUUUUUAGGGUUUUCCUUGCCGUCAUAUUUUUUAAACUUCUCGAGCUUAAAGUUGCGGGGCCAUACGACUUGGCGAAGGUGUGAAGAGAACUGUCUUUGGCCGAGGGGGCCGUGUGCUGCAUCGUACUCAAUGCGUUGUAGGUUUUCGUGUACCGCUCUUUCCGUAGCGCGCCUGUUGAUGCGGUCGCGGGCAUCCUUGGGAGGGAUGUUGUAGCGCAGAUCCCUGUCCAGGUUUACUUCCUGACCACGCCCGCGUCUCUACUCGCGGUAACCGCACGAGUCCUGAACACGGUUGUCGCGUCCAGCAAUCUUCCUGCGACCGUCGGGGGAGCGGCUAUGAUGGCGCCCGCUGGGUCGUGGUGAAGUCCGGCUGCGAUGAGUCUGGUCGGAAGAAACCUCCGUGUAGAAGAUGGCUUGGACCCUUUUGAGCAAGGUGGCUGUCUGUCCCAUCGCGGCGAUCAUGUGUGCUCGUAUACUGGAUCGGACGCCCUGGCACUCUGGGGUAUCAGGGAGUCGGUCCAGGUUUGCCAUGGCAACAGCCACGUUAGCGCUUGGCGCCUUGUAGACUGGCUGAUCUCCGACCAUGUCGAAAGCAUCACUGAGGUUGUGUGGCGCAAAUUGCCGCUCCUCAUCCGCAUACCGCCGAGCACGAUCAGCAUUGCGCUGCUCACGGAGUUGCUUCUGCUCGUCUGUUUCGCCGUCGACAACCGGUUCGUCAUUGCUGACGUUAAAGAUAAGAUCUCCUCGCCGAGGUGGAAAGACUGGGAAUCGAGAAAAACCCGGAGGAUAUGGUGGUAAAUCCAAGACCCUGUGCUGGAGUUCGUACUGGUAGCCUUAUCGUCUGGCAGGACUCCGAUGCAUACCAUGUUGACGUAAUGGCGAGAUGUUUGGCUGCUCUGUCCCGGCGACAAGCCCGCCCUGCUGAAAAGAGAUUGGGUGUGCCGCGAAUAGUGGUCGGCCGAGUUGUUUAGACCAUAAGGGCAAUUCUGGUCUUGAGCUGUCUUGAGCUUGACGGACCAUCCCGUGGGGGUCGACGUUAUUGUUAGGGACGUCUCCAGCUGUUCGUGCGUGGUGACACGAGUUGGUCGGCAGGAGUCGAAAAAGUUUGUUGACGCCGCCUGAUCGGGUUUGCGCAAGAUGGAAUCCACCAAGUUGGAGACUUCGAGGAGCCUGAGGUCGGCGCGAUCGAGGGCUUGGAGAAGAUCCGAGUUGUCGACCCUCUUUGCCUCGUAACGAGGGAGUGGUGGUCGGGUGCUUGGAAUCGGCGUGAUCGAAGUCGACGCCUCUGCUGCCCCAGAUUGAAUCUGGGUUUCCUCCGAAGUCGUGGUCGCCGGGCCGCCGCCACGAGUCGUCCACGUGAUCUGGCCGACGGUGAACGUGAGGCCUUCAGCCACGACCGCGGAAGCUGGAACGGUGACCAUCUUGUUCGUCGAGAGAGCUGUACGCACACCCCCUAUCUGGCGCGCCACUGUCGACGAAAGCUAGUCGGCAGUCUACCCUGGGGUAUACCCACGACAGUAGUUUAUCGGUAGACGGUGCGCAAGCUAUGAACUUGAUGGUGACACAAGACACGGACAAGGUUUUUAUCCAGGUUCGGCCGCCGUGUGGGCGUAAUACCUACGUCCUGCGUCUGGUUGUAUUGGAUUGUGUUAAGAUAAUCUCUCCUAGGGGGUCCCUUGCCUCUCCUUAUAUAGUCCAGAGGGCAGGGUUACAGAUCUGGAAACUAAUCCUAGUCAGUUACAAUUGCCAUAGAUACUACAAUAUCAAUUCCUAUUCCAACCGACUAGAAUCCUGCUUGAUCUCCACGUCUUGUUUCCUUGUGUGAAACUCCGAGCAGUUAGAUCAAGGCUCAAACUGUCUCGUGAUGGGCCAAGCCUCCUGGCCCAAGUCUAGCCGUAAGGGUAUAGGAGUUUAUACUCCCACAUACAUACAGUAUAUGAGUACACCCAAACCAAAGCAUACGACAUAAUUAAAGGAAGUAUAACUUUAUAUGAGCAGGUUUUUUUCAUGGAGAUAAAUAUGAGUAAAUGGGAAGUAUAAUUAAAGGAACAUUUUAUUUACCAUUGCAUACCUGAGUUUUUCUUACAAGCAGCAUGUGGAUGGAGUCUCUGAAGCUGCUGCAACGGUUGCUUGAUUGGCCAUGGUCCAACUCAGGCACAACCACAAGGCUUGGCCAUACACACAUAUAGUGUACAUAAACUAUAGGCCAUAGUGGUAGCAAAGGUCAUGAAGAGGAGAAUGCUCCUUCUUUCUUCUUAUUAUGUAUAUCAAUCAUUCUCUUUUUUAUAUAUAUAUAUAUAUAUAUAUAUAUAUAUAUAUUCAGUAUUUGUGUUUCAGUAUUGUUCAGUAUUUCGUGGUUCUGAGUGUUGGACAAGUUUAUACUAAACACUCUCCGGUACUGCUCAGUAUUUUUUCUACUCAGUUUUGACUUGCGGUGUAGAAUAAUAUUCUACACCUAGGGUGUAGAAUAGCGCUACCGUAUAUAUAUAUAUAUAUAUAUAUACAAGUGCUAUUCUACACCCUAGGUGUAGAAUACUAUUCUACACCAAACUACUAUACUGAAUAGAUUUCAGUAUCGUUCAGUAUCCGCAUUUCAGUAUUGUUCAGUAUUUCGUGGUCCUAAGUGUAGUGUUGGAUGAUACUGAACACUCUCCAGUACUGCUCAGUAUUUUUUCUGCUCAAAUUUGGCUUGCGGUGUAGAAUAAUAUUCUACACCUAGGUGUAGAAUAGCGCUACCGUGUAUAAUAUAUAUAUAUAUAUAUAUAUAUUAUUUCUCUCUCUUUUUUACAAGGUAGAGCUCACGUCUCUCUCUCUCUUUUAGGAUGCCCUUUUGGUGUGGAUGGAACUCUAUUGAAAUUUUCACCACUCUCCCCACACUUGACUUUUGUGUAAAAGUCAAGUGUGGAAUGUUGUGUGUUUCCCUUCAAAUGUGUUCCAUCACCAAAGGUCAUCACACAACAAUUUAGAUGAUGUAGCUCUCACGCUCUCUAGCAUCGUAUGCUCCUUUGUUCUUCUUGGUCUAAACAUAAAUUGGUUAGUGACAAAAAUACCCAAAGGUGCAUACUAACUUUUGAUUACAUGUUCUUGCUUUUAUUAAUAAGAGAGUUUGUUUUUAUGAUAAACCCUUUUUUGGAUUAAAGAUUAUAUAUUUAUGAUAAUCUGGGGUAUCUCCUGUAGUGCUUAAUUUAUGGUCUUAAGCUUAACUGUGGGAACUUUCUCUUGUAGCUAUCAGUGGUGGUGUAGUUCCCAACUUUACCACGAAGCAUAAAACAUUAUGGCUCAAGCUGCAAGGUUACCAUCAUAGUGCAACCAUGAGAUCUACAGUAUUUGUGGUACCAUAGGCAUCUGCAAUCACUCACUUGGGAUCCUCGUGAAAGUGCAUGGUACUAAGCAAUGAACUCUUGAGACCUCAAAACUGAGCAUAAAGCAUGAGGGGUCUCGAAAUAGAAGAAACUUUCAUGCUCAAAUGUGAAAACUUUCUCCUUAGUCUCCAGUUCGUGUUUUAGGCAUGUCCAUAUCAAUACAACUAGGCAUCUAGCGCAAUGGUAAAGACCCUGCAUUCCAUCCUCAAGGUCCCAGGUUCGACUCCAGGCAUUGAGGUUUUUUUGAAUUUAUUAGACCCCGAUGGCACAAAAGGUACAAGUCUUCAGGUCCCACAGGUCGGAUGAAGAUGGAGAAAGGUCCCACAGGUACACCUGACACGUGAGCAUCCCAUAGGUCUGAUGGUCCCACAGGUGCACAUAACACACAAGUCGUUAGGUCCCACAGGUCGGAUGGAGAUGGAGAAUGGUCCCACAUGUACAUGUGACAUGUAAGUCAUCGGGUCCCACAGGUCGGAUACUGAAGGGCCCUGUAGGUACAUCCGAGCUAAGACUUUUAUGAUGAAUUGCAAGCGUCACGGAUCAGUAACUAUAGGUCCCACAGGUACAUGCCAGAUGGAGAAGGAUCCCACAGGUACACACAUUACAAGAACUAGGUAAAUUCCCCGCGCGUUGUUGUGGGAUUUUCUUAAAAAUAAAUCAUUAUAUACAUAGCAUUACUUUAUAGCAUUCAAUCUAUUAUGUAUGUAUACAUAUGAUUUUGACUUGCAUGUAUUUUAUUGUAUUAGAUCUAGUAAAAAUUGCUAAGCUAAUAGAACAAAAACUAAUAUUUGGUUACAUUAUAGAGGAAUUAAUUGGUGAUGAAACGAAUAGUGUAUGUACAUGACUUGUAUGUUAAUAGAUUAAAGAUUUAAAGUAUUUUACAUGAUAUAGAUGAUAUGGUUAUUUUUUAUAAUUAAUAUGGGAUGACAUGGACUUAGUGGGGAAUGAUGUGGACACUUUGCAUGAAGAGAUAGAAUAUUUAGUGGGUCACUUAGUGGGGAAUGAUGUGGACACUUUGCAUGAAGAGAGAAUUCAUCUAGUGGGGUUUAGCUUUAUAAGAGUUAUAGAUUCUAGGAUUCUAUGACAAUUAGAUUAUGACGAAUAUAGCAUGUUUUCUCUCACUGCCUGCCUAUAGUGGCGAAGUGACUGUCGUCAGAAGGUGGGUCACUAACCACCUUCUGUGACCACCAGAGGACUUUGUCACUGAUACAGUGACGAUGUUCUCAUGUCAUUGAUACAAUGACGAGACUAAAAUGUCAUAACAAAUUAAAUAGAAUAACACCAUAUAUAUGAUGACAUGGCAGAUGACAUGGCUAAUGAUGUGGCAAAAAACAUUUGGCCCAUUAGGAAUGGGCUUUUUUCAUUAAUUAGGACCAACCUAGUUGGCCCACAUGUUGACAAAAACUUUUUGGCCCAGUUAUAAAUUGGCAUGUUUUUCCUUUAAGCCCAAUAUUAUUAUAAUACAUGUACGUCGCAUGGAGAAAGGACCGAGCGGAGACUUUAUGACAAAUUGUAAGCAUCACAGAUGAGUAACUACAGGUCCCACUGGUACAUGUCGGAUGCAGAAACUAGCGUGUGGAGAUCUAUGAUGAAGUCAUUCAUUAUGGAUCGAAUAUUGUUCGUUCCACAUGUGUAAUUAGUUCAAUGAUGAAGCCUUGUUCGUCACAAUAUUAAAUAAGGUCGUUACAGAUGAGUCGCACGAGUGAUCUAUGAUGAAACCCUUAGCUCUUCUAUGACGUUUUUUGUGACGACUCCUGAUUUCAUCAUGGAUAAGGGGAUUCAAAGAUCGUCACCGAUAAUCUAUGACGAAACCAAAAUUUUCGUCAUAGAAAGCGAUCUUAUAUGACGAUUUGGCAUCUAGCAUUAAGAAAAUCAUUAUAGAAGUAUUAUAGAAGUGGAGAUUUCUACUAGUGUCUAUAGCCUAGCCAAUAUCCUAUUCACCAAAGUACUUUCUCUGUCCUUUUUAAAAUCCUUCUCCUCACAAGGGUAUGUGCUACAUCCUAUUGAAUUGGAUAAAGUGAGCUCUCGUCCAACCUCAUCCCAGUUGCUCCAUCUCAUUCCUUGUGUUACCCACCUUAUCCACCUCCAAUUUAUUUAGGGUCUAUUUAGUUUACUUUACUAAAUUUUAGCGAGCUAAAACUAUUUUAGCUACUCUUGCAUGACUGGUGGGACUAAACUAUUUUAGCUUCUUUUUAGUCAGUGUGUUUAGAAGUUUAACUACUAAAGUGACUAAGUUUAGGUAGCUAAAAUUUAGCAAGAGGAACCAAACUGGCCCUUAUAAUAUCUCCACAUAUGAUUAUUGUAUCCUUCACAGGGUUUCCCCUUCUUCUAUAAGAUGUGUGGUGCAGACCCUCUCUUCCCCUCAACUCCUCUGUUAACAUAGGCAUCGAUUCUUCCAUUCGCCCCCCCCCCCCCACCCCCUAAUCCCCCUACCAAAUCCCCUCUCGACAUCACAAGUUUUGUUAAAUUCAUCUUUCUCCAACCCACCAUUCUCCUCAAAGGAAAUUUCACGUGCUACACCCUUAGGCUUUUAGCGGUUUAGAUUUUUUUCAGAGGGCUUGUAACUUCAUUAUAGGUCACUAUCUAUGCUUCGUUUGACCAGGAAGAAGUCAUUUUAUUCUUCUCCAUUCCCAAACUAUCACUAUUCCCAGAUUUCUAAUGUCCCUCCCCCCUCCUGAAUUACUCCCAUUUGACCCUUUAUUCUGAGUACAUAGGCCACUCUUUUCUACAUGAAGGAUUAACCUGCAACCAGUCUCUGUUCUGUUUCUUGCCACAGAUCUCACACUCUAUCAAUAAUGACCCAACAAUCCACAAACAUAGCAAAAGAUUGGGAGAAAUUCAUAUUUGGUUGGGCACCAACAAUCCUUUCCCCCAACUAUUGAUCCAUCAUCAUCACCCCACAAAGCCUUGCCAAUAUCCAACUUAACUUCAAUUCUGAGAUCCAUCAGCAUCCAGGGGGGUCUCUCACACCUUGUCAAUGAUCUCCUUUCCAGUGGAAUCAUUCAUCAGGCCAAGUGAUAGAUUGAAUACGUGAAUCCAUGUCAACAUGUAUACAAACUCCAGACCAUGUUUCUUGCCAUCAAAACCCAGCACCACAAACAAAACACAGCCAAACUCCCACAACCCCUCAUUUUUUGCCCGCCGCUCAGCCCAGUUGCAAGAAGGAAAAUAGUAAGAGAUUCUCACAUAAUUCCUUACACCGGACUCCCCUCAGAGGGCACCAAAUUUUCCACAAUGUUUGGCUCAUCCCUUAUAUGUGGCUAGGUUUUGCUGAGAAUAGCUUCCCCACUGCCUAUACCUCCAUCAGUCACCGACAUCUUGCAAGCAAACCCACAAUUCUCCCCAGAGAACUUCAGACCCACCAUGAGCCCCUCAAGCUCCUCCAUGCCACCACCAUCUCUCUUUGAACUCCCCACCAGGGCCAUUGUAUGCGUUAGAAGUAACUGAGAAGAGGAGGAAAGAGUAGCAAUUCAAGAGUCGGAUAAGGUAAAGUGUAUGUUGUGGAUGGGACAAGAUUUGAGCAUAUUGAACAAUUUAGGCUUGAUUUUGGUGUAGAAACUAGUUCAGAGCACAGGGGUUUGAGACCUCACUAGAGAGACUUAUCUACCUGGCUCCAAAAACUUCAAAUUUAGAAAUUGAUUUGUUCAGAGACAAGUCAAGUGUAAUUGAAGAAACCUUGCCAUUAUCAGAAGACGCCUUAUAAACUGGACAAACAAUAAUAAGCUAGCCACAUCUGCUAUAACAAGAAGCAAAAUAUCAUAUGCCAUUGUUAAGGACGAGUAUUUUUAGCCUCGUCAAGGAAUCCUAUUAACAAAAGUUACAUUGAAUCCUUUCACAUAUGCCAUCCAAAAUAAGGCUGCCCAAGGUCCACCAAGAUACAUGGAACCAGUCCAACACAACACGACAAACAGAGAACAAUAAUUGAAUCAAUAUGCUUCUAAACUAAGAGGAUUCUAUGUACAACCGUCUCAAACACGAGCUUCCUAUAUGUCAUGCGUAGACAAUCAAUAUGAGAAUCAACCAUCGCCGGGCCUAACUAGGACUCCGGAGCAAAUUGCACUCUUCUGCAAAGCAUAAAAAUACCAAAUAGAGGCCCCCAAGCAUAUUAGAGAAGCUGCUGCCGGAGUUGUUGGUUCUCCCUUCUUAGUUGCUGCACUUCUUUUGUCAGGCCUUCCACCUUUUCCAUGACCAAGUUCAGCACGCCUGACAUUUCCAUCUGCUUCUCGCAGAAAGGUUCAUUACGUCAAAAAAGAAUGUAUUAAAACAAAGGGUAAACAAAAAGAUUGAGCACAUAGAGCGAACAAGCAAUUCAAAAUCAUAAGUAUGGGUUCAACGAACUAAAAUGACAAAUGUGCAAAUCUCAUCUAGGGUCGACAACUUAUGAUUGUGCCAAAGGAAUGCAUGACAAAAAAAAAAUAGCAAGCUGCCUUUCUCUUUCAAAACAAAAGAAAAAUAAGAGCAAUAGUUUAUUUUAUUGGUAAAUAUCCUAGUGUUUACUUAAAAACAGAUCAGAUAGACAUGGGUAAGGGAAGGCUCAACCAGUCUACUGUAUAUGCUUUCAUUUCUUUCCCGUGGGUGUAGAAACAAAAAGAGCUCCUUACAUAAAAAAAUCACUAGAGUAUGAAUAUUGAAUAGAAAAAAAAUCAAAUGCAUACUAUAGAAUCAUGAUGAAAAAACAUUUCAAAUGCAAACUAGUCUACUAGAUCAUCGUUUUCAUCGUACAUUCAGUAAUAAAACAAGAUAAAUCUUCAAUAAAGUUGUAGUACAUUUCGGACAAAGAAAAAAGCAACCUCUCACAAAACGUUGCACACAGUGAGAAAUUCUACUAUGAACGCCGAUAACACGCAACGGGUUGCCUAUUAACGAUUGCACGACCCCCAUCGCUUUCCCAAUCGGCGCGACACCCACCACCCUGCCAUGGCGCGAUAAUGUCUCGCAGGAGCUCCACGGCAGCGGCAGUGGCCAGAAGCUUCGACGAGACCCUAUCGCGCCUGCGGUAACCUCCUUCCCCUCCCCACACUGCCGCCAUGGCCAUGGUUGCCCCCGCCCCAACCCUGCCCGGCCGCCUCCUCCGCUCCCCGCUCCGGCGGUGUCACCGCCGCCUCCGCCUCGCCGCCGUCUCUGCCAUCCCCACCGCCGGACCUGGCUGCCUCCCUCUACCCUGUUUCUAAACCCACCGGAGAUGGAGAAGAGAGGGAGAGGGAGAGAAGAGAAGGAGAUGAAAACUAUUGGGCAUCGUGCGAUACAACCAGAGCGCGACAGGUUGUCAGAUAGAUUUUGCGUUCUACAAUAGCCGCAAGAAACCAUACUUUUGAACAGAACUACCAGUUCUAUUUUGCAGAGUCUGCACAAGCUUUUCUCACUUCAAUGGGGCAAGAAAACAGGCACACCAUGAUCAUUGUAAAACUACAGGUUCAGGUAAUCAGGUGUUUUCUACAACAGAACAAAAGAGGUUUUCUGAAACUACAGAGCAGCAAUGUGUGGUUCUGUGAAAUGGCUUCAAAACUAGUGUGGAUAUUUGACAGAAACCACGAACUAUGUGUUUCCAAGAAAUUAAUUGAGAAAAAUUGGGAGUGUGCUGAUUAGACAUUUGUGUUUCGCAGCAGCAAGUUCAUAACUGUAUCUUUAUACAUUAUAUAAACAACUAAAAUAGUAUCUACAGGAUUUGAUAUCAUGUAACCUUCCUGAACUUUAAAAUCCUUUAACUUUCAAGAUUUAAAAGGCAUUGAUUUCAAAAAGAGGAAGUUAAUUAACUCUAAUGAAUGUGUUUAUCUGAGCUCCAACGUUAUGGUUUAACUCUCCUUUUUUUGAAUUUCUAAUGAAUUUUUACUUAAGGUGAAUUAUGCAGAUAUAUCUUGAGUUCAGAACAAAUGACAUCAUUGACACAUAGGCUAAUAAACCUAUGCCUCCUCAGGGAGACUCUAAACUCAUAAAGCCAACAACCUGCCUCAAUCAUAAGGUGGUUAGCCACUACAGCCAUUAUAGUGGAAGGACAUGCAGGUGCAAGAAACUGAAUAUUCAUGCAACUAAUACAGUAUUUCAGAAGGAUGCAGUUAGCAUGGCAAAGGAAAGUACUAGUAGUAGAGAAAAAAAUAAAAAUAAAAUCAGGGUGCAGUUAUCACAAUAUGUCCACUACAUUAAAUUAUUUCUGUAUGAAAAAAAAAACAGUGCAGCUUUACUGUUGCUUGCACUAGCCUUAUCAUGUAUUAGGCCUUAUGAAACACAAGGCAGCAUAAACAUAUGCAAUAUAUGUUGGUGUUUGGUUGUUCUGCACAUGCAAGCUGUGUUUAGUAAGAUUGUGUUUGACUGCUUAUAUUUUGUUGCACGUGAUCACCUCCAUGUUCUAGUAGAAGUGGGCAAGGUGAAGAUUCCAUUUUUGUGGGCCUCAUCAACUUGUACAAGCAUGUACUUCCUACAUCCCAAAUUGUAAGUAGGGAUGAAAAUGGAUCGGAUAUAUACGGAUAUCACUGAUAUCAUAUUUGUUUUCAUAUUUUUGGUCGGAUUCGGAUUCGAAUACGAAUAAUGUUAACAAUGUCGGAUAAGAUACGAUUGGAUGUCGACAUCAUAAAUUUACGAUUUAAGUAUUCAAAUACGAAUACGGUAUCGAAUAUUGAACAUUCGAACUCGGAUACGAACAGAUCAAAACCCCUCUAAACGAAUUCGGUCUCAAAUAUGGUCAAAAAAUAUUCAUACCAUUUUCCCCUAAUUGUAAGUCAUUCCAAGAAUCUUGGAGAGUCAAAGCAUCUAAGUUUGACCAAAUUUAUAUGAUAGGAUAAUAACAUUUAUGAUAUCAACUAAGUAUCAUUAGAUUCUUCAUUAAUUAUAUUUUCAUAGUAUAUCUAUUUGAUGCCACAAAACUUUAUAAUUUUUUCUAUAAUUUUGGUCAAAUUUGAGAUGUUUUGACUCUCCAAGAUUCUUGGAAUAACUUAGAAUUUGGGAUCGAGGGAGUAUUUCCUAAUAUGACCAAAUCUAGCAUACUGACUAAUGCAGCAUUUGGCCUCCUUUGAGCACUGUGCAAGCCUGCAUAGGCCUCUAUGGGACAAAGGUUAACUGCACAAACUAAUUCAGGCAACCAAACACAGCCGAUGAUGCUUCUGUCCACAAAUCUGAUCUAGGUGAGCCCAACAUACAGAACGUAUGAAGAUCUUGCAAGGCAUUGGAGCAGGUUAUAUAGGUGUGUGCCAUUGAGAACAAAACAAAGUCAGCUUAAAAUCCAAUUUGAAUCUAUGAGUCAAAACUAGAAGCACAAAGCAACAUUACCAUAUUGAGCUAGAAAUUUUACCUCCUGCAUGUGAAACUGUCUUAAAAGUUCAAUGUGGAGAUUUCUCACAUCCUCAUGGAUGGUCUUCUGGACAGACCCAAGAGAUUCUUCAAGCAUGCGCUGCACAUACUGAAGUGAGAAGGAAGAAGCGCCAUGUUGGUCAGAUGAAGAACCCGUGUUCGCCAGUUGUGGUGGCACUACCCCCUAAUAAAUAGAAUAUAACAGUUCAGCAAAUCAUGCUGUUAAAACAUUUUAGUCAUACUAGUUGCACUAGUAAACAAGAACUUCUUACAUUGCUUGCUAGAGGGAUUGCAGAUGAAGAGGCAGCUGCUGCUUCUUGUCUUGACAAAAUGCUACUGAGCAACUCAUCUUUUGUUUCUGCUCCUGUCUUCUUUGAUUUUGGUGAACCAAAUGCUGAAGCUAAUCCAUCACUAAAUACAGAUGAUGAGCUCAUUCUAUCAGUAUAUGUUGUGGGUCUCCACAUAGAAGUGGAUUGUGCUGCUCCUGGUUGAUCGGGAAUCACAGAUGGCAUAGCUUUUGAAACAUAUGAGGGAAGAGAACUCUGAAGAUUAGGAGAGGAUGCGUCCAGGGAAGAGUGUGCAUUGCUCAAGAUGCCCUUGUUCUGUAGAUUCAUUAAAAUGUUACUUGCAAGAGAACCCUUCAGUGAGUGACUGGAUGCUGAAGCUGAAUCUUGUAAGGCUGUAAAUGCCAAGCCACCAGUUGGAAAGGCUGAAGACCCAAAGCGUGAGAUAUGCUGACGUUGAGUUAGCCUGUCUGGUAAUGCAUUUCCAGUUGCUACCUCAGGUGAAGAUACAGAUGAGAUGCUAUCCUGUACAAUGCAAACAUGUAUAACAACAUCAGAAAAAAAAGGCUAUAUGGUUUAUAUUUUCAUGAUGAAACAUGUGCCCCCUCAAACAUAAGCAUAUAAGUUUUUCAUGAAGAACCUGUCUUGAAUUUGCAGUAGACCGCCAGUCUGCAAUCGGAUGUGGCUCAUCAUUGCCUUCCAUAUACGAAUACUUCCUGGUUGCCGAAAGUUUCUUUUCUCCUGGUUUAUCAUCCUUUUUUGUAUCAUCACUUCCAUGUUCAUCCCACCAGUUGCCACUAGAUGGUGUGAAAGGCUGGACAUCAACAAGUGGAGAAAAUACAUCCAUAUCAUCCUUAAGAUUAUAGUUACUACGAGGAGCCUGUAGCUUUGCUAACGGUCCACCAGACAGCGGACGAGUUCUAUAUGGAGUUUCCUCCAUAGUAGAAGAAUUUGAGGUCGAAAGAUAGCCACUUGUGUUUGCUGUCAAAGAAGAGCGAAGACUUGUACUGGCCACUCCAGAACCAAGACUUGUAGGUGUUGCUGAAGGCAAGGGAUCUGGCAUAAGAACAGAUUCUUCACUAGUUCCCCCAAGAAGAGCAACUUCAGAAGAACUGUUCUCAUUAACAACGACAGGCUUCGACCGUUGCCAGCAUAAACCUGUCACGGCCUGAAAUUGUAAAUUCAGGAAUGUUAAAAACAAAUUAAAGAGUAGAUUGUGGGAGUAAAAUUUCGUGUAUCAGCCUUUAUUAUGCAAAACUAUCAGUUCAUUUUAAUUAUUAAUUUAUUAAUUUAAAUAAAUAGGACACCUUUCAAUUAUCAGGUUCACAUGACAAUGAUUCAGCAAAAAUACAUAGGAAUGUAUUUCAUUGCCAGAGACUUCUCUCAACUAAAUACAAUUUUAUUUUCAUCCAGGGAUUUGUUGUUUCGAGAAAGAGUACAGAACAUUGUUCAAGAAAAAAAAAAGGACACAGAACUACAAAUGUGACGCAAAAAGGUGAAAAGACCUCCACAUCACAACAAGAAAAGAAAACACUUGUGCCAGUCAUUCAAAGCAAAGAACAAUCAUACUUGAAUUACAUCAGCAAACAGAUGUACCAAGUCAACAACAAUUUGCAGACCAAAGAGAAAAGAUGAUUGUGAUUUCUCACCUCAGAGGUAUUAUAUGCACGAAGGAUGGUCAAUGGUUUUGGUUUUCCUCGGACAUCAUAAAACACCACACGUCCACUAUUUGUGCCCGCUGCUAAUAUAGUACCAUCAUCAUUAUAUGCCAAUGAGGAGAAUGGAGCCUCAUGAGGAAUAGUUUGUGUUGGCCGUCUUGACCCCGAAUCUAAUAUGUAUAACUUCUUGUCAAGGCCAACUGUAGCAAUUGUCUGCAAAAACAAAAUAAAAGCCUCAAGUGUGGGAAAGACAUUAUUCAUUCAGACAUGAAAUGCCAGCUGCAUUUACAACCACAAAACCUUAUCACUGGAUGGUGAAAUACAAACACCACUUGUGGGUGCAGAAUGUUGCUUCAGCCAUGAAACCUGCACAACAGCGGCUAGUCAAUUCGAGAAAAUUAAAGCAAGUAUAAGCAGAAGAAAGCUGAUCAUGCAGAUGAGUUAUUUUAAUAUUUCUGAAACAAACAAUGAUAACCAGGCUAUAUCAAUAGAUUAUAUGUUUAGCCAGAAUGAAGAAUCAAUUCAAGAAAGUAAUUUUACAGUACCAGAAACAACAUAAUAAUAAUCACAGCUACAUAAAGACGAGUCAAGAUGAGUACUGCCUGUAUUUUACCUUCAAACAUCUGUCAAACAAAUAAAAAACAUGAAAAUGUGAAUUUAAGUUUCCAAGAAACAAAUAGUCCUGGUGGCAAAUUUGGUAAAUACAGGAGCUAAGUGGCCAGCCCAUCAGUUUGGCACAGGUCCAGCUUCUAGCUCCAUCUCAGGUCUCAACUUCAUUAACUAAAAUAGUGUCUUGAGCCUCUAUUUUUAAAAGGAAAGAAGCUAGUACAAAAACUUCAGAAUGGGGCUUAGGCAUUAAUCAGGGUUGUUCAACAUUGGGUCAGCGAACACUUUUCCAUUCUAUAGGCUAAUCAGUGGCUAGGGGACGAUCACCAAGGGAGCACACCGAGCUGCACAGCACCCAGGCCGCAGUCACCACAGCUCAAGGAGCCGGUUUAGUUGAUUGAGUUAGUUUUAUCUAUUCCAUUGAGUUAUUAGAUGGACGAGAGUAAUUUUCGGAGUCAAUUACAUUUGUUAAGAUUUGCCUAUAAGGCCCAAACAUUUCUUAAUGAAAGGAUUAGCCAGGGAUUGAGAUCUUAUCUCCCCUAGGUGCCCAGGCACCCUAUUCCACGUCUCACUAUUGCCGUGCCUCCCCUGUUCCCCUAGUCGCGCGAGCAUGGCUCGCCCAAAUCGUCGUCGAGACUCCAAGCCUCGGCUAGUUGUUCCCCCUCCUACUUCAUGUGCUCUAGUCGCCAUCGUAGCAGGCACACAUGCAGCUCCCAUAGCCAAAACUCGCGCUUGGCAACUCUAGCCGCCUCCAAGGGAACCAAGCUCACAGGGAUAUCAUAGGGGAGCUCGACAACGGAGGGGAUCUCGGUGGGGUCUCAAUCAUUGGAGAGCGACAAAGCAGACAGGGGCAGCAUGGCCGUGCGAGCAGAGGCAGAGGGGGAUCAGGCGAGCAAACAAGCUUGCUAGGGGCAGACAGUAUAAGAAGCUGAUCUACCCCACUGGGCCCUGCUGACAGGAAAAGUCAAGGGCAGUUCAUUUUGGAGAACUGUGGGGCAGAGGGGGUGAGGGCAAUAUCAGCACAAGCUACGCGUUUGCACAUGGUGGGCUUAUUCUUAAGCAAAUGUUGGUUGAGAAGCUAUGCCUAACAGGGCCUACGUGCCCUAUGGAGGAACUAGCUGGCACCCUACUCCAAGCUUAGCACCUUUUAGAAUACAUGGAGCUAACACAACUUUCUCUAAAGGCACUACAAAAGGCCAUGCUGCAAGACAAAAUGUCGGUAUGCACAAGAGAGUAUAAUGACUGUAUGGUGUAUAUAUAUCAUAGGGGAGCUCGACAACUGAGGGGAUCUCGGUGGGGUCUCAACCAUUGGAGAGCGACAAAGCAGACAGAAGCAGCAUGGCCUCGCGAGCUGAGGCAGAGGGAGAUCAGGCGAGCAAACAAGCGCAAGCUACGCGUUUUCACAUGGUGGGCUUAUUCCUAAGCUAAUGUUGGUUGAGAAGCUGUGCCUAACAGGGCCUACGUGCCCUAUGAAGGAACUAGCUGGCACCCUACUCCAAGCUUAGCACCUUUUAGAAUACAUGGAGCGAACACAGCUUUCUCUACAGGCACUACAAAAGGCCAUGCUGCAAGACAAAAUCGGUAUGCACAAGAGAGUAUAAUGAAUGUAUGGUGUGUGUGUAUAUAUAUAGGACAUGUUUUUCCUACACGUGUGUGUAGUUACUCCCAUGUUUAUAUCUCACGAUUUAGGGUGUAUAUGACUGGACGAAAUGUAUGUAGAUGAAGUAUAUGACCAUACUAGACCAUUUAGGGUGAUAUGUAUGUUAAGUAUGCAUGCAUACAUAGAGUAUGCGGUUAUACUUAUUAUAUAUACUACAGUAGUGGCAUUUUAGUACGAUAUUAAAAAAUAUGGAUUUCUUUGAAAAAUUUUCGCGUGGUAAGAUCUAGAGUAUCUUAAUAUGAGUAUAUAAACAUACUCGAACCGAUAAACAAGUAUGAACACAUACGCAAUGUGGUUUAUUGAAGAUGGGGGUAACUAUCAUAAUAACUUUCCCUAUCAUCUAUAUGAUAAGAUGUCUUGAAGGCUGCAUUUUAUUUUGACUUUAAAGGUUAACUCUAUAACACUUGAACAACAGAAGAAUAUAAGUACAACAUAAGCAGAACCCCAUGGAAUCUGGUACCUUUGGAGACUUUGCAGUUGUAUCCCAAAGAUGCACAGAACCAUCAUCUCCAGCUGUCACCAACAAAUGCCUACUAUUUCGUGAAUAAUCAAGCACUCUCAGAACCUGACCAUGCAUAAAUAAUUCAGGAAAACUAAUAAAUACACAAGGUCAAAAUUUAAAAUUCAGGUACUCCUAGGCCCUAAUGCAAGGCAUGUGUGUUUUACAUAAAAACACAAAGAAGUAAAUGAAUUUACCUGUCCAUUUGGAUCGCUAAGUUCAGCAGCACGUGCACCAGAAGCAAGAUUAUGAAGAAUCAGGUCCCCCUUCAUGCUGAUCGAUGCCAAAUGUUCAUCUUUGCAGUUAUACAUUACGCCAGUAAUUGUGUCAGUGUGACCGCUUAGCCAUUUGAUACAUCUCUUUCGCUGCAAAUCCCAUAUCCUAACAAUAUGGCCGCUUCCACCAGAGCAGAGAUAUCGAGAACCUUUGUUGCUAAAACUGAUAGAAUAAAGGCACUCCUAAUAAGAAAGUAUAGGUUGCCAGGAUCAGCCACGGGCACAUAUUUACCAAAUAAAGUUAUAGAGGUUUGAAAUAUCAUCAGAUGAUUAUUCAGUAAUCCCACGAAUGCACGCAGAGAGAGAUAGAGAGAGAGCAUUGCAUAUGCUCAACUGCUCAAGUUAGAUGCUGGGUAGGAAAUUUCAGAAGAACCAAGCACCUGUGAGGCUUUUAUUUGUUAAAGUGCUAAACAUUUAAAGAAUAGAAAAUAAAUCUAUAUUAGGGUAUAAAAGAAAGAAACACAAUAAAACAAACUAACAUAUAUAGCGAAAAGAUGUCACUGAUGGAUAAGUCUUUGUACUGUGGUCUUUGUGGGGCUGCAGCACAUGGUCCUUGUGACCCUGCCAGGUGGUAUUUGCUGCCCAUCUAGGACAGCAUCUUGGACUAGCUUUAGGACAGCAUCUUAGGACAGCAUCUUUAGGACAGCAUCUUAGGACAGCAGUUAGGCUAGGACAGCAUCUUAGGACAGCAGUUAGGCUAGGACAGCAUCUUAGACUAGCAUCUUGGCAUAUGCUUGGCUGAAUAGCAGCCUAUAAAUAUGUAUUCCCAACCCCUCAGGUUGGCAUGGCAUUGUGCGAGAAGUAAAGCAGAAAAUUGUCGCAACUCCUAGUGUCAUCCUCUCCCUCGAUGAGUUAGAAUUCUGCUACUACCUAGGCCUUGUUUAGUUCCAAAAUUUUUGGCAAAAUGAGCACUGUAGCAAUUUCGUUUGUAUUUAACAAAUAUUGUUCAAUCAUGGACUAACUAGGCUCAAAAGAUUCGUCUCGUCAAUUUCGACUAAACUGUGCAAUUAGUUUUUAUUUUUAUCUAUAUUUAAUACUCCAUGCAUACGUCUAAAGAUUCGAUGUGACGGGGAAUCUGAAAAAUUUUACAAAAUUUUUGGGGAACUAAACAAGGCCCUAGAGUAAGAAUUCAACAACUAACAACUGGUAUCGGAGCCAUACUAUCCUAUAGCCUGAGCAUCUCCUGCUCAUCUCCUUUCCUAGCCUCACAGCAGCCCCAGCCGGUAGCAGCAGCAGCUCCGGCUGUCCCUGCUCACUCCUCUCCCUCUACGCAGGCGAGCAGCAGCUCGUAUGAAGCAGCCCUCUCUCCACGCAGCAGCCCCUCGGUAGCACGCCAUGUCCGCAGGGCAGUCUCAGCGCUCGGUCACCUCGAGCACACGGAGUCGGCAGGAGGCUGAGCUCGCCACAUCAGAGAAACGCGAGCGAGCGGCGGCAGAGACCGCUGCAGCGGUGGCAAGGGCAUCAAGGCUGGCAGCGGCAGAGCUGGCAGCAGCCAGAGCGGAGGCAGAAGCAGCGGCGGCAGCGGAGGUCGACGUUCUGCGCGGCAGCAUUAGCAGCUCCAUCUCUGCUGACGAUAGCGCCGACGCAGACCUCGACGUGCUGGCGAGGGAGGCAGCGCGAGAGGCGGGCGGUGCGGUGGGCAGCCACGCACGCCCACGAACGCGGCAGCAGCCCAGACAGGCGCGGUCGCGCUAACGGCGGUGGCGCUCCAAGAGGAGGCGCGCAUGGCGGUGGCGCUCCUGGAGGAGGAGCGCACGACAACGGCGGCGGAUGGGUCAAUGGAGAGCGCAGCCUUCACAGGCGGCGUGACUCUCUCUCCCCAGACCGGAACCGUGGUUACCACAGGUUCCAGGUUGUUGUCAAGGACAUCGGCCCUAGCGGUGGGUGGCCUACUCUCACCUUGACCAACUACGUCGAGUGGGCUGCGGUGAUGAAGGUGAGGCUCCAAGUGCGGCACAUGUGGGAGGCAGUCCGGUACGGCUACGUCGACUACGACCAGGAUCGACGGGCGCUGGAUGCCCUCAUUGCUGCAGUCCCGCCCGAGAUGCAGUUCUCGCUUUCCAACAAGCGGACUGCCAAGGAGGCUUGGGACGCCAUCACUGCAGCACGCGUCGGCAGCGAUCGCACCAACAAGUCCACGCUGCAGGCACAUCGCAAGGAGUGGGAAAACCUGGCUUGCUCUUCGUCUCAACACUAUGCUCCAGAAGUUGGUGCAGUUUGGCGACGACACCUAUAGCGAGGAGAGAGCUAUCGAGAAGCUCUUUCGCUGCAUCCCCCAAGAAGUACAAGCAGAUGGCUCGCUCGAUCGAGUCUUUGUUGGACCACUCCACGAUGACGAUCGAGGAGGCGAUAGGUUGCCUCAACGUCGUCAAUAGUGAUGAGCCACAGUCUCUCUCGGGGCCCGUCAACAUUGGCAGGAAGCUCCUUCUCACUCUGGAGCAGUGGGAUGCCUGCCAAGGUGACAAGAAGGGGCAGUCCUCUUCUACGACAGGCGGCCGAAAGCCGCGCAAGGCGCGCAAAGGCGCCCAGGCCGAGGCGCGAGGACGUGCCGAGGGUGACGGCCACGGAGGCGCCCAGGGCGGCGCUGCCAGCCAACACAAGCCACGAGACAAUGCCUGCCGCAACUACGGCUAGCUUGGCCGUUGGGCCAAGGACUGUCAACAGCCACGAUGCGGCCAGGCCCACAUAGGAGGAGCCGGCUCUAUUCAUAACACAUGCUAGCAUCGAGCUAUCUCCAACAGCACUGGCCGCAGCGGCUCUCCUCCACCUUGACGAGCCGAAAGCACACGCCCUCCUCGGCUACGACUCCGGCAACGACAAGACUGACGGGUGGUGCCUUGACACCGGCGCCACCCAGCACAUGACCGGUCGACAGGAGUUCUUCGCCGAGCUUGACUCCAGCGUCCGAGGCUUCGUCAAGUUUGGGGAUGCCUCUAGCGUGGAGAUCAAGGGUGUCGGCUCCGUCAUCUUCUCCGCGAUGUCUGGUGAGCACAAGCCGCUCACCGGAGUCUACUACAUCCCCGCACUGAGGAACUCUAUCAUCUGCUUGGGACAGCUGGAUGAGAACGGUUCGCGCGCGAAGGUCGAGCACGGGGUCAUGAAGAUUUGGGAUCGCAAUCGUCGCCUUCUUGCCAAGGUAACCAGAGGCACAAAUCAACUCUAUAUCCUCAACGUGCAGGUGGCACAACCCCUCCGUCUCGUUGCUCAUCGGGACGACGAGGCGCGGCACGAGCGCUUCGGGCACCUUCACUUUGAGGCUUUGAAGCGGCUCAGUGCCACGGAGAUGGUGCGAGGCCUGCCGUGCCUUGACCGUGUGGAGCAGUUCUGCAACAUCUGCAUGUUGACGAAGCAGAGGUGACUCCCCUUUCCCCAGCAGGUGAGUUUCCAAGCCGAGAGGCUCGAGCUCGUGCACGGGGACUUGUGUGGCCCAGUAACACUAGCCACACCGGGAGAACGACGCUACUUCCACGCUAAAGGGGAUGGGCUUCGAGCAAAGCCCGCAUGAAGUGGCCAUCUACCGGCAGGGCAGUGGAGGAAAUGCCCUGCUGUUGGGUGUCUACGUUGACGACUGAUGAAGGCCACCUUCUAGAUGAGUGACCUGGGGCCUCUCUUUCUACCUGGGAAUCGAGGUGCACCAGGAUGACUCCGGGAUCACACUUCGACAAACCGCCUAUGCCAAGCGCAUCGUUGAGCUAGCUGGGCUCACCGACUACAGGCUGAAGCUAAGCCGUGACAGCAUGACGGAGGAGGUGUACGCUACGCAGUAUCGGCGUCUUGUGGGGAGCCUUCGCUACCUCGCCCACACCCAACCAGACUUGGCGUUCUCCAUCGGCUACGUUAGUCGGUUCAUGCAACGACCGACGACUGAGCACCAGCAGGCUGUGAAGAGGAUCAUCCGCUACGUUGCGGGGACUCUCGACCACGCCCUCUACUACCCGAGGUGUCCUGGCGCGGCACACUUCGUCGGAUACAGCGACAGUGAUCUCACGGGCAACGUCGACACCAGUAAGAGCACAAGCGGGAUUCUCUUCUUCCUCGGCAAGUGCCUCGUUAGCCGGCAGUCAGUCAAGCAACAGGUGGUGGCCCUGUCUAGCUGCGAGGCCAAGUACAUAGCGGCUUCCACAGCUUCGACUCAGGCGCUCUGGCUCGCUCGACUGCUUGGUGAUCUCCUCGGCAGAGACACUGAAGCGGUGGAGCUCAGGGUGGACAGCAAGUCCGCUUUGGCCCUGGCAAAGAACGUUGUUUUCCAUGAACGGAGCAAACACAUCCGGGUGAAGUACCACUUCAUCCGAGGCUGCUUGGAUGAAGGAAGCAUCAAGGCGAGCUACAUCAACACCAAGGAUCAGCUUGCGGACCUGCUCACCAAGCCUCUUGGGAGGGUCAAGUUCCUUGAGCUCUGCUCCAGGAUCGGGAUGGUUCAACUUUCCCAAAAGACGACGCACAAGAUUUAGGGGAAGAAUGAUGGAUAAGUCUUUGUACUGUGGUCUUUGUGGGGCUGCAGCACAUGGUCCUUGUGACCCUGCUGCAUGGUGGUCUUUGCUGCCGAUCUGGGACAGCAUUUUGGACUAGCUUUAGGACAGCAUCUUAGGACAGCAUCUUUAGGACAGCAUCUUAGGACAGCAGUUAGGCUAGGACAGCAUCUUAGACUAGCAUCUUGGCAUAUGCUUGGCUGAAUAGCAGCCUAUAAAUAUGUAUCCCCAACCCCUCAGGUUGGCAUGGCAUUGUGUGAGAAAUAAACUAGAAAAUUGUCGCAACUCCUAGUGUCAUCCUCUCCCUCGAUGAGAGUUAGAAUUCUGCUACUACCUAGAGUAAGAAUUCAGCGACUAACGGUCACUAUAGUCGCCAAUGUUCCUUUGUUGCCACAGCCAAGAAAAAGUCUAAAAAAUCAAAAAUUCAAAUGGACUAAAACACAAAAACAGUAGUGCUAAAACGAACUAUUUGGCCCUCAGGUAUUAUUUGGGUCGAUCAUUUCAUUUUUGUCCUCAAAACUGCUUGUCCAGAGAAAAGGCAUGGCUCAAUGCAUGUAGUUAGUCCAAAUUUAGCAUGUUUAUCAUGAAAGGAAAAAGGUAAGCAAUGAAAUAAGCAAUAUAGCAAUGCCUAUGAAAAAAGAUGUGAAAUUUCCAUCCUGACAUUACUAAUUGAUAAACAGGUAACAUUUUCAGAAACUGCUUGAUAAAUCCCCAAUAAGAGUGGCACAUGCAUGGUUGUAGUCAUAACAUUAGCACAGAAACAUACUAAUGCCUGAUACCUCUAUGUCAUCACCACGGUCAACAGUUGAUGUUGGUAGUUGUCCUACAUUUUGACCCUUUUUAUGCCACAAUGAGAUCCUUUUAUCAUCCCCAGCACUUGCUACAAUAAGAUCUGCACGUUAAGAGCAAAUGGUUGUUAGUGCUAGUGCUUUUAUUUGCCGUUUUACAGUGCAAACAAUGAGGAAUCAUUUUUUCAACAUAUUGAGGUUCUGUUUCAAAAAAAACAUAUGGAGGGUAAUAUCUUGUAGAAGUAUAUUCAGUUAGGAAACAAUGGAACGCUGAAUGUAACAUAACAGAUUUUACACUAAAAAUAAAGAAAACCAAAAAUGUUUCUCAGCGUUUACUUGUGAAACAUAGAAAAAAUAUAUUAAUAAAGUUAUCUAUCACUCACUGCAGGAAAGAAAUGGAUAUCCUGUCCUUUACCAUAACAGGUCACUGGUUUGGUUGAUGUAUGUGUAAGCAUGUAAAUACAAAUAAACAUGAUGGAAAGGCUAGAAGUUGACAUUUUAGCCUCAUUGCUCUAGGAUCUACCCUACGAAUUCACCAGAUUUUCAUUCCUAGAUCCACACCAAAAAAACGUCCCCCACUAAGAAGCCUUCCAUCCAUGCACCCAGAAAAGUGUACCUAGAAAAACGACAACUUUAAAAUGGACUGUCCAGAUUUAUUCUAAUCCUUCUCUCUCCUUACUCAAAUCCAAGGGCCACAAUUGCAUGUGUCAACCUCCUCUAGCUCUUGAUGCCGCGCCCCAUCCACUCUCGCUCUCAGCCCACGGUUCGAUCUCCCACAACUACAAGUCCUUUUUUCUAAAAAAAAAUCCCCUCUUCGCACGCAGUGCCACCAUCGUCAACGGGCAAGGCCACGGCGGGGCGCCGCCUCUGGCGUCGAGAGGCUACCAGGUGAAGCUCUUCGACUACGUAGCCAAUCUCGUCGGGUAGGGCGUCCAGGCCAUGCUCACCAAGCACAACGACCAGCUUGCCUCCCUCGCCCAUGACCCCUUCGUGCGCGCAACUAGAUCCGCCACAAUGUCACGACCGACGUCGAUGUCAGGUACCAAUACUACAAGCUCCACUGCCCCCACCGUCGUGGCAGCAAGCCCUGCUGUCAUGGGGCCCCCAUCGAUGCGGACAUCUUGCGUCCGCCGUCACCGCCCCGCCGCGGGGUGCCGUGUGUCUAAGUCGUGCACCACCGCCCCAACGCGGACAUUGCAUCCUCGGCGUCCAUCCUGCUCAGAGAACGUCGUCUUCAAGGCCACAGUCUUCGGCUUGCAAGCACUAAGCAGCAGUCCGACAGAGGCAGCAGGUACAUCUCGAAUUGCUGUUAAUACACCAAUCAUGCAAUCUAACCUGCUACCGUUCUCUCUUAAUCAUGGUUCUUUUUCCAUUCAAAUUCUCCCUUAUGACUUAAGUGUCUAGUCACGUUAAUCAAAUCAGAUUUGAACAAGAGACAUUAGGUAUUGCUGGUGGUCACGGAAUGACGAUCAACACAGACAGCCAAAGUACACAAAGCCAUAGGAUAUGCAAAAUUGAUUUUAGGAUUAGGGUGUUAGAUUAUUGGAAGAUUUUUUUUUUGUACAACGCUAGAUUAUUUUAUUUCAAUUGUGCAGAUCUCAAUUUUCACUUGUGAUUCGGUAAGGCUUUUUAUUGUGAUAAUAAUAUGAUGGUCCUUUUACCAGGCCAAUCCUGAUUUUAGAUAAAACAUUGAAAGGAGUUUUCUUGGAUGACCUUGCUCCAUCUCUGUGAUAUGAGCUAAGUAGAACAUGGCAUGGUGCCUGUGAAGUUUGUCGCGUCCUAGAGUUAGAGCUUUAUGAUGGAAAGACUCAGUCUGAAAUACUAACUGAUGGUCCAUUCUUGGUGGAUUUUUAUAUAUGACUAAAUUUGGGAGAUCUGGUUGCAAAACAGAAUAAUGGAUUUAUUGGACCAAUUUUCCUUGCUUGGUAGAUUCAAUUCUAAUUUAGGAGUGCGCUAUUGUAUAUAUUGAGUUAACAAGCCCUAGAUAUGAAUAUUCACACCCAUAAAACAUUUUGCUCUUGCAGAAGUUGAGCGCCUUGAUAAUUCACCAUUUAGAUAUUUCUUGGGGAAACUAUAUGUUGAAAAUUAGAACCAUGCUUAUAUUUGGUCUACCUGAAAUGCCGCCGUGCCGUUAGCACAGGCACUAUACUAGUAUAUUGCAAAUAACUCAAAGCAUUAGCAGCGAAGGUAGCCAUAACUAACAUCUGAGGUAUGAUAGUUUUGCUAAGGGACAAAUAGUUGUCCUGUGGGGGAAAACCUACACUAGGAGACGCCGAGCCAGGGAUGUCCGGCGGGCAGCAGAGUGCGCGGGCGCGCGCGGCACCGCGGGCAGCAUGGCGAGCGCGGACUCCUCGCACGCAGUCCAGGAGGCCACGACUUAGUUUUAUUUGGAUAGAUUAGUGGAGAUUUGUUUCCUCUGUUAGUUGGCCGAUGGCCCUUUUUAUUCCUUGUAAACCGAGACUUUUGGUUAAGCAAGAUUAGAACCUUUUCUUCCUCCUCUCGUUCUCAAGCCCAGGCAGCCGUGAGGGGCAUAACCUCCGCUACUAGAAGACAUGGCAGGAGACUACGAGCUUCGUAGUCGAGGGCCAGCUACCCGUGAUCAUUACGCCCUUGACAACCUAGUAUCUCAGUCUCGUCGAUCCUCGCCCACCAACACCAGCCAAUCCACCGCAGCAGCCGCGCCCAACCCUAGACCACCGCCGUCGCCCACUCCUCCGUGAACCAGCCAACCACCAUGAGCGAACCCUCCCUCGCCGAUGUCUUGGCCUCGAUCAAGACCCUCACCACGGAGAUGACGGCCAUGAAGGCUGACAUCGCGAUCCUGAAGGACCAGCCUCAUUCGUCGGCCGCCAGCAACGACGACCGCCGCUUCGAGGACCUACGCGACAUCGACCUUCCCCCCCCCCGGCCUAAGAAGUGGGACUUCCCCCGUUUCGAUGGCACGACCGAUCCGCUACUCUUCCUCAACAAAUUCAAGGCGUACUUCCGCCACCAUCGUACCAUGGCUGAGGAGCGCGUCGGCAUGGCGUCCUACCACCUGGACGACGUCGCGCAACUCUGGUACACUCAGCUCUUGGAAGACGAGGGUGCUCCGACGUGGGGGCGCUUCAAGGAGCUCUUGAACCUGGGCUUCGGGCCACUUCUCCGUUCGGCCCCGCUCUUCGAGCUCUCCGAGUGCCGGCGCACGGGCACGGUGGAGUACUCCAACCAAUUCCAGGCCCUCCUACCUCGCGCAGGACGCCUCGACGAGGCUCAACGCGUUCAGCUCUUCACUGGCGGACUCCUGCCGCCCCUGAGUCACGUCGUCCGCAUUCAUCACCCGGAAACCCUCGCCACCGCUAUGAACUUGGCACGCCAAGUGGAACUGAUGGAGCACGACAGGCCGGCGCAGCACCAGCCUCGCCUGCCCCAGCGCGGCGCUCCACCACCGGCCGCUCCCAAGGCCGCCCUACCAGCACCGGCGCCACUCCUGGCGCUCCCGGCGCCCCCGGCAGCCGCCCAGCAAGGCCGCGGUGAGGGUAACCCACGGCGUCUCACCCAGGAGGAGAUGGCAGAACGCCGCUGUCUCGGUUUGUGCUUCAACUGCAACGAGAAGUUCACCCGCGGCCACAAUCGGUUCUACCGCCGGCUAUUCUUCCUCGACGGUGUGGAGAUUGAUGAGGACGGGGGCGCGGGCACUGACGCAGCAGACGCCGCGGGGGAUACGGAGGCGCCUGUUUUCUCCCUGCAUGCCGUCGCUGGCGUCCCCAUCGCAGACACGAUCCAACUCCAGGUGACCGUGGGAGCCACCUCUCUCCUCGCACUGCUCGACGGCGGCUCCACCCAUAGCUUCAUCGGCGAGGAGGCGGCGCGACGUGCAGGCCGGCCGAUCCAGCCCAGCCCGCGCAUGUCGGCUAUCAUCGCCAACGGCGAGCGCGUCUCCUGCCCGGGAGUCAUCCGGAACGCGCCGUUCUCCAUCGACGGCACCACAUUCCACACCGACUUAUUUGUGAUGCCCCUCGCUGGUUAUGACAUGGUGCUCGGUACACGGUGGCUCGGCACACUGGGUCCCAUUGUGUGGGAUUUCGCCACCCGUUCGAUGGCGUUCCAGCGCGGCGAGCAACACUUCUCCUGGACGGGCGUGGCCUCGCCAUCUACAGCGCAGUUGCGCACCCUCGCAGCGGCCAGUGGGACGCUCCUGGACGAGCUCCUGGUCGCAUAUGACGACGUCUUCGGCGAACCCACGGGCCUUCCCCCACCGCGCGGCCGGGAUCACGCCAUCGUCCUCAAACCUGGCUCCGCCCCCCUCGCUGUUCGCCCGUACUGCUACCAAGCAGCACACAAAGACGAGCUGGAACGCCAGUGCGCCGCGAUGAUCGAGCAGGGUGUCGUUCGCCGCAGCGACUCGCCUUUCUCUUCGCCGGUCCUCCUCGUCAAGAAGGCUGACGGCUCAUGGCGCUUCUGUGUCGAUUACCGCGCCCUCAACGCACUCACCAUCAAGGACGCUUUUCUGAUACCCGUCGUCGAUGAGCUGCUCGACGAGCUCCAUGGCGCCCGCUUCUUCACCAAGCUCGACCUCCGGUCGGGGUACCAUCAAGUUCGGAUGCGGCCGGAGGACGUCCACAAGACCGCGCUCCGCACCCACGACGGCCUCUACGAGUUCCCCGUCAUGCCGUUCGGUCUGUGCAACGCACCGACGACGUUCCAGGGGUUGAUGAACGACGUCCUGCGGCCCUUCCUCCGUCGGUUCGUGCUUGUCUUCUUUGAUGAUAUUUUGAUCACAGUGCGACUUGGGCCGACCACCUGCGACACCUGCGUACGGUCCUCGCCAUGUUGCGCCUACACCGACUCUUCGUCAAGCGCAGCAAGUGCACGUUCGGCGCCGCCUCGGUGUCCUACCUCGGCCACGUCAUAUCCGAGGCGGGCGUCGCCAUGGAUCCGGCCAAGGUGCAAGCCAUCCACGAGUGGCCGGUGCCCCGCUCCGCUCGGGCGGUGCGCAGCUUCCUCGGCCUCGCGGGCUACUACCGCAAAUUCAUCCACAGCUACGGCACCAUCGCCGCCCCGUUGACGGCCCUCACCAAGAAGGACGGUUUCUCCUGGACAGCGGAAUCCGCCGCUGCGUUCGACGCCCUCAAGAACGCAGUGACCUCGGCACCCGUCCUCGCGAUGCCGGACUUCACCAAGCCGUUCACCGUCGAGUGCGACGCGUCCACGCACGGUUUCGGCGCCGUCAUGGUCCAGGAGGGCCACCCCGUCGCGUUCUUCAGCCGGCCCGUUGCUCCACGGCAUCAAGCCCUCGCCGCCUACGAACGUGAACUGAUCGGCUUGGUUCACGCCGUCCGCCACUGGCGGCCAUACCUUUGGGGCCGGCGUUUCGUCGUCAAGACCGACCACUACUCCCUCAAGUACCUGCUGGACCAGCGCCUGGCCACCAUACCUCAACAUCAUUGGGUGGGAAAGCUGCUGGGAUUCGACUUCGCCGUCGAAUAUAAGCCGGGCGCGACAAAUGUCGUCGCGGACGCCUUGUCUAGGCGUGACACAGAGGAGGGCGCGAUUCUGGCGCUGUCCGCGCCCCGCUUCGACUUCGUCAGCAGGCUGCACGACACGCAGCGACAGGACCCCGCGCUCAUCGCCCUCCGCGACGAAGUCUGCGCCAGUACACGCUCGUAGCCGUGGGCGCUGGUUGACGACCUGCUGCAGUACCACGGGCGGCUGUACAUACCCCCAGCAUCGCCCCCGGCGCAGGAGAUCAUCACAGCGACGCACGACGACGGACAUGAGGGCGUCCAGCGCACUUUACACCGCCUCCGACGCGACUUCCACAUCCCCAACAUGAAGCAGCUCGUCCAGGACUGGGUGCGUGCCUGCGUGGUGUGCCAACGCUACAAAUCCGAGCACUUGCACCCAGCCGGCCUCCUCCUGCCCCUGCCGGUGCCACAAGGCGUGUGGACAGACAUCGCCCUCGACUUCGUCGAGGCGCUGCCUCGCGUGCGCGGCAAGUCCGUCAUCUUGACGGUGGUGGACAGGUUCAGUAAAUACAACCACUUCAUCCCACUGUCGCACCCAUACUCCGCUGAGUCCGUUGCUCAGGCCUUCUUCACCGACAUUGUUCGCCUACAUGGAGUUCCGCAGUCCAUGGUGUCGGACCGCGACCCCGUAUUCACAUCGACGUUCUGGCGCGAACUCAUGCGGCUGAUGGGAACCAAGCUUCACAUGAUGAGAGCGUUCCAUGCGCAGUCGGAUGGGCAAUCCGAGGCCGCUAACAGGGUGAUCAUUAUGUACUUGCGUUGCUUGACAGGGGAUCGUCCUCGGCAAUGGCUGCGUUGGCUUUCAUGGGCGGAGUUCGUCUUCAACACAGCGUACCAGUCCUCUCUUCGGGACACCCUGUUCCGGGUCGUCUAUGGCCGGGACCUGCCUUCUAUUCGGUCCUACGAGCCGGGGGACACGCGUGUUGCUGCAGUCGCCAAAAGCAUGGAGGAAUGGGCUGAGUUCCUCGCCGACAUCCGCUACCGGCUCGAGCAGGCCCAGGCGGUCUAGAAGCUGCACUACGACAAGCAGCACCGCCACGUCGCGUAUCUGGUGGGCGACUGGGCGCUCCUCCGCCUGCGACAGCAUGCUGCCUCUUCCCUGCCUCAGGCCGGCACGGGCAAGCUGAAGCCCCGCUUCUAUGGGCGCGCGGCCGUUCGUCUCGAGCUCAUCAACGACGUGGCCGUUCGUCUCGAGCUUCCACCCCGCGCCCGCCUCCAUGAUGUGUUCCACAUUGGCCUCCUCAAGAAGUUCCAGGGCACUCCACCGGCGGCACCACCGACGCUACCUCCUCUUCAUCAUGGUGCUGUUGCUGCGGAGCCUGAGUGUGCUGUUCGGUUUCGCUUGGCGCGCGGCGUACGCCAGGUGCUGGUUCAGUGGAAAGGCAAAUCCCCGGCCUCGGCGACAUGGGAAUAUGUCGACGUUUUCCGCUCCAAAUACCCCGCUUUUCAGCUCGAGGACGAGCUGAGUCUCGAGGGGGGGGGAGAUGUCAUGUGGGGGAAAACAUACACUAGGAGACGCCGAGCCAGGGAUGUCGGGCGGGCAGUAGAGCGCGCGGGCGCGCGCGGCACCGCGGUCAGCGUGGCGAGCGCGGACUCCACGCACGCAGUCCAGGAGGCCACGACUUAGUUUUAUUUGGAUAGAUAUUAUUAGUUACCUGUUUAUUAGCUCCUAGAUUAGUGGAGAUUUGUUUCCUCUGUUAGUUGGCCGAUGGCCCUUUUUAUUCCCUGUAAACCGAGACUUUUGGUUAAGCAAGAUUAGAACCUUUUCUUCCUCCUCUCGUUCUCAAGCCCAGGCAGCCGUGAGGGGCAUAACCUCCGCUACUGGAAGACACGGCAGGAGACUACGAGCUUCGUAGUCGAGGGCCAGCUACCCGUGAUCAUUACGCCCUUGACAUAGUACUACUUAGUACUUAAAGCGUAUGGUUUGUUUGGUGAAGCUACAAGUUCAACUCAGGCCAACAGUUGUGUAAGCUUGUUAGAUACUGUUGUGCGAUAUCAUAGAGCUGCAUUGUCAAGUAAAAACAUAAAACCAAUAGUACAUGCACAGCAAUGCAGAACAAAAUGUCAGAAAGUGUAAGUGCAGUACAAAUUGCUUGCUAGCUCAAUCUCCAACAGAAAAUCAAUAUUCUGCGUAGUUCCUCUGUGUGGGCUAUUAGUGUAAUCUCCUGUGUCUAGGACUCUAGGGUUACGUCUUGUAUCUCCUAUGUACUCUAUAUAGUGUCACCCUUUGGGCCUCAAUAGCAUCAAUCAGUUCAGUCUCCCUUUAUUCGUAACAUGGUACCAAAGCUCUAGGUUUUCGGUUGAGCUACCACCCUUCCAUUCGCUGCGCUGCCCCUGGGAAGAUCGAUUUCUGUUUCUUGGGGCCAGCUCUCGUUGAUCUUUGAUUUUUUUUUGAAAGACAUGUAUCUUGUUGAAAGCUACCAUGCAUAACACAAGACAUAACCCCAGAGGCCCAGACACAGGACAUUACACAAAUACCCCUGACUAAUAUACCUUAACACUCCUAACAUUAAACUGCAAAUAUGCACAAUCAUGUAGUUCUCACGAACAAAUUGCAGCAGUAGAAGCAGUGGUGCAUUCGCUGACAUUGAUUUUCUUUUGAAAAUAGAGCUCUGAUUUCCUAAUAGAAAAAGAAAUACCAGCAACAGAGAUUUUUUUCUCAAAAAACGCAGGAGAUCUGCACCUCAUUAUAUUAAGGAGGGUGUAAGAACCCAGCAACAUUUACACCAAACACCUCACACCAACACAUACUCAACACCACGCACUCACAACCUAACACGCCUCAGGAAACAACUAGAGGCCGAUCCUAACAACACCAAACAGCCCCAGGGACUAAACACCAGGGAGAGGGGCAGACAGGAGGGAUAAUCCUCGAACCCCUGCCGAGAUCCACAACCGACGCUCCUCUCCAACAAAGAUUAAAGCCCCAGCAACACUUGGAGCCGACCCACCGAAAACACAGCGAUUACAAUGAUUCCAUAGAAUUCAGGCUCCAAGAAUGAUUAGGGAAUUAACACCUUGUCUCACCAGCUCAGAAGUAGCACUACUAGCUCUUUCCCACCAAUCCAGAAAGGAGUUUUCUGAUGGUUUUGGGGAUAAGGUGUGAAGACCGACCUGUCUUAGCAAAAGAAACCAAAAUUCCCUAGCAAAGACGCAACCGACCAGGAGAUGGUUGAUGGUUUCAUCAUCUUGAUCAAAAAAAAGUGGACAGCAUUCCGGGCAGGGCAGCCCACAGCAUGCAAGUCAAUCUGCUGUAAAGCACUUAUUGUGCGCACCAAGCCACAUGAAGAACCGACAUUUAGGUGGUGCCCAGGACUUCCAAAUUUUCUCCCAUGCCAGCACUAGCUACCAGCACAACCACUGCAUUAUGGNNNNNNNNNNNNNNNNNNNNNNNNNNNNNNNNNNNNNNNNNNNNNNNNNNNNNNNNNNNNNNNNNNNNNNNNNNNNNNNNNNNNNNNNNNNNNNNNNNNNUGAAAUGGGUUUGGAGAGUUUAUUUUUUCGGUUGGGACGGGCUUCGGGAGGGGAACCGGGUAUUGACUUUGGUGAAAAAAAAGAGGGGGGGAAAAAAAAAAAAAAAAAAAAAAACCGGGUAUUGACGUUGGGAGAGAAAGACAACAGCGGACGCUGGACCCACCCAGGCCGGCUGAUGUGCUCGCUUGUGUGCAAAGGCUCUCCGGCUAGGGCCUUGUUUUCCGAAAAUUAUUUGGUUUUCGGCAUUAUAGCAUUUUCGUUUUUAUUUAAUAAAUAUUGUCUAGGCCUUGUUUAGUUCUAAAAAGCGAAAAGUUUUCGAUACUGUAGCACUUUCGUUUGUUUGUGACAAAUAUUAUCCAAUUAUGGACUAACUAGAAUCAAAAGAUUCGUCUCGUGAUUUACAGCUAAACUGUGUAAUUAGUUUUUGUUUUCAUCUAUAUUUAAUGUUUCAUGCAUGUGCCACAAGAUCCGAUGUGACGGGGAAUCUUGAAAACUUUUUGGUUUUCAGGGUGAACUAAACAAGGCUCUAAUUAUAGAGUAAUUAGGUUUAAAAUAUUAAUCUCGCGAUUUACAGAUAAAUUAUAUAAUUAGUUUUUAUUUUCGUCUAUAUUUAAUGUUCCGUGCAUGUGUCGUAAGAUUCGAUAUCACGGAAAAUCUUAAAAAGUUUUUGGUUUUUGGGUGAUCUAAACAAUGCCUAGCUGUUCGUGCCCUUUUUCUCUAAUGCUGAACGAUGUUUCCGCCGUACGCCAUGAGCUUAGCUUUCCAACUGAGGCUCUUGUUUGGUUCUUCGAGGGAAAAAUUUUGUGAUACUAUAGCACUUUUGUUUGUUUGUGGUAAUUAUUGUCCAACGACUAACUAGGCUCAAAAGAUUUGUCUUGUCAAUUUUGAACAAACUGUAAAAUUAGUUUUUAUUAUCGUCUAUAUUUAAUACUCCAUGCAUGCGUCUAAAGAUUCGAUGUGACGAGGAAUUUUGAAAAAUUUUAGGUUUUUGGGUGGAAGUAAACAAGGCCUGAGGUCUUGGGACUUGUUUAGGUCUUGUUUAGUUUUCAAAAAUUUUUGGUUCAGGCCACUAUAGCACUUUCGUUUGUUUAUGGCAAAUAUUGUUCAAUAAUGGUCUAACUAAGCUCAAAAUAUUCAUCUCGCGAUUUACACUGUAUAAUUAGUUUUUGUUUUUAACUAUAUUUAAUGCUUCAUGCAUGUGCCGUAAGAUUCGAUGUGACGGAGAAUCUUGGAAAGUUUUGGUUUUUGGGUGAACUAAACAAGCCCUUACUUCCACCCAAAACCCAAAAUUUUUCAAGAUUUUCCGUCACAUCGUAUCUUUAGACGCAUAUAUGGAGUAUUAAAUAUAGAUAAAAAUAAAAACUAAUUGCGCAAUUUGGUCGGAAUUUACGAGACCAAUCUUUUGAGCCUAGUUAGUCCAUGAUUGGACAAUAAUUACCACAAACAAACGAAAGUGCUACAGUGUCACAAAAUUUUUUCCUUCGGAAACUAAACACACCUUUGUUUAGUUCGCACCAAAAUCUAAAAACUUUUCAAGAUUCUUAUCACAUUAAAUCUUACGACACAUGUAUAAAAUAUUAAAUAUAGAUAAAAAAAUAAUUAAUUACACAGUUUACUUGUAAUUUACGAGACGAAUCUUUUAAGCCUAGUUAGUCAGUGGUUGGAUAAUUGUCAAAUAAAAACUAAAGUGCUAUAGUAUCCAAAAAAAAUUUCAACUCCCCAACUAAAUAAGGCCUAAGCAGAAUAUAAUUGGCCUAAUUUUUAAAGGAAAAAACAAGUCUAAAAAACUUACAGACCCACAGAUCCUAAAACACACAAAAGCUAUGACGACUAACCCAUGACAACCCUCUUACCAGGGAUGAAAACGGUACGGAUAUUUUCCGACCAUAUUCGAGACCGAAUUCGUUUAGAGAGGUUCAGAUCUGUUUGUAUCCGAGUCCGAAUGUUUAACAUCCGAUACCGUAUCCGUAUCCGAAUACUUAAAUCGUAUAUUUAUGAUGUCGACAUCCAAUCACAUCUUAUCCGACAUGAUUAAUAUUAUUCGUAUUCGAAUCCGAAUCCGACCAGAAAUGUGAAAACAAAUAUAAUAUCAGUGAUAUCCGUCCGUAUGCGAUCCGUUUUCAUCCCUACCUCUUACACACAAGGCAAUAAAAAAACAACCACGUCCACCGCUUGUUCUCAUUGUCGAGUUUGUCACAAAUAGGAGAAGAGCAGCUCCGACUUCUCACAGUAUCCCCUCUAUAACAACUCUGCCUAACAUGAUGUGAACGAAUUCUCGAGAAGCGCAGAUGAUAAGGAAGCAUUACGUCAUGAUCAGGUCCAACAUAGUUGGUCCGUCGAGGCCACUAAGAUCCUCCAGUGACUUGAUGACAAGGUCAGACAUCGGGCCUUUGAAGAGGUUGACAUAGUGCAGCAAGACCACCUCUCUAGUUUCACCUUCUUCCUCUACAUGUAGCCUCUUCAUGAGAACUUGUCUUGAUUUGCUCUUCACAUCACCACACGACCAAGCAAUGGUUACUAGACGUGCGCUGCACCGGGAUUAAAACGAUCUAGAUUUUUUCACAAAGGAGAAAAUCCUCAUAUUCGAAUUAUAAUGUGAUAAUCUUAAAAUUGGACCAUUACAUUAUCAUAUAUCAAUUGUUAUUAUAGUCAUACAUCGUGGAAAACAAGAUUACAAGACAUUUACUUUACAACACUUGGUCAACAAAACCUAAUUACAUCGUUUUUCUAGCGAAAACAUACGCAAGUCUUUAUCAGAGUCCAUAUAGCGUGUCAGCGGUGAAGGCUCCUCCUUCACGGGCAAUCAUCAGAGUCGGCAUAGUUUGUCAGCGGAUGUAGCCAUCUUCGAACCAAACUUGUUCGUAGGAACAAGACUACCUAAUCCUUCUUAACUCCUUCAAGUCAUACUCAGAUUCACAGCCUGUUAUCUAAAGUAUCAGUAUGAUUUGUACUGGUCACUGGCUCCCACCCUAUGCUUUUGUGUUGCUUUAUGAUAGGUGGAAAUACAAGGGUAGAUCAAAAGGCCUAUAUAUAGCCAUAAGUUUUCCUAUGCAAGUCAACAAUAUUGUAUAGUAAUAAUUCAUCAAGUCUUAAUCCAUAUAUUCCGCACAUUCUCCCAUCUCAUCACACACAUCUCACCACACUUCCACUCUCUAAGCGGCAAGGACGACUCCUGCUCGUGCCUUGCCUCAACAACCAUCGCCAGAAACCAACACCAACCUAGGGGAAGAUAGAAAGGACUCCUCUCACUAGUCAAGCAAAGUAGAAACAUAGGAAAGGUCCGUAGUCAAAAAGAUGGUAUAUGUAUCGAUCGAUCAACCAGAAACUCCAUAGAGGUUUACACUAACCACAAGAUCACCAUCAUUGAUGAUCCGGCUCAUCUAGGCUGAUGUCAGGCUGCCUUCCAACUAGCAUGGUGUCACUCUACCACUCACGACUAGGCCAAUACCGGAGUACCAUCGGCAUGCUGACCCAGACGUAGUAUCGGGCCCCCAAAGGUCACUACACUAUCAUAGGAGGGUGUGGGUCCUCAUGCAUGUACCUUUCUACACUAUCUACCAACAACCUAGUAGUAGUGGCACCGUCCUAACUAGUCAUACAUCCGUCUCCUUCCUAUAAGAGCGAGUGGGGUGUAAGGCUUCCUACGAACCGGUUCUUAGGGUGACCAAACAUGACAUCUUCAUGAAGGGCCAAUUGAUGCCCCGCUUGAUGGGACAUCUGACACCCUAUGUGAAAUAGCACCUCCCAUCCCAGGGCUUCAUCCUACAAAGACACUCCACUCUGGUAUAUCUCCAUGUCACAUGUACCCGCCAAAGGUAUCUCUCGUGGAGAAUGCCUAGGUAGCAUUCUGUUGGGUACCAUAAAAAGGGAUACCCAAAUCAGAGAAAUAAAAAUCGCAAAAAGGAGAUAAGGCAAACACCCGAGAUCACCAGGGCUCGGGCGCGGGUUCCGUCUCGCCCGACUCCUUGGCCUCGAGCGCAAGCUCCGGCUCGCCCGACCCCUUGGCCUCGGAUGUAAGUUCCACCUCGCCCGACCCCUCUUGGGAUCGGGCACAAACAUCGCCUCGCCCGAGCCCCCAUCUCGGAGCCAGGCUUCCCACACACGAUGGUCGUACUCUCGACGUGACAUUCGCUGUGACCUCCAUGCUGCGGCAGGGCAUGGCAGCAACUAUUCCAACCACCCCAGCCACUGUGUAGCCUUACCUCUUUCACUGUGAAGUACCGCCUAACAGUAAAAGAGGUAGAGGAGAUUAACCUGCGUCACUGUGGUUGUCUUCUCCUACUAUUACAGGACGUGCCGCAGUAUCACCGACCCGACCCCCACGAUCUCAACAGGGCUCGGCAACCCUCCACAGGAGCAACCAUGCUGUCAGCCACGCCCCAAGGAUGAGAUGGGCAAGCUUCUACAGGGGCGGAACUGUGACUUUACCAUUUACCAGAGGUAGAUCACCAGCAAAAACAUGUAAAAACCUUGUGGCCCCUUGAGACUAUAAAAGGUGAGCUAGGGCAUACAUCUAGGACACGCUCACAACAUCGCAGCUCAGGGCAAGACCACGCACACAACACCAGAACUCAAAGCAAGAUCACACACACUCUCCAGAGUAGCAAGUAAUGCUCUGUCCACCACACAAAGUCAAGACCUGGGACUUAGCCCUCUCUCGCAACCUGCUUGUAUACCCCUACUACAAGCACUUUUGGGUGUAAGGCAAUACAGACCCCCAAUCUCACACUGGACGUAGGGCACCCUUAGCCCGAACCAGUAUAAUUCUCUAUGUUCCACUUGCAUCAUCAUCCGGGUUUAGGAAGACACACAGACUUACUACUCGUUAGUGUCUAGAUGAUGAGUCUAGACGCCGACAGUUGGCGCGCCAGGUAGGGGCCUUCUGCGUUGUACUUUCCUUUCCCCGUUGGGGAAAGCCCGGAUGGCAGACGGAUUUCACCCACUCCGCCUCGGCACCAUCAUGAUGUUUGGGAGUUUGGAGUUCAUGUCGCUUGGCUCCGGCUAUGACAUGGUCCUCCUUCCACCCCAUGACGACGCCGAGCCUCGUUCCGAUCCGAUCCCACCACAGCCAGUGCGUGGGAGGCGCUCGGGGCAUCAUGCAGGGGAGCCCGGUGUGGCCAUCAAAGGUCUAGAAUCUCUGACCCUAGUACCGAGGCAAGGGCCCAUUCGGCCCUCCCCCCGCAUAUCCCUCACCAUAUUGCCCAUUCUUCUGGCCCACGAGGCGCUAGGGGAAGGGCACGUGGAGCAUCAAGCUUAGCUCCACAAACCAUCAGGGGGACUUCGCGACCUCCUGUUCCGCCUCGAUCAGAGGGCAAAGCACGGCUCCCACCUCCUCCUCAGAAGAGGGACCAGGGGGCCUCGACUUCUUCUCACCCCCACCCACGGAUGGAGGGAAGACAGCUGCAUCUUCUGAGCUCCCUUUUGGGUUCAGGAGCACAGCCGCCACCUAUGCCUCUUCCGCGAGCACCUCAUUAAGUGCGUACGCGGACCUCCCAGGGCAUCACAUGAGGUCUACACCACCCGUUUCGUCAUACCCUGAGGAUCCCACCUUAGGAGAAGAUGAAUGGGCUGGCGCUGAUUUUUUCGGUUGUGGCGACUCGGAAACUUUCAUGUGCUUUCUUGAGGCUAGCAACUACUGCCUCGUCUACUCCGACUCCGAUGAUGGCGGCUAUAAUCCGUCGCGAGAGUGCUUCAACCUCGAGGUUGGAGGAGCGUCCCCUAACGCCUAAGGAGGCGUAGGGCCCUCUGAGUGGAGGAACGUAACUCCACCUCCCAACACGACUCCCGGAAGCCAUCCUGGAGCGCGCGGGGCCGCGUCAGCCCCCGCAGAAGUCCGACGCCCUGACCUCGAGCAGCUCAACGAGCUAGAGGCCAGGCUCGAAGAAGAGCGCAUACGCCUCCAGCAACUGCGCGAGACACUGGUGCAAGACCAGUCCGCCCGCGGGGACGGAGGCACGGCUAGACGCCGUGCCCGGGACGUCAACCGCCACAUCAUCGAGGACGAAGGGGGAGACAAUCCCCCAGUCUUCAGCACGGCCAGCCAAAACGUGAUGGCUGCUGCGCUCCUCCUCAGAGCGAUGCUCGAGCCAUCGACUCCCGAGGGGAGGAGGGUGCGCCAGGGGCUACGUGGCCUCCUAGAGCAGGCCGUGGUACAAAACGCAGAGAGCUCUGCGUCACAGUCCCACGAUGCGAGACGCCUAGGGGAUCAACCCCCUCCUAACAAGGCACCAACGGUAUAGGGCCCGGCGCCCCCUAACCCGCAAGGGGGCAACAGAGCCCCAUCUGUCCACGAACGUGUCGGGACCAACAUGGACGCCCGGGCUACCCUCGAGGCCAGACGACGUGACAGGGAUGAGGCCGAGUCUCGGCGCUACCGACCACACCGAGGCGAGAGGUACGAUCCCGACCACGAUCGCAGCGUGUCGCCAGAGCCUCCGGGCCCUCGCGUCUUCAGCGAGGCCAUCCGCGGGGCUAAGUUCCCGGCCCGAUUUCGACAGCCCGCUAACCUCACCAAGUACUCAGGGGAAACCAACCCUGAGCUUCGGCUAGCGGACUAUCGCCUAGCGUGCCAGCUAGGUGGAGCGGACGAUGACCUGCUCAUAAUCCGCAACUUGCCACUGCAUUUGGCCGAUUCAGCUAGGGCAUGGCUCGAGCAUCUUCCUGAGCGCAUGAUCCAUGGUUGGGCCGACCUAGUCAGGAACUUUGUCGGGAACUUCCACGGCACAUACAUGCGCCCUGGAAAUUCCUGGGACCUCAGGAGCAGGUAGAAGCCUGAUGAGUCCCUCCGAGACUUCAUUAGGCGAUUCUCCAAGCAGUGUACCGAGCUUCCCAACAUCACAGACUCCGAUGUCAUCGGGGCCUUCAUCGCUGGCACCACCUGCAAGGAGCUGGUACACGAGCUCGGACGCAAGACCCCCACGAGCACCAGCCAGCUGCUCGACAUUGCCACCAACUUUGCCUCGGGCGUAGAGACAGUUGGUGCAAUUUUCUCUGAUGGCGCUGCCCAGGGGAAACAAGGCCGAGACCACCAAGACCUCGGGCUCCCGCGACCCUAAGAAGAAGAAAAAGGGUCGCAAGGGGAAGCAGGGUCGGUCGGACGACAACCUGGUCGCCGCGGCGGAUCGCAAGAACCCCCUGCAGAAAUAGAUAAACAACAAAACUCGUGGAAUUUUAUCAAAUCAAACCCUAAUUCUAGGUGUUGCUUGUAUAUUAGUCCUUUUCCUUAUUUAUUUCAUGAAUUAAAUUGAUACUUAAGAACCGUCAACAAACACCCCCAUACUUAGGCUUUUACUCGUCCUUGAGAAAAGGAUGGUUUAGAAAAAAUAUUCGGGGUUAAAACAUUGUAAAGCAUUCUCUUCAUACCUGCAGGGUGUUGUAAAAAUCCGUUGUGUACAGUGGCGGAGCCAGGAUUUCACGGCUGGGUAUUCCACGUAUAAAAAAAAUUUAAUGUAUAUGUGCAAUAGUAAUAGGGGACAAAAUCAAUGCAAAAUUAAUCCUGAUGCACAACUUAAGUAGUACAUAUAAUUUUCUUAAAAUAUAUGCUAAGUGAAAUAUUUGUUUAUCCUGAUAACAAUGAAUCAGGCAAAGUGAGUCUAGUGUCGCCCUUGGUAAUAAUCAAAGUAUAUAUAAAUUCUUUAUCUAUGUUACAAGAACACAAUGCAACAUUUCUUAAAAAAAUCAGAACACAACAAAAAAAAGAAGAGAACGAAACCUUCAAUUCUUACUUUGAAGAAUAAAAAAUAAAUGUAGGAUCUUUGUGUUCAACUUGUUGUUGCUUCAAGCAGUAUAUGAGAAAGGCCGUAUAUGAGAAAGACGCUGAGGGGAGCCGUAUAUGAGAAAGCCUACAAAGACCACUAACCGGCGCCGCCGCUAGAGGAAUGUCGUCGAUGGGGUUUCUUUCUGAUGAGUUCAUAGGUUGUCGUUACUAGUUGUUCUACUAGGCUGAGAUCAACUUCAAGAGUUUAACUAUUCUUAUUGUUUAUGCUAUUUCAGAAUUUGUAUAGCAAAAAGUAGACUCCAACUAAUAUGCUAUCUAAUUUUGUAAAAUAGGAAGUUGGCUUUCUCUUGAUUUUCAGUGCUUAUUACAGACGCUAACUGUAAGACUUUGUAAAAUAACAAGAUUGUUGUAGAUCUCUUCUUUUUUUAGAAAUUUUCUAUUCGACAAAAUAGCUAAAUAAUAGAAUUUGACAAUUAAUUUUAGCCAGACUAUUGGAGUUGCUCUUAUGGGCUAUAUAUUUGCAACAUUCAACAAACUAACAUAUAUGCUGAUUAUAUAUAUAUAUGUAUAUAUACAUAUAUUUGUGUUUGCCAAAAAAUCAUGGGUAUUCCAUGGAAUACAGGGGCAUACCCUGGCGUCGCCCAUGGUUGUGUACCGUAGUCAGGGAAAUAUAUGGUCAAGAGUAGAGGUCCUUUCUUCUCAAUCCUGUCACUUGGAGUUUUUGUAUGUUUUUAAAAAAUAAAUUAGCAUACCUUUAUCCUCAUAGGUUCUCUCAGAUCACUCAUUUAUCUUUUAUAUAUCUCACUGAGGCUGUUUUAAUUUGCAGAAAUUCUUAAGCAUUCUUUCCUUGUAUUUAUUGCCUGAUCAAAACGGGAUCCGAGGAGAGGAAUGCCAUACUCUUAGAUCAAAGACUUUGGAAAUUAAAAACUUGUCAACUCUUACUCGCAUAUUGCUUAUUAGAGGGACCAUGGGCUAUCAUUUUCUCUCUUUUCUUCUUUUUUUUAGGUGGAUACCGAGGUACCCCUAAUUCUACUGCCGGACACUUGUCCAUUUUUUCUGCGAGGUUGUCGAGCACUUGCUCCUUUUAAAUUUCCUCGAAAUAUUCAUAUUUUUGCAUAGCCCAUGCCUCUAACGCAAUAAUACUUCGGAAGAGUGAAUCUUUCUGAAUAAAUAUCUUGAUCUUAGGAGUAUGAUAAAUCUCUCAACAAGGGUCUAACUCAUUUUGAACAAACUCAAUACAGAGCAGAUAGCUUUUAUAAUUAUCAUAAUUAAUAUUUUCAGGUUUAGCAGGCAUAUAAAACACUGAGGAUGGUAGCUAGAAUUUUUGAAGAUUUUGAAAUAAAUUAUCUAAGCAACAACGAUAUCAAGAAUAAGGUACUCAUACUCUACCAUCUCACAUUCCACACUGACUUAAGUGACACAGGGUUUUUAAAUGAUUUUUAAUAAUUGCAAGUUUUUAGGAAAUAUCACAGAGUGAGAUUAAUCAUGAUUAGAAAUAUUUUUAUCUUUUUAAUUUAUUAUGUUACAGAGAAUAUUCUGUACGAACCAAGAUAUAUGUGUAUGUGUAAAGUGUGCAGAGUAUGUACCUGGAUCGUGGAGUGGUGUAGUCGGCAUGUCGGGAGAUCUCCCCCAUACUUGUUUUCUGCUUACUUACAUAAAAAUAAAGUAGAGACACACAAGACAUAAUAAUAAUAAUCUUUAUUAAUCUUGAGGCAUUUAUUACAACUGACUAAUAAUGAACUGAAGCUAAUAAUAGAUCUAAGCCGAAUCUAAAGAUGAAUAACUAAGAUACACUGCCUCAAGAUCUAAUCUAGAUAACUUAGUGGCGCUCUAACUCCCUAAUCUUCUUAUUAGCACUAGCAAGAUCAUGCUUAAGACCUAGUAUAACGGUGUGUUGAUAUUUGGGAACGCAAUAAGGAAUUGAUCCGGAAGCGCACGGAUAUCGGUGAGCACUUCACCCGGGAAAUUAUCCAGAGUAUCGUAUUUAUUUUUUUACCACUAGGAGAAAGAGUGUAUCUGACUAACCGGUCUAUUACUACUAACCCUUUAGGCACAAAGAAUGUCUUUCGAUGUGAGUGAUAAAUAGAGAAGACUGCAACCGUAGUCUCCUUCUAACCUUGGUAAGGAUGAUCUACUGUUCUAAUGGGGAGGCUAACGGAAUCUAGACACCACAAAGGAUGUUCAACCCGCACCUAUAAACCCUAUCCUUCCUGCUAACGAGAUGUGGUCUGCAAAGGUAACUCAGAAUUGUCACGUUCCUCACUACUACCACGGUGCAGCUAGUCAGGGAAUAUCUAUGAGUACCCCAGCCUAAACACCACGUUUACGCCAGCAAUGAUUACUCUAAACUCUACGCGAAGAGAUUAAAGUAAACUCAUAAACCAUAAGAACAAUAAAACAAGAACUUACUAGAAUUUAGAAGUCGAAAUACUGAAGAAUCCUAGGAGCAAGCUUCGGGUUAGGAGAACUUGAUUCCGCAGGUACAAGCUUGGAGUAGACACCGACAGGCCGGGCUUCCUCCAAUCAACACCUCCACUCUAUCUCUGUCAAUCUAGUAGAAACUAGAAGAUCUAUUUCUACUUUACAUUGGUUGCUAAGCCUAAAAAGAAAUAUUAAUUAGAGAAGAGGUUUUCCUUCGAGGGCACCCCUCAAUCUCUAUGAUAAUUUCUUCAUGUCUUCUCCAGGGGCCACGGGGUCUCCUUAUAUAGUCCUCCUCCUUUAUGCGUUUUUGGGUCGGUAGGCGAGGUGGUACUAUGUUUUUCUUGAUCCAAUAGGUCGGUGGAAUAUCCCGUGCGAAGAGAGUCCUGAUUGGCAUCCAACAGGGGGCGGGCGCCCAGGUCACCCGGGCGGGCGCCCUGGGCCUGGCCCCUUUCGGCCUCUGCCUUCUUCCCGUGGCUUCUGGAGUCUUCUAGAUGGUAGAAAAUCGCGUGGUGCGUUGAUAUCUCUAUGUAAUCCCGACAUGUGGGCCUUUCUUCCUUAUUUCCUGAUAACCCCCUGCAGAAACAGAUAAACAACAAAACUCGUGGAAUUCUGUGAGAUCAAACCCUAAUUCUAGGUGCUGGUUGCAUAUUGGUCCUUUCUCUUGUUUAUUUGAUAAUUAAAAUUGAUACUUAAGAACCGUCAACAAAUACCCCCAUACUUAGGCUUUUACUCGUCCUCGAGAAAAGGAUGGUUAAGAACAAUAUCUGGGGUCAAACAUUUUAAAAGCAUUCUCUUUAUAAUUGCAGGGUGUUAAAAUUCCACCGUGUACCUAGUCAGGGAUAUUUAUGGUUAAGAGUAAAGAUCCUUUCUUCUCAAUCCUGUCACUUGGAGUUUUUGUAUAUUUUUGAAAGAAAGUUAGCAUACCUUUUUAUCCUCAUAGGUUCUUCUCAGAUCACUCAUUAUCUUUUAUAUCUCACUGAGGUUGUUUUAUUUUGCUAAAAUUCUCAAGCAUACUUACUUUGCAUUUAUUGCCUGAUCAAAACGGGAUCCGUGGAGGGAAAUGUCAUACUCUUAGAUCAAAGACUUUGGAAAUUAAAAUCUUUGUCAACUCUUGCUGGCAUAUUGCUUAUUAGAGGGACCAUGGGCUACCAUUUUCUCUUUUUCUUCUUCUCUCUCUUUUUUUUAAGUGGAUACCGAAGUACCCCUAAUUCUACUGCCGGACACUUGUCCAUUUUUCCGCGAGGUUGUCGAGCACUUGCUCCUUUUUAUUUCCUCGAAAUAUCUCUAUUUUUGCAUAGCCCAUGCCUCCAAUGCAAUAAUACUUCGGAAGAGUGAUUCUUUCUGGAUAAAUGUCUUGAUCUUAGGAGCAUGAUAAAUCUCUCAACAAGGGUCUAACUCAUUUUGAACAAACUCAAUACAGAGCAGAUAGCUUUUAUAAUUAAUAUUCAAUAUUUUCAGUUCUAUCAGGCAUAUAAAACACUGAGGAUGGUAGCUAGAAUUUUGAAUAUUUUGAAAUAAAUUCUCCAAGCAACAAUGAUAUCAAGAAUAAGAAACUCAUACUCUACCAUCACAUAUUCCACAAUGACUUAAGUAACACAGGGUUUUAAAAUGAUUUUAUAAUAAUUGCAAGGUUCAGGAAAUAUAACAGAGUGAGAUUAAUCAUGAUUAGUAAUAUUUUAAUCUUUUUAAUUUAUCAUGUCAGAAACAGUAAUCUGCAUAAUCAAGAUAGUUGUAUGUGUAAAGUAAAGUGUGCAGAGUGUGUACCUGAAUCGUGGAGUGGUGUGGUCGAGGUGUGUUUACCAUGUCGAGGGAUCUCCCCCAUACUUGUUUUCUGCUUUGUUGCACAAAAAUAAAGUAGAGACACACAAGACAUAAUAAUAAUAAUACUCUUUAUUAAUCUUGAGGCAUUUAUUACAAAAGACUAGUAGCAAACUGAUAAUAGCAAACUGAUGAUAAUAGCAAACCUAAACCGAAUUUAAAGAUAGAUGACUAAAAUGCAUUGCCUCAAGGUCUAAUCUAGAUAACUUAGCGGCGCUCUAAUUCCUUAAUCUUCUUGUUGGCACUAGCAAGAUCCUGCCUGAGGCCUAGUAUAAUAGUGUUGUGGUUAGAGAGCUGCCUAGUGAGGGAAUUAAUCGAGGACUGGAGGUCUAUGAUAACUCUGUCUAGUCUGCGAACGUCCUCAUCAAUAUCCAUUAUAGUCUUGUGACGCUUGGGAGGUGUCUCAAAAGCAUUGAGAGCGUGCUUAGGGGCUGCCUUUGGAGGGAUGAAACGGACUUUGGCUGCUCUAAUCCCUUCAAAGUAAGGUCUUUCCUCCUCCGUAGUGUAGCGUACACUGCUGAUCUCGCCGCUCCGGUUGGUCUUGACUCCAACGACCCUCUCAUUGGGUCUAGGUGGAAGGAUCCUCAUGCCGGUUGGCACCUUGAUAGUGGUCUUCGUCUUGGAUGAUGAUCCUUUGAGGAGUAGGGGUUGUGGCGGUGCGGUGAGAACUGGUUGAACAUGGUAAGAUUGGGCGGAGCUGCAUUGGCGUAAUGGCAUGGCUUCUAGCUGUCGCUCUGUGUUGGCCGGGACGAGAGCACAGGCAUCGGGGUCUUCUACAGGCUCCAUGUUGAGGUUGAAGGGGACGACUUCCCAAUCAUCGUGGUACUUCUUGGCCAUUGGAGCAGCAAGGAACUAAUCAAGCUCUAAUUGAAGGAGAGAAGGCUUGGUGGCUUGGUGUUUGAAAACUGAGGUCAGGGGUCUGUUUAUAUAGGGGUCAAAAAGUGCCUCUAUGGGUUGUUCGGGUUUCUCCCGUCGAUGUGCAUGCGAAACUUUCCAUCCGAGGGAUUAUUCAGAUUACCAUAAGUGCAUUUUCCAUAACAGAGAAAAUCAGGACCGAGGGGGAACAGGAGCUGGGCGCCCGCCCACCUGAGCUGGGCGCCCGCCCUCUCUCUGGCCCCUCUGUGGGCCCACUUUCUCGAGCGCGUUUCUAGAUACGAAAUUAUUUAGAAAAAUAUAUAUAUGACCCAAAAACAUAAGACUAAAAAGGUCGGGCUCUAAUUCUCCAUGGGGAGGUAAAAAUGGACUACGUCUAUUUCUUCAAAUUCUUCAUUAGGCUCUAAAAAUAAUUUAAGACGUUGACUAUUCACCUUGAAUAACGUACCUUCGCUAUUUUGAAGUGUGAUAGCUCCAUGGGAUGAUGAAUUAAUUACCUUGAAUGGUCCUUCCCAUUUGCUCCGGAGUUUUCCAUGCCCGAAAAGCUUCACCCUGGAAUUAAAAAGUAAUACCUUAUCUCCGGGUGUGAACUCCUUCUUCUUGAUUCUCUUGUCAUGCCACCUUUUGACUCUUUCUUUGUAGAUCUUUGAGUUGUGAUAUGCUUUCUCUCGCCAUUCUUCCAAUUCUGAAAGUUGCAUUCUUCUAUAAUCUCCAGCAACAUCUAGGUCCAUAUUCCAUCUCUUUACGGCCCAGUGUGCUUUGAACUCUAGUUCAACAGGUAGAUGGCAAGUCUUCCCGUACACCAAUUGGUAUGGAGACAUUCCGAUUGGGGUCUUGUAUGCUGUCCGAUAUGCCCAGAGUGCAUCGGGUAACUUGUCUUUCCACGCCGUUCCCAUUUCAUUUACUGUCUUCUGAAGAAUAUUCUUGAUUUGUUUGUUGGAAGUCUCUGCUUGGCCACUUGUCUGAGGAUGAUAAGGGGUAGCAACGUUGUGACGGAUUCCAUGUUUUGCUAGAUAUUGCUUGAAGCGUUUGUCAAUGAAGUGUGCUCCUCCAUCACUUAUCACUACUCUGGGGACUCCAAAUCUUAGAAAUAUAAUUUCUUCAAACAUCCUCUUUGAACUGACGUUGUCGGCAUGCUUGCAAGGUAACGCUUCUACCCACUUGGAAACAUAGUCAACCGCCAUCAAGAUAUACUCAUACUUCUUUGAUGGAGGAAAUGGACCCAUGUAGUCUAUUCCCCAGACAUCAAAGAGCUCAAUUUGAAGGUUGUUGGUGAGUGGCAUUGCAUCCCUUGUAUUUAUGUUUCCGUGUCUUUGACAUGGCCCACAUCUUCUGAUAUAUUGCUUCGUGUCUUCAUACAUUGUAGGCCAGUAGAAUCCACACUGCCAGAUCUUUGAAUGUGUACGGAAUGCUCCAUAGUGACCUCCAUAUAGUGAUGAAUGACAUCUGUCGAUGAUCUUCCAUCCUUCCUCAGUGGUCACACAUCUCCUGAGUAAGCCAUCAGAGCAUACUCGGAAGAGGUAUGGCUCAUCCCAUAUAUGUGAACGACUUUCUUGAAUAAGCUUCUUCUUAUUUGCUCCUGGUGGUACAUACCCUGAAACCAUAAAAUUAACAAUAUCUGCAUACCAGGGGUCAGACCUGUUAAUCCCGUUGAGCAUGUCGUCCCGGAGUGAAUCAUUGAUGGGGGUUUCCUGUGGACUCUUAAAAUACAUUCUAGACAAGUGAUCAGCAACAGAAUUUUCUACUCCCUUUUUAUCUUUUAUUUCUAAGUCAAAUUCUUGGAGUAAUAAGAUCCAUCUAAUCAGGCAAGGUUUAACAUCUUUUUUAAUGAGCAAAUAUUUUAGUGCAGCAUGAUCAGUGUAAACAAUUAUUUUAGCUCCAACUAAAUAAGAUCUAAAUUUAUCAAUGGCAAAGACAACAACCAGAAGCUCUUUUUUAGUGGUUGCAUAAUUAAGUUGAGCUCCUGUCAAAGUUUUACUGGCAUAAGCAAUUGCAUGAUGCUUCUUAUUUUUAGUUUGUCCCAAUACUGCCCCCACAGCAUAAUCACUAGCAUCACACAUAAUUUCAAAAGGCAACGACCAAUCAGGGGGUUGAAUGAUUGGUGCAGAGAUGAGUGCUUUCUUUAAUAAAUUGAAAGAUGUUAGACAUGCAUCAUCAAAUUCGAAAGGAGCAUCCUUGGCUAGCAACAGAGUAAGUGAUCUAGCAAUAAAUGAAAAAUCUUUUAUGAAUCCACGAUAAAAACUAGCAUGACCAAGAAAGCUUCGAAUUCCUUUUAUGUUCACAGGUGGAGGUAGUUGUUCAAUUACUUCAAUUUUAGCUUUGUCUACCUCAAUACCUCUUUCAGACACUAGGUGUCCCAGCACUAUUCCUUCCCUAACCAUAAAAUGACAUUUUUCCCAAUUAAGGAUUAAGUGCUUUUCUUCACAUCUUUGCAAAACCUUGUCCUUGUUUUCAAGACAACUAUCAAAAGUUUUUCCAUAAACAGAGAAAUCAUUCAUGAAAACUUCCAUAAUCUCUUCAAUCAUAUCAGAAAAUAUAGACAUCAUGCAUCUUUGAAAAGAAGCUGGUGCAUUACAUAACCCAAAAGACAUUCUACGGUAAGCAUAAGUUCCAUAUGGGCAUGUAAAAGUGGUUUUGCUUUGAUCAUCGGGAUGGAUCGGGAUCUGAUGAUACCCUGAAUAUCCAUCUAAGAAACAGAAGAACGAAUGGUUUGCUAACCGCUCUAGCAUCUCAUCUAUAAAAGGUAAAGGAAAGUGAUCUUUUCUCGUGGCUUUGUUUAGUUUUCUAUAGUCUAUGCACAUCCGCCAUCCUGUGACGGUGUGUUGCGGAAUUAGCUAGUUCUUUUCAUUCAUAAUAACAGUCAUGCCUCCCUUUUUAGGCACAACUUGCACUGGGCUUACCCACUCACUGUGCGGCACAGGAUAUAUAAUCCCUGCAUGCAGCAACUUUAUAACUUCCUUUUUAACUACCUCUCUCAUAGUGUUGUUAAGUCUACGUUGGGGUUCUCGAGAGGGUGAAACAGAAGGAUCUGUUGGAAUACGAUGGGUACAAAUCAUAGGACUGAUUCCUGUAGGAUCUUGGAGUGAGUAGCCGAAAACUGAGUGAUGUUUCUCAAGAAUGGUCAUUAAUCGCAGAGUUUGAUCCUGAGUGAGUUUAUCGCUAAUGAUUACAGGGAACUGUGGAUUAUUGUUUAGGAAAGCAUAGGUAAGACCGGGUGGUAAAGUUUUAAGCUCUAUGGGGGUCUAGGUGUUUCUGCAAACUCAUCUAAGGGUUCAAGCUCAGAAGGCUCGUCUUCUUCUUCUGUGAAGAAAGGAGUUUCGUCUUCUAAGUCUGAUUCAUCUCAAAGCUCUAGAGAUGCAGCCUUUACCUCCUCCAUAGGAUCAGGCAAAAGAUAUGAUUCGGCCUUAUUGUUUAAGGAGUGUGAAAUUGUUAUUGGGAUUUUAAAGGUUUUUCCAAAAGAAAUGUGUAGCUUUCCAGUAUGACCUUCAUAAAGGAGUCUUCUAAAAGGUUGUCCUAUCAACAGGUCGAAGUCCCAUGUAUCAAAGAUAUAGAAGUUCAAAUGAACCAUGGAGCCUUCUACCGUAAGAGGUAGGACAUUAAUAAUUCCAAGACUGGGGACUAAUCGUCCCGAAGAUUCCUUUAUGACCUUUGUUGUGGGGGUUAAGGCAAGAUUUUUAAAUAGUUUAAGUGCAAAAGAUUCAGACAUGAUGUUGAUCCCCACAACAGGAUUAUAUAGAGCAUUAAAUCGAUCAGAAUUAUAAGCACAACGUAUAGUUAUAGAGGGUGUGUCCAAACGGAUCACAUCAGAGGAAAGCUCUGAUUCCUCCAACCAUUCGCUACUCAUUACUGAGAUAAGCUCUCUCAAUUGAUAUUCACUUGGCAAAUAAAUGCUAAACUGGCCAUUUUGGGGUUUGUCAAUAGAAUGGUAGUUUGAAAUGUUUCCAAAAUCGGCAAAAAGAUCGGAUUCUAUAUCCAGCAUGAAGUCCGGUGGUGGAAUUUCUUCCUCUUGUGGCUCAGAACUUGGGAUAGCUAAAGUAGAUGAAGAAUUUGGCAGAGUGUCUACUUCGGCUUCGUAGGUUUCAUUAUCCAUCUCAGCUUCUAGGAUUCUAUCUAGGAUCACUCUAGCUUCAUCAGCAGGGAUGCGAAAGAAAGAACCUCUAGACAUUGUGUGUAGCAUUUGUUUGUGAUUUUUAUGAAGACCUCAAAAAAGUGGAAUAAAAGAACAGGGUCUUCAAGAUUAAGGUUUGGACCAGAUUCUAAAAGAUCAGAAAAACGUUUCCAGGAUUUUCCCAAAGUUUCAUUAUCUUUUUGUUUAAAAGAUAGGACUUCGAGUCUAAGGUCGGCUAUACGGUCAAGGGAAUAGAAAUCUAGACAAAAGUUAGCUCGUAAAACUCCCCAUUCACCUUGUUGUUGACUUACCUUCUGACUGUACCAUUGUCUAGCUUCUCCCCUUAAAGAAAAAGGAAAAAGCUUCCAACGUAAAGUUUUAUCACAAAUGCCUUCAAUACGAAGACAAUCACAUGUUUGCUCAAAAUCUCUAAUAUGAAGGUAAGGGUUUUCGUCUUCCUUUUCCAAAAAAGAUAGGUUUUGAAUCAUGGCAAUCAACCUAGAACUUAACUUAUACUGGGAUGUUUGGAUAGGCUGUGAUGAUUCCCAUGGUAAAAGGUCAGUUACUGAAGGGAUUGCAGACUCAUGGAUCGAUUUAGAAUUUUGGUUUUCCAUAAGGUAAGGGUAAAGAAAAUAAAUACAGAAUAUAAAAGAUAAGAAAAGAUAAAAGUAUAGAUACAAGCUUGUAGUAAGACUCAGGUUAUCUCAGCAACCGUCUUUCUCCCCGGCAACGGCGCCAGAAAUGCUUGUUGAUAUUUGGGAACGCAAUAAGGAAUUGAUCCGCAAGCGCACGGAUAUCGGUGAGCACUUCACCUGGGAAAUUAUCCAGAGUAUCGUAUUUAUUUUUUUACCACUAGGAGAAAGAGUGCAUCUGACUAACCGGUCUAUUACUACUAACCCUUUAGGCACAAAGAAUGUCUUUCAAUGUGAGUGAUAAAUAGAGAAGACUGCAACCGUAGUCUCCUUCUAACCUUGGUAAGGAUGAUCUACUGUUCUAAUGGGGAGGCUAACGAAAUCUAGACACCACAAAGGAUGUUCAACCCGCACCUAUAAACCCUAUCCUUCCUGCUAACGAGAUGUGGUCUACAAAGGUAACUCGAAAUUGUCACGUUCCUCACUACUACCACGGUCCAGCUAGUCAGGGAAUAUCUAUGAGUACCCCAGCCUAAACACCACGUUUACGCCAGCAAUGAUUACUCUAAACUCUACGCGAAGAGAUUAAAGUAAACUCAUAAACCAUAAGAACAAUAAAACAAGAACUUACUAGAAUUUAGAAGUCGAAAUACUGAAGAAUCCUAGGAGCAAGCUUCGGGUUAGGAGAACUUGAUCCCGCAGGUACAAGCUUGGAGUAGACACCGACAGGCCGGGCUUCCUCCAAUCAACACCUCCACUCUAUCUCUCUCAAUCUAGUAGAAACUAGAAGAUCUAUUUCUACUUUACAUUGGUUGCUAAGCCUAAAAAGAAAUAUUAAUUAGAGAAGAGGUUUUCCUUCGAGGGCACCCCUCAAUCUCUAUGAUAAUUUCUUCAUGUCUUCUCCAGGGGCCAGGGGGUCUUCUUAUAUAGUCCUCCUCCUUUAUGCGUUUUUGGGUCGGUAGGCGAGGUGGUACUAUGUUUUUCUUGAUCCAAUAGGUCGGUGGAAUAUCUCGUGCGAAGAGAGUCCUGAUUGGCAUCCAACAGGGGGCGGGCGCCCAGGUCACCAGGGCGGGCGCCCUGGGCCUGGCCCCUUUCGGCCUCUGCCUUCUUCCCGUGGCUUCUGGAGUCUUCUAGAUGGUAGAAAAUCGCGCGGUGCGUUGAUAUCUCUAUGUAAUCCUGACAGGUGGGCCUUUCUUCUUAUUUCCUGACACUACAAGAAAUUUGUCUUUCUAUGACAAAAUGCGAAAUGACGAGGUCUGUUAUCGUCAUAUAAUAUCACAUAAUAUGACGGUACUUUUAGGGUCUUCAUAAUUUCGUGAGGCCAAGAAAAUUUUAUGACGACACAACUUUAUUUGUCACAUAAAGGUAUGAAAAUUCGUCACAUAUUGCCUGGCGCCAGGAGCCGGUAGACGAUAUUGCUUUUAUGACGCUUAGAGGUAUGUUUAUGUGAUGAUUUGGCGGCGUCACUUUAUGUUUAUUAAAAAAAUGACUGGCCCGAAUGUAAAUAUAUCUCUGUGGUGGACCGUACCCCAUUCAAGUUGACCGCAAUCACUUUCCCCUUCUCCCCGAGCGGCGAGCGCGGAGGGCGGCGAGCGGCGCGCGCGCGGGCAGCGGGAUCUGGACGGCCGGCGUUGGGCAGGAUCCAGGUGGAGCUGCCUCUCCCUCUCCCUAGGUCAGGGCGUGGUUGUCUGGGUGGAGGCCACACGAGCUCCGCUGCCCGCAGGCCGCCUGAAGGAGCGCGAAUCUCCGGUGACCGCCACAACGAAAUCAGGUUGUUACGCGGGCGUGCUCCUACUCCCCACUUCCUCAUGCCCCUCCUCAUCCCCUUUAAUUUGGUCGACAGCGGCACCCUCAUGCCCUCCCUGUUCAUAUUUCAAUUUUUUUGAACCGUGUACAUAUUUCUAUUGGCAUCAUAGUUGCUAAUCAUUCCCAUGUGCAUCAAUCAGGGAUCAUGUCGCAGGCCUCAUCAUCAACUGUGCGUAGUAGGCGCCAAAGCGCAACUAGAGAUGUUGUAGAACCCAGGCCCCUUGCUAUUGUUGCUGCAGGCAGUUUGCCGAUUGGCGUCGAUCUGGAGGCGCCGAUCGAUGAAGUGACUAGAUUGCCGUUGAUAGUGUGCCCAACUUGCAAGGAUGUGAGAGUGUUUGCUGCUAAUACCAAGAACGGGAGUAAUGUUGGAAAGAGAUUUUUCAAGUGUCCUAGGAAGAACUAUAAUAAUGUAAGUAAAGUGGUUGUUUAAUUUGCAUUGCCCAAAUUUUAUUCUUGUUUGCAGUGGUUGACUUUGCUCAAAUUUGGAUGUAGGGGACAUGUGAUAGGUUUUGGUUCGAUGAAGAAUAUGUGGUGUACCUUCACGAUAAUGGACAUCUACCAUCAGCAUCCUCCACCAUUGAAGCAGGUUUGACAACCGAGGUUCCUGAGCUUGUGAAAAAAAUUGAUAGCUUGGAGCAAAAUCUGAACAAGGUGCAAGAAAUGGUUAGCAAGAACAGAGAAGGCAUGGGAAGCUUCAUUUGUCUCAUGUGUGGAUGUGUGAAUGUAACAAUAGUCCUGCUGGUUGCCAUCUUCUUAGUUGUAGCUUUUGUGCUGAAGUAGGCAAUGUUGAUGAUGUAUUGGCUUUUGUGUUGAAGUUGUACUAUUGAAGAACAAGUUGUAAUGAACAUUGUGGUGGAUGUAUGUGUUCUUCCUAGGAAGUAAGGGCAUUCAAGCUCUUGUGGAAUCUGUGUGUUUGUGAUGUAUGUUGGAAAUGAAGAUAUCAAUUGCUUAUGAUGAUUUAGUUGUGUGGGAUGAAAUUUUUGCAGACUGUGCAUCUUUAUGCCAGCCUAUACAUUUUGUGACAAAAUAUAUACUUUUUAUGACAGAAUCUGGGCAUUCCAUGACAAUUUCAUUGUCAUGAAAGAUUGCCAUUCAAUGAAAGAAUCUGGGUAACUUGCAUGAUAUAUCUAGUAUCCACUGAAAACAAAUUCAUUGCAUAUAAGGUCAUACAAAUUCAGAAUUUUGAUACAAUUGUAGUAGCAUAAUUGAAAUACACAACAACAAAAUUUCUAAAGUCUCUAGAAAUGCAAAGGUUAUUCAUCAUCAUUGUCUUCUCCUGAAGUAUUGCCUUCUUCUGGACUAUGGUACUCAAGGUAGGUGUCAUCUUCAUCUUCUUCAUCACCUUGUGUGUUAUCACCAUUAGUUGUAUGGUCUUGUCAGCGGAUGUUGUCCACGAGGUGUCUACUAAUAGGGCUGCCUGGUUCAUUAUCCAAGUGCAACAAAUCCAAGUCUGGAUGAAUGUCUCCCACUGCACCAUCUCUCAAUCCACUAUGCUCCCCUUGGUAUGCCUCUUGACAUCUCAUCUGAACUUGUUCAUGGAUGGGUUGGUUUGUGCCGGUCUCUAGAACAUCAAAUAAAUGUCGGUGGCCAAAUUCUUGUACCACUUUCCAACAUGGACCUAACUUUGUAUCCUCCAAGAAAAAUACUUGUGUAGCAUCUGUGGCUAUAAUGAAAGGAUCAUUUUUAUACCAACGGCCUUGGGUGUUUAUGCUCUUGAAAUAACCAUCAUCUUUCAUUUGGUUUGUCCUUCCCUCUAAAUUGUACCAUUCACACCGUAAUAAGAUAACAGUUCUACGCCCUUUGCUGUUGUUACUGUAACUCAACUCAAUAAUAUCCGUGAUUGUCCCAUAGAAGUCAAUUGUGUGAUCACCAUGAGUACCUGCACUUUUGAUGGUGGAGUUCUGUGUCUUCCUGUGUUCGUCACGAGCCAGAGUGUGCAACCGUACCCCAUUGAUUAUACACGCUGUGUAUGAACGCACUCUCGGAUCCGGCCGGCAUGCUAGUGAGUAUAAGUCUUCAUCAACAUGUGUGGUGCCUUCAUAUUUCAAUCUAGUAAUCUGCAUGAUGAAAACAUAUUGAGUUAGUGAGUUUCAGAAUGUAGUGUAUCAUAAGUUAUUUAGUCAUGUUGUAGAAGUUGCACACACAUGAUUCUCAAACCAUGCAGCAAAUUGUGUUGACAUCAUUUUUUCAACAUCAUUGACCUCUUCUUGUUGUAAUUGUGCCCUGUACAUGCUGAAAAAGGAUGAAAAUAAUUAGUUUUUUGUGACACAAGUAUUGACUAAAGUUGGCUGCAAUGGAAUUGGAGCAAUUACUUACUCUUUGUAUUCAUCAACCUCUUCACAGUUAUUUAGAACAAACCAGACCAUGGAGUCAUAGUCUUUUUCUGCAUAUUGAAAUUUUGAAGCACCCACCAGGUGAACACGAUGACCAAAAAUAGAAAACCAUUGGGUGAGGUGUCUCCAUCCAAGUUCCUGUCAGGCCUAGUGAACCUAUUAAUGAUGUCACUAAAGUAUGUUGAGCAUUGGGUCAUACACUCAUAGGCAGUGUAUGCCUCUGCAAUAGAUCCUUCAGGUCUUGCUUUAUUGCGGACGAAACGCUUAAAGGUGCCCAAUCUUCUCUCAAUGGGAUACAUCCAUCCAUACUGCACCGGUCCCCUAAGAAGUGCCUCAUCAGGUAAGUGUACUGCUAGAUGAACCAUGACAUCAAAGAAUGCAGGUGGAUAAAUUUUCUCUAGCUUGCAAAGGAUAAGCACAAUAUCUUCCUUCAGCUUUUUUAGUGCAUCAACCUUUACAGUUUUUGAGCAAAGUUGUCUAAAAAAACUACCCAAUUCAGUAAUUACUUCAUAUAUGUCUUUUCUCACCAAACCACGAAGGCCAACUGGUAAAAUACGUUGCAAUAGUAUAUGACAGUCUUGUGUUUUCAGCCCAUGUAUUGAACCUGCUCCCUCCAUAUUGACACACCUUGAUAUAUUGGAGGCAUAGCCAUCUGGAAACUUAACAUUGCUCACAAAUUGCAAGAACUUCUUCUUAGCUUCUGGUGUUAGAACGUAACAAGCUUUUGGCUUGGAGGAUGUAUUACCACUGUCAUCUAGCAAAUGAAGCUCUUUUCUUAUACCUCUUUCUUCCAAAUCUACUCGAGCAGAAACUGUGUCUUUUGUCUUGUUUGGAAUAUUGAGAAGCGUAAACCAAAAAUAUUUUCACAUAUGUUUUUCUCUAUGUGCAUAACAUCAAGGUUGUAUUGUAGCUUCAAUUUUGACCAGUAUGGCAAAUCAUACAAGCUAACCUUUAGAUGCCAUACUGGUUCUCCAUCACGACGUCGUUUUCUUGAUCUCGGCAUAUCUGGAUUUUUGCCAGGAACAUAGCAAACUUCAUCCAACCUUGCCAUAACCUCAUCUACACUAAAUUUCCUUGGUGGUUCUCUAUUUUCAUGGUGGCCAUUGAAAGAUCUAUUUUUCCUCCAAACAUGGUCGCUUGGGAGGAACCGUCUAUGUCCUAUGAAUCCAAUUUUGUUUUUCAGACAUUCGGAGCAUGGAUUCUCAUCACAGUGCACACAUGCAAAGUAACCCUUAGUGGUUCUACCUGACAUGGUGCCUAAUGCAGGAUAGUCAUUGAUUCCCCACAGAAUCGCUGCACGCAGGCUGAACUCUUUGCCUUCAUAUGCAUCAAAAGUAGAGACACCAUUCCACAGAGUCAUCAUGUCUUCUAUCAAAGGUUGCAUGAAUGUUGAUAUUUGGGAACGCAAUAAGGAAAUGAUCCGCAAGCGCACGGAUAUCGGUGAGCAUUUCACCCGGGAAAUUAUCCAGAGUAUCGUAUUUAUUUUUUUUACCACUGGGAGAAAGGGUGCAUCUGACUAACCAAAUCUAUUGCUACUAUCCCUUUAGGCACAAAGAAUGUCUUUCGAUGUGAGUGAUAAAUAGAGAAGACUGCAACCGUAGUCUCCUUCUAACCUUGGUAAGGAUGAUCUACUGUUCUAAUGGGGAGGCUAACGGAAUCUAGACACCACAAAGGAUGUUCAACCCGCACCUAUAAACCCUAUCCUUCCUGCUAACGAGAUGUGAUCUACAAAGGUAGCUCGGAAAUGUCACGUUCCUCACUACUACCACGGUCCAGCUAGUCAGGGAAUAUCUAUGAGUACCCCAGCCUAAACACCACGUUUACGCCAGCAAUGAUUACUCUAAACUCUACGCGAAGAGAUUAAAGUAAACUCAUAAACCAUAAGAACAAUAAAACAAGAACUUACUAGAAUUUAGAAGUUGAAAUACUGAAGAAUCCUAGGAGCAAGCUUCGGGUUAGGAGAACUUGAUCCCGCAGGUACAAGCUUGGAGUAGACACCGACAGGCCGGGCUUCCUCCACUCUACACCUCCACUCUAUCUCUCUCAAUCUAGUAGAAACUAGAAGAUCUAUUUUUACCUUACAUUGAUUGCUAAGCCUAAAAAGAAAUAUUAAUUAGAGAAGAGGUUUUCCUUCGAGGGCACCCCUCAGUCUCUAUGAUAAUUUCUUCAUGUCUUCCAGGGGCCAGGGGGGCCUCGCUUAUAUAGUCCUCCCCUUCUAUGCGUUUUUGGGUCGAUAGCCGAGGUGGUACUAUGUUUUUCUUGAUCCAAUAGGUCGGUGGAAUAUCCCGAGCGAAGGAGUCCUGAAUUGGCUCCAGCAGGGGGGCGGGCGCCGAGGCUUCCAGGGCGGGCGCCCUGGGCCUGGCCCAGCUUCGCCUCCGCUUCGGUCUCGUGGCUUCUGGAGUCUUCUAGAUGAUGUAAAAUUGCGCGGUGCGUUGAUAUCUCUAUGUAAUCCCGACAUGUGGGCCUUUCUUCCUUAUUUCCUGAUAACCCCCUGCAGAAAUAGAUAAACAACAAAACUCGUGGAAUUCUGUCAGAUCAAACCCUAAUUCUAGGUGAUGGUUGCAUAUUGGUCUUUUCUCAUGUUUAUUUGAUAAUUAAAAUUGAUACUUAAGAACCGUCAACAAAUACCCCCAUACUUAGGCUUUUACUCGUCCUCGAGAAAAGGAUGGUUAAGAACAAUAUCUGGGAUAAACAUUUAAAACAUUCUCUAUAUAAUUUGCAGGGUGUUAAAAUUCCACUGUGUACUGUAGUCAGGGAAGUAUAUGGUUAAGAGUAAAGAUCCUUUCUUCUCAAUCCUGUCACUUGGAGUUUUUGUAUAUUUUUUGAAAGAAAGUUAGCAUACCUUUUUGAUCCUCAUAGGUUCUCUCAGAUCACUCAUUAUCUUUUAUAUAUCUCACUGAGGCUGUUUUAUUUUGCAAAAAUUCUCAAGCAUACUUACUUUGCAUUUAUUGCCUGAUCAAAACGGGAUCCGAGGAGGGGAAUGUCAUACUCUUAGAUCAAAGACUUUGGAAAUUAAAAUCUUUGUCAACUCUUGCUGGCAUAUUGCUUAUUAGAGGGACCAUGGGCUAUCAUUUUUUUUCAAUUUUUUUUUAAGUGGAUACCGAGGUACCUCUAAUUCUACUGCCGGACACUUGUCCAUUUUUUUCUGCGAGGUUGUCGAGCACUUGCUCCUUUUUAUUUCCUCGAAAUAUCUCUAUUUUUGCAUAGCCCAUGCCUCUAAUGCAAUAAUACUUCGGAAGAGUGAAUCUUACUGAAAUAGUGUCUUGAUCUUGGGAGCAUGAUAAAUCUCUCAACAAGGGUCUAACUCAUUUUGAACAAACUCAAUACAGAGCAGAUAGCUUUUAUAAUCAUAAUUAAUAUUUCAGUUUUAUCAGGCAUAUAAAACACUGAGGAUGGUAGCUAGAAAUUUGAAUAUUUUGAAAUAAAUUCUCCACGCAACAAUGAUAUCAAGAAUAAGAAACUCAUACUCUACCAUCACAUAUUCCAUCUUGACUUAAGUAACACAGGAUUUUUUUAAAAAUGAUUUUAUACUAAUUGCAAGUUUUCAGGAAAUAUCACAGAUUGAGAUUAAUCAUGAUUAGAAAUAUUUUACUCUUUUUAUUUUAUCAUGUCGGAAACAGUAAUCUGCAUAAUCCAAAAUAAAUGUAUGUAUGAAGUAAAGUGUGCAGAGUGUGUACCUGAAUCAUGGAGUGGUGUAGUCGGAGUGUGUUUAGCAUGUCGAGGGAUCUCCCCCAUACUUAUUUUCUGCUUUCUUGCACAAAAAUAAAGUAGAGACACACAAGACAUAAUAAUACUCUUUAUUGAUCUUGAGGCAUUUAUUACACAAGGAAAAUUAUUUUUGGCUAUUCUCUCCCGGAUUAGGAGUAGAAUAUUUUUGGGUGAUUCUGAAGAUGGAAAUGUAUGGAUAUAUGUGGAUGGUACUUCCGGAGUAGAAGUAGCAUGUAUGAGUGAACGUGCAAGUGAAUCUUGAUUUAACCACAUGACAAGCUCCUAAGGGUCUACACAGCUUGACCACACUCAAUGCUCAUAAGCAGUAAAAAGUAAAUGUGUGGCUCGAAGUCUAGCAAGCAUGUAUAUAUGGCUUUGGUAGGAAUUUAAACUCUCAUCAUACAGGAACUCAUCAUGCAACAUUUUAAAGAUUUUCAAAGAUAAAAUUCUCCAGAAUUCUAGCAUCUCUAGAAAUAGAUAAACAGCAGCUCAACCUUCCCAUAUCAUAUCCGUUAACAACUUAGAUUUCAGAUCAAGUUUUCAUCCCAUAAGUUUUGAUCUAGAGCAAGCUUUAAAUUAUAACAGUUAUGUCUAAACUUGAGAGGAAACUUCAAAUAUGCAAAUUAGGCAGAGCAACUAUUCAUCAUUUCCAUGCUUGAGUUUUAUUUAGAUACAGAUUAGCAUAGCCACUUUAUUUAUUUAUUAAACACACUAAGCAAAAGACAUAUAUAUAUAUAAGCAUAAAAUCUUUAUUUGGUUUUUCAUAGUUAUGUAUAUUUAUAUUCUAAAAUAAUAUAAGUAUAAAGAUAGAUAGAAAUACUUAUCGAGAUAAAUGGGGGUGCUCUUCCCCAAGCUGAAUUUUGACGUAAUUUCUCUUGAUGUAGCUAGCAGGUGGCAGAGGUGUAUUUGAAAGUCAGCAGCAUUGUGACAGCGAUUAGAAUAUCCUCCGUCUGCCAGUCUUCUUGAUUCUUAGAUUCUGUGGAGCUCAAAUAGACAACAAAGCUUGUCGAACUGAUUAAGUGUUAGCAUAAAUAUCUAGCCUUUAUCAUGUUGAGACUCCUUAAUAAUUAUUACUCCCUGUUUUUAUAUUUUUAUUUUAUAAAGCAGAAAAAUAUUUUUAUUUUAUUUUUAUGCCACCACAGUGAAUGUACUUAUGGGUUUUAUGCCACUCGUAUCCUCACAUGGGGCUUACUGUUUUUCACAUUUUUACUUUCUGUUUAGAACUUAAUUAACUAAGUGAACUACUUGAAAUAAUUGAAAGGGAAAGGAUAACUACCAAGUUUACCUCUUGGCAAGGCGUUCGGUGUUUUUAAGUCCUCCGAACGGGACUCUCCUCCUUCUCAAUUAUCCUGAGGUUCGUUGGGUGGCGUAGUCGGUACUUCCGGCAGCGCCUCCUCUUCAUGUAUAGUUAUCUUCAUUUUCCACACCUGACUUGGUGCUUCGGUCUCCUCUGGAUAAUUCUGUUUAAACUCAACGUCUUCUGACCUUACAACUUUUCCUUCGUAGUCUGCCCAUCCGUCCUUGAUGAUUUGCCUCCUCUGGUUGCGGUUGCGUCGUCUUCUUCUUGUCCUGACCUGCUUAGAAUCUUCAACUAUAUAGUUAGAAUCAUUAAAGUAAUGGCGUACCUUCUCAGAGAGGAAAUACACGUGGACUUCUCCGGUUCCAAUGAUAACUUGGAUAGUGUUGAGGAAUGGUCUUCCAAGGAUGAUGGGUGGAUCGUACUCGUCUUCUCCCAUAUCAAUGUUCUGAAAAUCAUCUGGAGCUAAAUAUAUAUUGGUUGUAGGGGCAUGGUUCCACAUUUGCUUGUUCCUGUUCCUCGUGUUGUUCCUCUUCCUUGGUUCAUGUCGGGAUUGCUCUGAAGUUUAUGUAGUCUUGUUCUUGAAGGAAAGUCUCCUUCUUCCCCUUGAUGUAGAGACUGAUCUUGGCAGCAUUAGCGUAGAUGACAGCUCUGGUGUUUAGGAAUGGUCUCCCUAAGAUGAUGGGUGCCCUCUUCUCAGUACCAGUCUCUACCACCACGAAGUUUGCUGGAGUGUACAAGGUACCAACUUGGACACAAAGGUUCUUUAAUAUUUCCUUUGGGAAACUAAGUGUCUGAUCUCCAUUGUGUUUGUGCUCGUAGAUCCCGGUUCUUCACUUAAUGGAAUCUGGGAGUUGUAAAACGCCUUCAUGAUUCUCAAAAUGUGUCCUGCUCAUAGAGACAAGGCAGAGAUCAAGUGCAUGGGCUCUGUUGGUGGAAAACACCAACAGAACCAAAAGUGUAUUUGUUCUUUUCUAACCUUAAGCAUAGUGAGCAAGACAAAGUUGAUGGAUCAUGAGUGUAGCAUUUGUCAGAUCAGAUGGCUCAACCUAAUGGAAAGAUAAUCAUCUAUAUUUAUGUUUUGUUUUUAUCUUCCAAAGAUUGAAUGUGCAAUACUUUAGCUUAUAUGUUUAGGAGCGUGGGAUUACGAAGGUAGUACUAAGAACAAAGAUUAAGGGACUAAACAUGUUGAAUCAGUUAGGUUGGUUAAUUUAGAGUUAUAAAUCAUACAUGUUUGUCUCUUUAUUUAUGUGAACGCCAGAACCAAGGAGAAACUUAUAAAAGGAUAGUCAAGUACCUUAAGAUGUUACCUUUGAAGAGUGAUGGUACAGUAUCACCUUGAAGCUUUCCUUUCUAGCGGUUGUGCAUCGUGUUUGUGGCUCCCUCCAUGGAUCAUCUCUUAUGAGCUACGUCUUUCUUGUGCAAAUUGUUAAACUUCAUGUGUCACUUUCUUUAUCUCCAAUGUGAGUUUAUCUCAGGACUUCCCAGGUUGAUAUUGAAAGUUUUCCUGCAGGGGUUAGUCCCACAAAAUAUACCAAUGUCUACACAAGCAAUUUUUAGUUCGAUAACCGAACUAGACUCCAUGUCUAAUCAGAUUAAGGAAGGCUGUUUAACCUAAGCACCAUGCUUAAUUUAAAAGCCAAUAGAAGUAUGUGCAGUACUUCCAAACUAACAGUUACUAGGAUAAACAAAGGUAGCGUGAUGGCAUUUAUAGAGAUCGACUUAAGUGGAGAUGAAGUAGUGUGAUUAGUAUUUAACAAAUUGAGCAUGUCUCAAAGGUAAGGACAACCAACAUAGCAACAUGGCAAAGGAUGUUUUAUGUGAAGUACUCCCCUAAGCUUGAAUUUUGCAAAAUUCAAGAUUGGAUGAAUUUAAUUCAAUGUUGCAUGUUGAUUGGUUGGGCAUACCUUGCGCUUGUCAUUCAUCCGGUCUUCUUGCUCCAAUCCUAGAAAGGUUAGUGACAAGAAUACCCGAAGGAAUAUUUCUACAAUUAUCUUAUAUGCUCAAUACACAAGGCAAUGUUGCAAGUAAUUAGAAGUUCAUGUUACAAUCUGAUAAGUGCUUGUUUUAGGACACUAAGCUUGUCCUUGGGAAACCAUCAAUUAACUCGACGAGAUCUGCAAUAUUUAUUAUAAACAUAUGCAUCGACAACCGCUCUUUUAAAGUUUUUAUAAAUAGAAAAGAAGAGAGGGUUGGAGAUCUCAAAUGUGGUGAUAGCACAUGAAUUUUUAAUGCCCUCUAGCCAUUGAUGUUGCUCUUCUCGAUCCUCCUUCUUAUGCAUGGGAUGUCUAGAGAGAUUCAUAGGAUUAUCGGAAGGUUCAAGAGAAAGAGCAUAGUAGAGAUUAUUAGGCUCAAGGAUGGGUUGGAUAGCCGAAUCAUGGGAUUGGAAAGUUUGGAAAUCGGCUAUUGAAACUUCCUCUCCUUGUAUGGGAGAUGAUUCCUUCUCUAUCUCUAUGAUUUUUCUAUGAAGACUAGUACAAGAAGGAUGUCCACGAAUGAAGACAUACCUUCCGUUACUAACUGAUAAAGAAAGAAAGACUCUACCAAAGGUUAUAUGAUUAAGACCAAUGUGAAAAUAUCUAGGAAAAACAUGGUCUUGUAGGGCUAGGUCUAAACCAGAAUUUAUAGAAAAAUUAAAAGAUUCCCUAGGUGUAGCUAAAAGUGCAUUAUCUUUUUGAUUAAAAGAUAGGACCUCAGCUAUAGAAAAGGGUUGGUUUUGACCUAUUGCAAUCAACUCCGGACACAGAUCAUAAUUAGGGGCAGGACGUGUUGACUCCCAUGGUCUAUGGCUGGUCUCCGAAGGUGCAAAGAAUUUAAUAAUAGUUAUGGAAUUUAAGAUAUCCAUAAAGAUAAAAAGAUAAAAGAAUAAAAGUAUAAAAGUAUAAUACAAGAUAAUAGCAAGACUCGAAGUUAUCUCAGCAAACCGUCUUUCUCCCCGGCAACGGCGCCAGAAAUGCUUGUUGAUAUUUGGGAACGCAAUAAGGAAAUGAUCCGCAAGCGCACGGAUAUCGGUGAGCAUUUCACCCGGGAGGUUUUCCAGAGUAUCGUAUUUAUUUUUUUUACCACUGGGAGAAAGGGUGCAUCUGACUAACCAAAUCUAUUGCUACUAUCCCUUUAGGCACAAAGAAUGUCUUUCGAUGUGGGUGAUAAAUAGAGAAGACUGCAACCGUAGUCUCCUUCUAACCUUGGUAAGGAUGAUCUACUGUUCUAAUGGGGAGGCUAACGGAAUCUAGACACCACAAAGGAUGUUCAACCCGCACCUAUAAACCCUAUCCUUCCUGCUAACGAGAUGUGAUCUACAAAGGUAGCUCGGAAAUGUCACGUUCCUCACUACUACCACAGUCCAGCUAGUCGGGGAAUAUCUAUGAGUACCCCAGCCUAAACACCACGUUUACGCCAGCAAUGAUUACUCUAAACUCUACGCGAAGAGAUUAAAGUAAACUCAUAAACCAUAAGAACAAUAAAACAAGAACUUACUAGAAUUUAGAAGUCAAAAUACUGAAGAAUCCUAGGAGCAAGCUUCGGGUUAGGAGAACUUGAUCCCGCAGGUACAAGCUUGGAGUAGACACCGACAGGCCGGGCUUCCUCCACUCUACACCUCCACUCUAUCUCUCUCAAUCUAGUAGAAACUAGAAGAUCUAUUUCUACCUUACAUUGAUUGCUAAGCCUAAAAAGAAAUAUUAAUUAGAGAAGAGGUUUUCCUUCGAGGGCACCCCUCAGUCUCUAUGAUAAUUUCUUCAUGUCUUCCAGGGGCCAGGGGGGCCUCGCUUAUAUAGUCCUCCCCUUCUAUGCGUUUUUGGGUCGAUAGCCGAGGUGGUACUAUGUUUUUCUUGAUCCAAUAGGUCGGUGGAAUAUCCCGAGCGAAGGAGUCCUCAAUUGGCUCCAGCAGGGGGGCGGGCGCCCAGGCUUCCAGGGCGGGCGCCCUGGGCCUGGCCCAGCUUCGCCUCCGCUUCGGUCUCGUGGCUUCUGGAGUCUUCUAGAUGAUGUAAAAUUGUGCGGUGCGUUGAUAUCUCAAUGUAAUCCCGACAUGUGGGCCUUUCUUCCUUAUUUCCUGAUAACCCCCUGCAGAAAUAGAUAAACAACAAAACUCGUGGAAUUCUGUCAGAUCAAACCCUAAUUCUAGGUGAUGGUUGCAUAUUGGUCUUUUCUCAUGUUUAUUUGAUAAUUAAAAUUGAUACUUAAGAACCGUCAACAAUGAACACAUGGAAAUCUUUGCCGGGUGAUUUUUUUCCCUGGAAUCAGCAAAGCAAGCAUAUAAUUGGAUUGGUCCAUACACAUCCAAGGUGGAAAAUUGUAUGGAACCACUAUAGUUGGCCAGAUGCUAUAUGCAUUGCUCAUCUGACCAUAUGGGUUAAAUCCAUCUGUAGCAAUGGCUAACCUCAAACUACAGGGAUCAUCUGCAAAAGACUUGAAACAAUCAUCAAAUUCUUUCCAAGCUUCUCCAUCAGCAGGAUGUCUCAUUUCAUUCUCAACCGGUUUUCUCUUUUCCUUGUGCCAUCUUGCAUACUCUGCCCGCUGCUUGGAGAUAAAAAUCCUUUGGAGGCGUGGAAUUAUUGGAAAAUACCGGAGGACCUUGUGAGGCACUUUCUUUCUACCCUCCUUGUUCACUUUCCAUCUUGUGUACCCACAAACUGGGCAAUGGUCAUCCUCUUCAUGAUCUUUCCAAAAUAGGGCACAAUCAUACUUGCACACAUGAAUAGUUUCAUAACCAAAACCAAGCUUCCGAAGUAGAACUUUCAGUUCAUUAUAGGACUUAGGUAGGCCGGGCACAUUCUUCAGAGAUGACGAAAGCAACUCAAGGAUUGCAUCGAUCCCAGAAUUUGGUAUCCGAUUGUACACUUUUAUAUGCAGCAGUUUAAUAAUGAAACUUAGCCUAGACUCCUCGGUGCAACCAGGAUAAAGUUCACGCUUUGCCUCUUCCAUGAUUUGCUUAUAUAAGUUGCCACCGACACCAUGGCUUGCUGCAGUAUAUAGAUCUGGAAUCAAACCUUGAACUCCCCGAUCACUGUCAUCUAAUAUGGCAUCUUCAGUUUGUCCAUCAUCAAGUGGAGCCUGUCCAUACCAUGACAUAUAUUCAACAUCUAGUGUGACAUCAUCAUCUUCUUCAACAUCAAAAUCCUCCUCUCCAUGGUAAACCCACUUUGUAUAGCACCUGGAAAUACCAUUGAUUUCAAUAUCCUCCUGCACCUCAUCUUGACUUUUUUCUAUUUGGUUCAGGCAUUUUCUACAUGGACACUUGAUUUUCUCAUCUACACUAAAUCUACUUUUGACAUGUCCCAUGAAUUGUUCAACACCAAGCAUAAAUCUUUCACUAAAUGGCACACUGUUGUAUACCCAGCUUUUGUCCAUCUCAUCCUGCACAUAUAUAUGUGACAAAUUUUUACAAAUCGUCAUGGAUAGAUAGAAAUCGACAAAACACUUGUAUAUCCUCCUACACCUCAGCUUGCUUACCGGUAAGGAGGGGCAGGAGUAGUGCUGUGUGGCCGGAGGCAGCGGCGCAGUGUGGCCACAAAGGCUUCAGCUUGGGCCAGAGGCGUGCAUGGUGAGGAAGGAGGGGCAGGAGGCCACUGGCGGUGUGGAGGCAGCGGCGCUGUGUGGCCGCCGGCAGUAGCGCUGUGGCCGGCGUCACUCCUUCUGUAGGCUUGGGUCACCGCCGGCCUGGGUGGGGUGGGCCUGCCUGGGUCACCGCUGGCCUGGGUGGGGUCGCCGUCGUUGUGGAUCUAGCCGCCGACGCUGGGAGCACGACGAGCUGGGGGGGGGUUGGUCGGCUAGUUGAGAGGGUGUGCAUUUUUUUUAAGUUCAGCGCUGUCCACAUAUACAGACUAGGCUGGGUACCGAUUGGCAAUGACAUGUGGGCCCUUGGUCUAUGACAUGUGGGCCCUACAUACUGUACUAUUUAGCAAGUUCAUCAUUCAAUCAUCAUUUCUCUUUUUAAUUCAUGUGAAAAUAUUGUAACAAGUUUUCCUCCCACAUACUUUCUCCGAAUCUGAUGCUUUUUUUCUAAUUUUUUCUUAAAUUCUGAUUUAUCAGCCUAUUCCAUUUAUUUUCAUUGUAUUUCAAUGUGACAAAAUUUGAACAACUCAAAAUGGAUUCAACCAAAAAAUUGCAACUUUGAAGCUCAUUUUGAACCUCAAAAUGGGUUCAACCCAAAAGGUCAUUAAUACAAAGUUUGUACAACUAAUCAAGAUCUACAUUCUUUAUAUAGAUCAUUUUUUCAUACGAUGAGUUGAUGGUUAGUUUGUUCUCAAAUCUUACUCAUCUCACUCAUAGUUUCAUAAACUAUCAUGGAGAUGAGUAUGAUUAGAGAAGGAAGUUACCAUCACUUCAUCGGAUGAAAAAAUGACCUAUAUACAAAAUAUAGAUAUCACUGAGUGAAACAACUUCUAUGUUAUUGACUUUUUCAUUUGAACUUACUAAGUACCACAUAUUUGUGCCUAAAGUUUGAAUAUUUUCAAAUUCAAAAUUCAAUCUUUUUAAAAAAGUCAAUUGACAAAAUGACCAAUACCAAAAUAGUAGAUCUCAAUUAGUGUAACAACUUCACUUCUUACUGUUUUUCCAUUUGAUAUCAUAUAGUACCCUAAAACUGUGUUUAAACUCAAAAUAGUAUGAAUUCUCUCACUGACAUAUGGCCCCGGCCUGUCAGGUCCCAAAAUUAGACGCCAUCACCUUCCCGUUCCGCGCGCACGCUAUGCCACCGACACGUGGGCCCCAAUGCGCCUCCCGCCCAAGACGACCAAAAUUCCCCUCCUACCUUAUCCUCUCGGCUCCUCACAUUUCACCCAAGUCCUCUCCGUCAGUCCUCUCCCUCCCCACGACCUAGCGCCGCCACUCGCGCCGACCACGCCACCACUCCAGUAGACCACGCCGCCGCACCACUGCUGCUGAACGGAUCCGUUCAACCCCAAGACCUGCCAUGGCCUCCUCCUCCCUCCCCUCAACCUAGCUCCGCCACUUGUGCCCACCACGCCGCCACAGAUGAGCCCAUCACGCAAAGCGGCCAUGGCCUCCUCCUCCCUCCCCUACACCUAGCUCCACCACUCAUGCCCUCCACGCUGCCGCACCACCGAAGAACCCCCACCGGCACACCCGCCACAACCCCGUCGCCGAAGAAGGCAGCUUCACCGGCCACCACCCAGGCAGCACCCACGCUACGAAGGCAGAUCCGUGCCGGCCGCGACGAAGGCAGCUUCACCAGAUCCGUGUCGGUCGCGACGAAGGCAGCUUCACCGGCCGCCACCCAGGCGGCCCCACAGGUCAGCACCCACGCUACCUCACCGGUCACCACCAAGGCUGCCUCACCGACUACCUCGUCGACAGACGCAUGCCCGCUGCCCCCCUUCUUCUAGUGCUGACGACGGCUUCAAUUAGGUACCUUCUAUUUCCCUUCCUUCUUCUGACAAAUGUAGAUGUGGAUCUUUGCUAACUGUUGAUUUUUUACAUGUGUAUAAGCUGUCAGUUAGAUGACUUGUCAGUUAGAUGAAGAACAAAAUAGUUUGUGCUUAUGAUGAUUUACUGCUAAGUUGCUAACUGACAAAUACAUAUAAAAAUUUUACUGCUUAUGAUGAAGAACAAGUUGGUAACUGACAAAUACAUAUAUUAGUUGUUUGUAGUUUCUUCAUUGUCUAGCGGUGUAUAGCCCACUGCUUUUUUAAAUGAGUGUAUGAAAUGUGUGUACUAACCAAAAUACUGAUUUGUUAGUUGUUUCUUCAACUCUUUUACAGAAACUGGAAUCAGUUUCUGCUCUAUCUACGUUUUUGUGUAAUAAGUAAUAGAAGAAAUGGGAAAAACCCACUAUGAGCUGGCAAGGGACAAGAAUGUAAAGCAUGUUCAGGAAGUUUUUAAAUCUCUGGGUAUUCAAGUCCUAGCACAGACUGUUAGAGAUGCUAUUACACCAAAAUAGAAAGAGGGCAGAGGGAAGGCUAUAGAUUCUGACAAUGAUUAUGAUCCAUGCUCUGAAAUUGAAAACCAAUCUGACACUGACGAUGAUUAUGAUGAUGAGGUGAGAUGCACUGCUAACCAAAUUCACAUGGUCAUGGCCUGCAUAUUUCAUACAUGUACUCCAUUGUACCUCCUAAGAACAUAUACUUCUUUCAUAACUAAUCAACUACAUUUUUCAUCUUCUUAGGCAACACAGAUGGUUCCAGGAACUCGCCCUCACCAAAAGAAGCAAAAGGCAGGAACAAUGCCGCCUGCCCACCAGCAGCCACCACGCACUCCAGUUAGACUUACAAGGCAAAGUGCAGCCAUGCAUUCGCCUGGAGGGCGUCCGCCACCUAAGCCAAGACAUCCCCUGCCUCCUAAGACCACUCCAAAAGCCAAUCCUAAAAGAAAUUCCAUUUCUACUAUUACCCAAGUAGAGGUCCAGAACACUACAACCACUACAAACACCAAUGAAACUACAAACCAUAUGACUAUUCCUACUGAAAUGAACAGGACCAGCCAAGCAAUGUCUUCACCAGUUCCAAACACAGUGCCUAGAUUCACUAAGGCUACUGCAGCUAUGUCUUCUCCUGGUGCAAACCAUCUAAUUGCAAAACUGAUCUGCAAACACAAAGGGCUAAUACCCGAUUCAAACGUUAAGGCGUGCCAGCCGAUUUGACCUUACUAUCGGCAAAGGUGAUAACUCGAAUACUUUAGUCCUGACAACAGCGAUGCGCCCGGAUGUCACGGCUAAGAGGUACUCACGCGGAACUCGAGAACACGCCGAGCUUAAGUCGACGAAUUCCUAAGAACUCGUAAUAAAAAGAAAAAAAGUAUGACGAAGUCGUCGAAAAGUAGAUGCUGGAAUAUGAGUAAAAACGCGUGUUUGAUUGAUUUCUUGAUUAAUUAUUACAAGGCCCUAGGGUUUAUAUUUAUACCCUGCUCAAAGAGCUACAACCAGACACGAUUAGAAUUCGAAUUCCAAAUUACAUGGAAUCCGUAUACAAAACGAUGCAAAUAAUUAAGGAAACAACAAAACUAUCCUUCGUGACAAACCGAAACUCCUCCACAUGACAACUGGCAGCUUCCGGACUCCUCCUUUGCAUCAUCGGCAAUCCCUUUGCCAUAGUCAUCGGCAGACCUUUUUAUCCAGCCAUCGGCACCAUAUUACUGCCUGUGGACUUAGUCACAUUCAACUUCUCCCUCAUCGGCAACCAUCCUCAUCGGCAACCCGCUUUGUAAACAUCGUACUGCCACCUUAUCCUGCCAUCCUAGACACGUGCCCAAAAACGGUGUCAACACAUGCCCCCCAGUUUCGGAGUAUAAAACUAUUAAUGCUCCGAAAUUCUCUGCAGUAAUGAUGCCUUCUCCCGCAAUUAAUGCUCCUAAUCUGGUAACCGACAACCUCAAUCUGGACAACUCUGAUCCUGAUCCUCCGCAGAUUCCUCGAAAUCCCCAACUUCCUAAACGGGCAUCUUUCUCAGUCGUACAUCGGCAACAAUACCGUUACAAAGAUCUGCCGAUGCUCUGACCCGGAUAUUCGCAAAAACGAUUACUUCCCCUCUAUCCGCCCAUCGGCAAGAUGACCGUUAUAGAAUAUCGCCGAUGGACCGACCAGGAGAUCUCGCACAGUAAAAUAUCUUCAAAUAAUGACCGCUUCCCGUCAAAUCACCUGCACAAUCCCUGGAUUACCGUGCGAACAGUUACCAUAUCCACCUGAGUACCCUCGGGUUUCUCGGAUGCGGCAAAGAGAUAAGUCGGAUUUGCCCUUGCCCAUCUUGUCCUAUAAAUAGUUCCUUCUUGGGUACUCCUUCCCCAUCACACCAUUCUACUACCCAACUUUACUUUUCCAGCGGCGGCGCCAUUUACAACCUUCAAGACCUCCGACAAGCACUUCUCUUCAUCAACUCUGGUGCCCUCCAACGUCCUCUUCACGACAAGAUGGCCAUUGGCUUCGUCGUCCCUGAGGUCAGAUCUCCAUCUCAUCUUCUGUAUUUUUUUUAUUCCUGUUCAUCCGCGAUUCAUCUUACUGAAUAUUCUCCUUUUCCUUUUUCUUUGUAUUUUUAUUCCCCCAAAAUCACUAGGAGUUGUCCAAUAAAAUUGUCAUCCCCACCGAUCAACCACACCUUCAAUGUCUCGGCCCUCUAGGGGAUUCAGAUCCAACCAACCUUAUUAACGCAGAAACCAAUAGGAUCCCCUUUAGAGCUGAAAACUUUUCUUUAGAUCUGUGGAAAGACACUUUUCGCUCUUGGCCCAGCCCUACCGUAGGGUGGAAAGACUGGUUCUUGAGGGUCAGCAAUUCUUAUGAAGUCCAGUGGGGUGAAAGGAAGCUAGCCCAAUGCAUUAGGCUAUCCAUUGCCGAUAUGCACAGGAACGAGUCACUGCUGAUAGCUGCGUCCUACUUUUGGUCAGACGCCCUCAAUGCUUUUGUUUUUGGCCACGGCCCUGCUUCUCCUACCCUUGCCGAUGUAGCCAUGCUCACUGGGCUAGAUAUAUCUUCUGCCGAUAGCACCCACUUUUUUGAUACUGCCCCCAGUGCCAAAGUGGAGACUCGCGCUAUCGGCGGUUGGUCAGGGUACAUUCAGAAGUACCGCGGGAGAGGGCCUGUCACCAUAAAGGAGCAAACCACCUUUCUGAACAUGUGGCUGGACAAGUUUGUAUUCUGUGGUCGAUCGGCAGGACCGACUUCCGUCUAUCUAUCGGCAGCAGAGAGACUGGCUAACGGUGGCCAAUUUCCUCUCGGCCGAUACUUGCUUGGCGCUGUUUACCACCUUCUCCAUCAGGUAGCCCAGAAACUCCUGCUUGGCCAAUCCAUCGGCAACUUGGGAGGCCCCUGGUGGUUUAUUAAUAUGUGGCUCAAUCUGCACCUGCAUAAGCGCCUUGAUUCCAACUUGUUCUCACAGCACUUCCCAAGAGAUAUAGCCGAAAAUCUUGUGUUGGGUGAAGAGGAAUCGGCAACGCGUGCCCCCUUGAACUUUGGCGAAGCCGUCAUAGUCCUACCUGGUUCAGGGAGUAAUCCGGAUCAAAUUGGCCGAUUCUUCGAGACUCUGCAUGAGGGUUUGGCCAGGGAUGAACGACCAUGGUUGGCUUAUGAUGAACCAGAUAGCAUGCUCCCUCUGACCUUCAAUCCAUUUGAUGAAGCUCUCGAUAGGGAUAAUGAGGCGAUGAUGGCAAUUGUGACUCCCAGAGCCAUUCCAGUGAAUAUUUUCGGUAGCACAAAAACUUCUCCCCAGACUUACGAAUUUUACAAUCCAUCGGCAUUAGCUCGCCAGUUAGCUUUCGGCCAGUUGCCGAUUGCACUUCCUUAUGCCGAUGUGAUAAAACCCAGAGAAACCAUCAACAACCUUCUUGAGUGGACUCGAGUAGCCCAACUACCACCAAACGCCGAUGUAGAUGUAGAUCUGUCAGAAUGGGUUCCGGCUGCUUUUAUCACUCAGGCAUACAAGUUAUGGUGGGCAGAAUGGAAAGAGCAUCUAUUCUGCAGAUCGGCACUUUCAUACCGCAGCAUGAUUGACCCCGAAUACGAAGUUCCCGAUGACACUGUAAGUAACUCAAACCAACGUUUCAUUUUCUCACUAUUACUUCCAUCGACAGCUUACCCUUGUAUUCCUUUUGCAGGCUGACAAUAUUCCUCCAUCGGUUAGCAGGAGUGGCAAGCCGAUCGACUUGUUUCCAUCAGGCCCGAUUUCCUCAAUCGGCCACAAUGCUCCCACUCUGGCUUCCAUCGUGCAUCGGGGUGUGCGCCUCAGGAAAGUUACAACCAGGAGAACCCAGACAUCACCAACGGUAGCUGCUCCCACUCUGGCGCGGGCUUUCAAGGCAAUUUGUCAAAUCUUUAUCUUUUACGCUGACUAUCUUUAUAUCGGUUUUAUUUAUACUUAUAAACCUUUGUUCGUUAUUGCAGCAAAUCAGUGCAUCGGCAAAGGUCACACGUCAAGGUGCCGAUGCCACCCAGUCCAGCCAGCCAAAGAGGAAGGGUACCACGGGUGCUAAGACUGGAACAAAGCGCCAGAAGGUAGCAACUCCCCCUCCUCCUCCGGUAUCUCCAAUUCCGGUGGAGUCUUCUCCUUCUCCAGAAGCCCAGCCACAGCAAGCACCAUCUCCCCAACCUAUGCAGGAAGCACCACAGAUAGAAGAACCCCAACAGGAAGGAUCUCAAACAGAAGGUACAUCAGCUGACACGGGUGAACAAACAACUGGCCCGGUGGGCCCAAUUAUACCAUCGGCAGUUCUCCCGAUUCAGACAAUUGUUAUCCCUCCUCCAGGUAACAUACUUUAACAAUAUCGCUACCGAUGAACUUAUUCUCAUUUAGUCUCAUAACCUUUCUUGUCUUCUUUCAGUCGAUAUCGUCCCAUCGGCAACCUUAGCCGAUCAACCUGUAGUUCCAUCGGCAUCUUUGGCCGGUCAGCCCGCAGCUCCGUCAGCACCUCCCAGUCCAAGGCAAGAGAUCGCCUUGAAGCAAGUAAGUCACUGUUUACCGCCAGCAUUAUUUGCCGAUUCUCUAAGUAUGGGCUAAUUUUGCUUUCCCUCCCAGGAACAAGAUUCUCCCGAUAGCCUGUUCUCCUUCGCCAUCGAUUUCUCUGAAGAAGAAGGUGAAGAAGCAAGCACUUCUCAGUCGGUCGGCAUCACAUCGGCAGAGGUCAGGGUCAGGCUGGAAGAAUUGUCAGCUCUCCUUCACCAGGACACAGCGCAAUUGGUUGAUGAUUCCGACCCUACCAAGACCCUGUUCAGAACUCUCAGAGGCCAAGUCCCAGCCGAUGUUGAAGAAAUCCUGUUCCAAGCCGCUCAUCUGGAGAGUCGCCAGCUGCAGUACCAAAGAGCUUCUCGGCGGCUUGCCGAUAGAGCCGCUCAGACUCAACUCUCCGAUGAAAUGAGGAAAGAAAAGCUUUUGACCGAUGAGAAGCACAAGAACAUCGGCAUCCUGAGAUCUUCUGGAGACGCGCUAAAGCAGAAGAUAUCCGAUCUAUCGGCAAGAAAAGAGUCCCUAUUGGCGGAGCUUAAGGAAGUAGAGAACGCUCUGUCCCAAGCCCAACAGGAAGAGAGCCAAUUGCCAGAGACCAUCAGGCUUCUUGAGCGCGAUCGAAAUGCUCAUGGUCGCAAAGCACUCCAACUGAAGAAGAAGCUGAAGCCGAUAGAAGGUUCUGCUGAUGAUGACAUCAAGGAGAUAGAAGCAGCCAACCAAAUUCGGCUACGCGCUAUAUCGGCAAUCCAGACGCUGCUUAACACAUAGAGUUUCCAUCGGCAUUGUAUCUGCGCUUUCCUGCUUCCUCAGCUUUUAAUCUAGCCGAUAGGACUGUUAUCGGCGCCUAAACUUUUGAAACACCAAGUCUUGUCCCCAAGCAUUUGGAUCCAGCCGAUAGGAGUGUUAUCGGCACCUAAACUUCUAUGCAUCGACCCAUAUACUGGGGUAGUACUUCUUUAAAUAUUUGCCGUUUAAUGCUCUGGGAAAUUCAAUUCCUUCGAGGGUUUCUAGAAUGUAGGCAUUGCCAGGAGCCGAUCGACUUAUCCGAUAAGGACCCUCCCAAUUAGGAGACCACUUUCCAAACUUCGAGCUUUUUGUCCCAACUGGUAAAAUUAAUUUCCAUACCAAAUCCCCAUCGGCAAACUCUUUAGCCUUCACCUUCUUAUCGUACCAUCUAGCAAUUCUUUUCUUAUUCUCUUCUAUACUCAUUAAAGCUUUUAACCGAUGCCCUGCUAGAUCGUCCAAUUCAUCGGUCAUCAAAGUGGCAUAACCAUCGGAAGUUAAUUGAUCUUGAAAAGAUAAUCGCCUAGAUCCAGCCUUAAUUUCCCAAGGCAACACUGCAUCAUGUCCAUACACCAAUUGAUAGGGUGAUACCUUGGUCGAUCCAUGACAAGCCAUCCGAUAAGACCACAAUGCUUCAUUUAAUAAUGUAUGCCACCGCUUAGGAUUUUCUUCAAUCUUCCGUUUAAUAAGCUUGAUAAUUCCUUUGUUAGACGCUUCGGCCUGCCCAUUGGCUUGAGCAUAAUAAGGAGAAGAAUUCAACACUUUAAUUCCCAUACCGAUUGCGAAUUCAUCGAACUCCCCCGAUGUGAACAUGGUGCCCUGAUCGGUAGUAAUCGUUUGGGGAAUCCCAAAUCGGUAAAUAAUAUGCUCCUUCACAAAAUCAAUCAUAUUGGCCGAUGUGACUUUCUUCAAAGGAAUAGCUUCAACCCAUUUAGUGAAAUAGUCAGUGGCAACUAGAAUGAACUUAUGCCCUUUGCUAGAUGGUGGAUAAAUCUGGCCGAUCAGAUCGAUGGCCCAUCCCCGGAACGGCCAAGGCUUUAUUAUAGGAUUCAUAGCCGAUGCGGGUACUCUCUGGAUAUUACCAAACUUUUGACAACCUUGACAUCCCUUGAAAUAUUUAAAACAAUCUUCAAGUACGGUUGGCCAAAAAUAUCCAUUCCUUCGAAUCAUCCACUUCAUCUUAAAAGCUGACUGAUGCGCUCCACACACUCCCUCAUGAAUUUCCCCCAUCAAACUUCUGGCUUCAUCAUCACGCAAGCAUCGGAGAAGAAUUCUGUCGAUAGUUCGAUAAUACAAUCCAUUUUCAAGGAGCACAUACUUGGUUGCCUGAAAUCGAACCCGUCUUUCAACUUUUUUGGAUGGAUCUUUUAGAUAAUCAAUAAUUUCUUUCCUCCAAUCAUCGGCACCGACUACCGAUGUCGCAUUAAUCAUUGGCUGAUAUCCCGAGGCAUGCUGAGCUAACCGAUUAGCGUCUUCAUUAUGCAAUCGGGGAACAUGCUCCAAUCGGAAAUCCUUGAAUUCCUUUAACAGUUGCAUACUUCUCUCGAAAUACGUUAUGAGAACUUCACUUCGGCAUUCAUAGCUUCCGGCCAAUUGAUUUAUAACCAACAUAGAAUCCCCGAAUAUUUCAACAGCAUCAGCACGAACUUCUCUCAGCAACUCCAAUCCCUUGAUCAGAGCUUGAUACUCAGCCUGAUUAUUUGUCGAUGUGGCAACAAUCGGCAAGGAAAACUCAUACUUCCUCCCCUUAGGGGAAACUAAUACAAUGCCGAUUCCUGCCCCUCGGUCACAAGUAGAUCCAUCAAAGAAGAGCGUCCAGGGUACAAUUUCCAAGGUUUCCACUAGACCGCAAUGCUGAGUUACAAAAUCGGCCAUAAUCUGCCCUUUGACUGCCUUAGCCGAUUCGUAACGCAAAUCGAACUCCGACAGCGCUAAAAUCCAUUUACCGAUCCUACCACUCAUAAUCGGCAUAGAUAGCAUGUAUCGGACCACGUCAUCUUUGCAAACGACAGUGCAUUCGGCCGAUAACAGGUAAUGUCUCAGCUUGAUACAUGAAAAAUAUAAGCAUAAGCAUAGUUUCUCAAUGGCCGAAUACCUGGUUUCAGCAUCAAUCAACCUCCUACUCAAAUAAUAAAUUACCCUUUCUUUCCCUUCAAAUUCUUGAACUAAAGCUGAACCGAUAACCGAUCCAUCGGUAGAUAAAUACAAUCUGAAGGGCUUCCCUUGUUGAGGUGGAACUAGAACUGGAGGAUUUACUAGAUACUUCUUGAUUUCAUCCAGAGCCAACUGCUGUUCUUCUCCCCAAAUAAACUCUUGAUCGGCUUUCAAUUUAAGAAGAGGACUGAAAGCACGAAUCCUACCAGACAAAUUCGAUACAAAUCUUCUGAUAAAAUUUACCUUGCCGAUCAAGGAUUGGAGCUCGGUUUUGUUGGUAGGGGCCACUAUUUUAUUGAUGGCAUCAAUAGAUCUUCGACUAAUUUCAAUACCCCUCUGAUGUACCAUGAAACCAAGAAACUGCCCUGCCGAUACACCAAAUGCACACUUGUUGGGAUUCAUCUUCAAUCCAUGCUUCCUUGUGCACUCUAACACUUUUUGUAAAUCGGCAAGAUGCUUUGAGAAAUCUCCAGACUUAACCACCACAUCAUCAAUAUAAAUCUCUACGAGCUUGCCGAUGAACUCAUGAAAUAUAAAAUUCAUAGCCCUUUGAUAAGUAGCACCAGCAUUCUUCAACCCAAAAGUCAUGACUAUCCAUUCAAAUAGCCCAACAUGACCAGGACACCUGAAUGCGGUUUUUGGAAUAUCCUCCUCUGCCAUGAAUAUUUGAUUGUAACCUGCAUUACCAUCCAUGAAGCUGAUGACCCGAUGGCCAGCCGCAGCAUCAACCAGUAGAUCGGCGACAAGCAUUGGGUAUCCAUCCAUCGGCGUAGCUUUAUUGAGAUUCCUGAAAUCAAUGCACACCCGAAGCUUCCCGUUCUUCUUGUAAACCGGAACAACAUUGGAAAUCCAUUCGGCAUACCGACACUGCCGAAUAAACUUAGCUUCAAUAAGUUUAGUGAUUUCGGCCUUAAUAUCAGGUAGAAUGUUAGGAUUACAUCGGCGGGCUGGUUGCUGAUGUGGCCGAAAUCCAGACUUGAUGGGUAACCGAUGUUCAACAAUUGAUCGGUCUAAACCAGGCAUCUCUGUAUAGUCCCAAGCAAAGCAAUCUUUAUAUUCCUUUAACAAACUAGUCAAUUGUCGCUUACACUCAGGAUCUAAUUUAGCACUAAUAAAAGUAGGCCUAGGCUUAUCACCACACCUAUAUCUACUUCUACCAAAUCGUCGGCCGAUGUGAAUCCCUGGCCUAAUUUUCCAUCAUCGGCGAAUCUAUCCAUUAAAAAUCGUCGUCAGAACCGACUGCUUGGAUCGGUGGAAUCUCAUAAUCGGCAACUUUGAGAAAAUCUUUCUCCCAAACUUCUCCUGAAAUGCACCUGGUCCUUUCGUAAGUAUCCGCUUCUACCGAUGCGAUAACAUAAGAAGAAUCUCCUGGGACAAUCUCAAUCUUGUCACCUACCCACUGAACCAAGCACUGAUGCAUUGUAGAUGGGACACAACAAUUGGCAUGAAUCCAAUCUCUUCCCAAUAAUAAGUUGUAGGCACCUUUUCCGCUGAUCACGAAAAAAGUUGUCGGCAAGGUCUUGCUGCCGAUGGUCAACUCUGCACAUAUCGCCCCCUUGACUGGAGACACGUUUCCUUCAAAGUCUUUGAGCAUCAUAUCGGUCUUGGUCAAAUCUUGAUCCCCUUUCCCAAGCUUCCGAUAUACUGCAUACGGCAUAAUAUUAAUAGCAGCUCCACCAUCAACUAGGAUCUUGGUCAUUGGCUGCCCAUCAACCCUUCCUUUGAGGAACAGAGCUUUAAGAUGCUGCCUCUCGUCAUCGGCAGGUUUCUCAAAGAUAGCCGUCAUCGGAUCCAGAGCCAACUGAGCUAUCUGAUCAGAAAAUUCCAACUCAUCAUCACUGGCUGGUGCAAGAAACUCCAUCGGCAACAUGAAGACCAUGUUGACGCUUGCCAAUGGACCUUCCCUCUUAGUGUCUGACGGCUGCCGACUUCCAGAGUUCUCUCCCUUGUUUAGCUCUUCUUGCCUUUCACGUUGCAAUCUCCUUUUCUGUGUUUUGGUUAAUCCUCCAGGGCACCAUGGAGGAAGUGGCCUUUGCCUUGCCAUCGGGCGUCGGUUCUCCCUUGACUCCAUACGAUGCGUGUUAGCAUCCCUGCAAAAUAUGAAUUCAUCGGGAACCCGCGCAUCAGCCAUUCCCUUGAGCUCCUCUUGGUUCCUGGGAAAAUACUGGACACGGUCACUAAGUCUGUUGUGCCCACUAAAUCUGCCCCCCAGCCGGUCUUGAACUGACACCCUUCCUCUGAUCGGCCCAUUAAAUCGCCGUUCAUCAUCAUGAUAAUGCUGAUCGAUCCUAUCGUACCGAUCAUAACCGUUGCACUCAGGGCAGUCUCUGACAGUAGGAAGCUUGAUAUUUUCCUCCCAACAAUGGAUGAAGAAUGGACAAUUCCAAUGAUCCCUGUGCCGAUUCCACUCCUGUCGGCGUCUUUCUUCUUCCCGUCGAUAAUCUUCCUGCUGGCGCCGAUACCGAUCUUCCCGUUGUUGCCAUUUUUCUCGAGGCCUUCUAUGAGUUAUGACGAUACCAGAUCGAGGAAGCCUUCCUGAGCUAGUUCCUUCCUGGACCAAGCCCUUACUUCUUGCAUCGGCAGUAGUAACUUGAUGCUGAGGAUCUACCGAUGCACUCUUCUCAGCUGUCUCCGAUGUUAAGACCUUAGCCUUCCCCUUAGCAUCCAACAUGUUUGUCGGGAAAGGAUGUUGGUCUAUCUUCAUCGGCUUCUGGGCUUUGGAAUUGUCAAACUUGAUUCUCCCUGACUCUAUAGCCGAUUGCAGCUGCUGUCUGAAUACUUUGCAGUCGUUGGUGUCAUGGGACGUUGCAUUAUGCCACUUGCAAUAUCUCAUCCUCUUCAACUCUUCUGCCGAUGGGAUCACAUGGUUAGGUGACAGUUUGAUCUGACCUUCCUGAAGUAGAAAGUCAAAUAUCCUAUCAGCCUUAGCGGUGUCAAAAGCAAACUUCUCUGGUUCCUUCUGCCCAAAAGGACAAGACAUCGGCUUCUUGUUUUUUACCCACUCUGCCAAACCGAUUACUGGUUCUUCAUCAGAAUCUGAGCUUGUGGCUUCAUCAACAAACGACACUUUCUUAUUCCAUGCUCUCUUAGGCUCGAAAGACUUGAUGUCUUGAUCAGAAAUCCUCUGCACCAAAUGACUUAAACUUUCGAACUCCUGAGAGGCAUACUUAUCCCUGAUAUGUGGCAACAAACCCUGGAAAGCCAAAUCGGCUAGCUGCCGAUCAUCCAGAACCAGGCUAUAGCAUUUAUUCUUAACCUCUCGUAUCCUCUGCACAAAUCCUUCAACCGACUCAUCAUUACGUUGCCUCAACUUGACCAAGUCGGUGAUCUUCUUCUCAUGAACCCCCGAGAAGAAGUAUUUGUGGAAUUGCUUCUCCAGAUCGGCCCAAGUAAUUACUGAGUUGGGAGGUAAUGAUAUGAACCAAGUAAAGGCCGAUCCAGACAAUGAUGACGAAAAUAGACGAACCCUCAAUUCGUUCCUGUUACCAGCCUCUCCACAUUGAAUAAUGAACCUGUUGACAUGCUCCAUAGUUGACGUGUCGUCCUGUCCGGAAAACUUUGUAAAAUCCGGUACCUUGUACCGAUGUGGAAGCGGGAUCAAAUCAUACGCGGGAGGAUACGGUGUCCGAUAAGAAUAAGUGUUGACUUUGGGUUUUAUCCCAAAUUGUUCCCUCAUUACUUCAGCAAUCUUAUCGGCCCAAUACGCAUCGGCAUCUUGCCGAUGAGGCGGCUGCGGAUCUGGCACUUGGUGGCGAACCUCCACGUGUCUGUUCGGGACGUGAUCUGCAUGGAACAUUGUAUUGAUCACCUGUCCUCCAAUCUGCGGACCACCAAACUGCUGUCCACCGAUUGGCUGUCCUCCGAGUUGCUGUCCAAAAUUCAUUGGCUGGUUGGGAAUCCCCUGACCUUGGAACCCGGGAUAGACCUGCCCUUGCUGGAACCCUGUAGUCUGAUAACCCUGCUGGGGCGAUUGUGGAAAGGCUUGCUGCCCAAGCCAUCCAUUAUUAGCGUUCAUCGGCAUAGGUGCUGCCGAUGAUUGGUAAUUGGGUACCGUCGUUGAAUUGACAUACCCCGACUGGGCCAUAGGCCUCUGUUGCAUCAGCAUUGACUCUGCCGAUGCGUUGGGCAUCUGGAACAUUGAAUCUUGAGGAUUCCCAGUGUGAGGCCUUGCAGUAGUAGUUGUGGUAUACCGAGGACUCUGGUUCACCGGCGCAUUGGGAGGUGCCGAUGUCAUAGGAGUUUGUGAUGUUAUUUGUGAUGUUCCCGGCGUCAACUCUGGAGGCAUACCAUAACCCCACCAGUUGGGAGGAAGAGUCAACCCUGACAUUGCCGAUGCCAACAUAUCUGUUGUCAGUUUAUGCUGCCCAACUGAAAUUUGUGGGUUGGUUGCCAUCGGCAUAGAUAGUGCACCAGUAGUCCCCGAUGUACUUGGAGGGACGGCAGGUUGUGCUCUUGCAUUCGUCAAGGCAGCCGAUGGAGCCGUGACCUCUGGUGCCGUUGGCUGAUGAUGGGAGGGCCCCACAUAAUCUGGCGGGAUUUGUCCUUCCUUGAAAGUUCUUGCCACGGCAUUGAAAACCGUAUUAGACAGUACACCAGCUUGGUUAAUCAACGCUCGAUUGAUGGCAUUGUCAACCAUAUCUUGAAGCUUGCCAGGAUUGGCGUCAAAGGUGACCUGCCGUGGUGCCGGCAGUGCAUCUUUCUGGACCACUUCGCCACUCCUGUUUAUGCUGAAAGACCUCAGGCAUUGCUGCUUGAACUCUUCCAUGGCUUGGGCAAUAGCUUGCUUCUGCUCAUCCUUGAGGUUGGCCUCCGUCACAGGGAUGACGUUCUCUUGAUCGAGGUCAGAGAUCGACAUGUUGAUCUUGAUCUUGAAUCUGUCCCACUGGGCGUGCCAAAAGAUGUGUUGAUGCAAAACUGAUCUGCAAACACAAAGGGCUAAUACCCGAUUCAAACGUUAAGGCGUGCCAGCCGAUUUGACCUUACUAUCGGCAAAGGUGAUAACUCGAAUACUUUAGUCCUGACAACAGCGAUGCGCCCGGAUGUCACGGCUAAGAGGUACUCACGCGGAACUCGAGAACACGCCGAGCUUAAGUCGACGAAUUCCUAAGAACUCGUAAUAAAAAGAAAAAAAGUAUGACGAAGUCGUCGAAAAGUAGAUGCUGGAAUAUGAGUAAAAACGCGUGUUUGAUUGAUUUCUUGAUUAAUUAUUACAAGGCCCUAGGGUUUAUAUUUAUACCCUGCUCAAAGAGCUACAACCAGACACGAUUAGAAUUCGAAUUCCAAAUUACACGGAAUCCGUAUACAAAACGAUGCAAAUAAUUAAGGAAACAACAAAACUAUCCUUCGUGACAAACCGAAACUCCUCCACAUGACAACUGGCAGCUUCCGGACUCCUCCUUUGCAUCAUCGGCAAUCCCUUUGCCAUAGUCAUCGGCAGACCUUUUUAUCCAGCCAUCGGCACCAUAUUACUGCCUGUGGACUUAGUCACAUUCAACUUCUCCCUCAUCGGCAACCAUCCUCAUCGGCAACCCGCUUUGUAAACAUCGUACUGCCACCUUAUCCUGCCAUCCUAGACACGUGCCCAAAAACGGUGUCAACACCCUCACCAUGUUCCUCCUAGAUUCACUAAGGCUACUGCAGCCAUGUCUUCCCCUGGUGCAAACCCUCACCAUGUUCCUCCUAGAUUCACUAAGGCUAGUGCAGCCAUAUAUGCAAACCCUCAACAUAGUACUCCUAGACAGCCUAGUGCAGCCAUCUCUUCUCUUGGAGCAAACACUCAACAAAGUACUCUUAGACCCACUGCCAUUAUAUCUCAGGAACCUACUCCCACAAAUAGUGUUACCCAAGCAGCUCAUACGGACACCUCGCCAGGGGCGCGGAGUUCUAGGCAAAGCAAUGACUUGAAUGAGUCAGCUGACCACUUUGAUGCUGCUACUUCAGAGGGUAAUGUGAAUGAAGGAGAACCAGAUGCUGACUUAAUUCCAGGUAAACACUAAAUGUUACAAGCAUUGUUGUGUCCAUUUAAUAUGUACAUUUGUUAUUCCUAUAUUAACACAAUGUUAUUAUUAUUUGUCAAUGUAGCGCCCAAAAAGAUUGUCCGCAAGAAAACCAUGGGUCAUGGUUUGGAGAAGAUGCUUAAUAGGGGAAAUCGGUUGGCUAUCCACGUCGCUGAAGGGAAGAAAAGGCCAGAGGUCCCAAUUCAAGCAGCGAAGCUAGCAUCAGAAACUGGUGUGGCCCUUAGAGACAAACUACCUAUCUACAAAUCAUGGAAGAGUUAUGAUAAUGAAGCAGGGCAGGCAGAAGUAGGAAAAGUGCUUGCUAGAGUUGCGGUGAGACAAAUAUUGAACUCAUAAUAAUUUCUAGCAUUAAUCUACUACCAUAUGAUAUAAUUGUUUCUAAUAAAUCAUUUGUGUGCCUAUAGUCAAGGUUGGAUGUCGAUACUAAAAAUGAGGGGCCAAGCAAAGAUGCCUGCACAGAUAUCAUAAAGUGGGGAGUGAGGCAGAUGAGGUAUAACCUGAAAAGGAAGUAUUUCGACGAGUCACUAACCAAAGAACAGUUGUUGGCCAUCCAACCUCCACCUAAAGUGAAGAAAGAGGAUUGGACCGAGCUGGUAGAGUAUUGGUGUGACCCAAAGAAUCAGGUCAAUAACUACAUUUUCUGCUUUUGUUACUAUGCAAUGCAAACUGAUAUAUAAUGCCAACAUAGCAUGUGAAUGAAAAAUCUGUAUUGCAUUUUUGCUGUAGGAAAACUCUGCCAAGAAUAAAGCAAACCGAGCCAAUGUACAGCUUCACCAAAGGACUGGAGCUAGGUCCUAUAUAGCCCAUCGUUACAGCCUGGUAUGUAUAUUACCAUGUGCUACUGAAAUGUAAACUUACCAUGUGCUGCAAUUACUUCUGAGAUGAGCUGUUAAGUCAAGAAAUUAAUAAGUUCAAUAUCUCUAUGGUGUGAAUGAGUGUUAUUGACUAUUGGUUUCAGCAGAUACUGAACUUAUGCCAAUACGAAAGCUGUGAUAUGUCAUGAAAUGAAUAACUGCAAUAUAUCUUUGCAUUUUAUUGAGUAUCUGAUUCUGAAAAUUGCCAUCUGAUUUCUGAGAUUAGCUUUAAUGUUCAUAUUUUGUGCCCUGUGCUAAGUGAGGUAUAUACAAUAGGUGCUUAUGCUCCAUUUCUUUUACUCAAAGCAUCUAUAACACAAAAUAGUAGUACAAUUGUUUAGUACUUGGGUUUGCUUAGGCCAUGUUAAGAGUCUAAACCUGUCCAGGCAGCAUUGAUGCAUGUUCUUGUGUAUUCUUUUUUCUUAAACUGUGAGUCAUGUUUUGACUAUGUUGUAUUGCAGUUGGCAUGUAACAAUAAUACUAGGCAAAUCUUAUAUCCCAAAUUUUUUACAUGUCUCAGAGGACUAAGUACAACAACAUGGAGCCAGAUGCAGUUGAGUUCUUUGGGGAAUGUAUGAAUAGUCCCCGAAAUGGUCGCACUCCACUUGCAAAUGAAAUAUAUGUAAGUUACAUGCACUGCACUCAAGUAAAUGCCUGGUUCAACACUUUCUAUGGCCUUUUACUAAUUACAUUCAUUUUAUGCAGGAACGAAUGGUUGCAGAGAAGGAUAGAGAGCUAGAAGAAGGAGAAGCACAAAAGUCACCCUCCAAGAUUGUUGCUGAUAGUCUCAGCCAGAUCAGCCGCUCAAACACCUUCCUUCCAAACAUGGGUGUCCCAAAAACUUCCAAGACUGGUCGGUCCACAUCGAUGGCUGCACAAGCAUGCAUGCAAGCUCAGUUUGAGGAAAAACUCCAAGCUGAAAGAGAGGAAGCUGCUAGGAAGCAAGAAGAGUUGCAAGCACAACUUCAAGCUCAACAGGCUGCACUUGAAGAAAACAAAAGUUUGCUGCGUGAGACCCAAGAGGAAGUGAAGGGGAUGCAUAGCAAGUUUGAAGAGACCAAUGCGAUGCUACGAGCUCUCCUGAAACUUCAAAAAGAUUGAGGUAGGGAUGCAUACCUCAAACUGAGGAUGAUGCCUUUGCUUCAUGUUUUCCUACCUUGCUAGAACAAAUGUGUGGUUAGAACUUUGUCAGAACUAUGUCCAAUCUAUUUGCAUGCUUCAAACCUUUGUGUUGGAACCUUUGUAUGUUUGUACCUCUGUUGUGAAACUUGGAACUAUGUGCAAUCUGUUUGCAGCAGUCUGAUGGAACCAGUAGUGUGCUGGAUUUGUGUAUGACUUGUGAUGUUAUGUGAUGCAACCAGAAGUGUGCUACAAUUGUGUAUGACUUCUUAUGAUAUGUGAUGGAACCAGCAGUUGGCUGGAAUUGUGAAUGACUUCUGAUGAGAAUGUUGUGUAUGUUGGCUUGCCUAUGUAUUGUAUGAUUAUGUCAGCCAACAUGAGAGCUCAGUGUGUCGUCACUGUUUGUGGGAGGCACUUUCGUCAAAUAAAUAUUUGACAAUAUGUGAUGCCAUAAAAUCGUCAUAAAAAGUGUACAGUUACCGUAUUAAACAAGACAAAACCAAGACGUCACAUUAUCUACGGACUCAAAUAAGACGGUUUUUAGACUUAUAUAUGACGGUCCAGAGUCAUCACAAAACAUACCCAAAACAGCCCCCCACGGCCCAUUACAACUUUAUAUGACGCGUUGACUAAACAAUAUGUGACAGGAACCACCGUCAUAUAUAGUAAUAACAUGUGACACAACAACGAAACCGUCACAAAAGAUAUUGACAAUAUGUGACGGUGCACUUAAGUAUCGUCACAAGGUACAUAAUGUGACGGUCGUUAUAUGACGACCCUUAUGACGCUGCAUUUUCGUCGUAAUGCUCUUUUUAUGACCAAAUUUGUACUACACAUGACAGUUUCUUUUUGUCAUACAAAGCCAAAAUUUUUGUAGUGUGAUAACCCCCUGCAGAAACAGAUAAACAACAAAACUCAUGGAAUUCUGUCAGAUCAAACCCUAAUUCUAGGUGUUGGUUGCAUAUUGGUCCUUUCUCUUGUUUAUUUGAUAAUUAAAAUUGAUACUUAAGAACCAUCAACACGGUGUUCUGGUUAGAGAGCUGCCUAUUGAUGGAGUUAACCGAGGACUGGAGCUCUAUGAUGAUCUUGUCUAGCCUACGAACGUCCUCAUCAACAUCUGCUAUAGUCUUGCGGCGCUUAGGAGGUGUCUCGAGAGCGUUGAGGGCGUGCUUUGGUGCUGUCUUCGAAGGGAUGAAGCGAACUUUGGCUGCUCUAACCCUCUCGAAGUAAGGUCUCUCCUCCUCUGUAGUGUAGCGGAUGCUGCUGAUCUCGCCGCUCCGGUUGGUCUUGACUCCAACGACCCGCUCAUUGGGCCUGGGUGGUAGGAUCCUCGUGCCGGCUGGCACCUUGACGGUGGCCUCCUUCUUGGCUGACGGCCCCUUGAGAAGUAGGGGCCGCGGCAGUGUGGUGAGAACUGGUUGGGCAUAGAAGGAUUGGGUGGAGCUGUGCUGGCGUGAUGGCAUGGCAAAAGCUUCAUUACUUUUUAAUCACAAAAGCUAUGAAGGCCCAUGAGGACUUAUUGGAAAGCCUGUCGAGUCUAUUUUCCAAUGAAUCUAGUGGCGACCAAUUUGGACACUCCAUAUUGCCUGCAGAGCAGAAUUAGUACAGACUUCUCAGAAGGUCAACAGUCUGUCGUGACAGAAUGUUGGUACAACUUGCCAUGCAAAACUGUACCAAUCUACAACGUUUCGUGGUGCAUGGCAUACAUUUCUGGAAAGCUCUUGGAGUCUAGUUUCACAUCCAAGAAAUGGUUCACCAUUUGGACUUCCCAAUAAAAAGUUAUGGUCAGUUUAUUGGAAACUGCUCUGGAGGCCAACAGUCACGCGAAGCCAGUUCGGGAAUCCAUUCCGAGGGGACCUUUCACAUUGCCUUCCCUCAGAAACUCUAUUUCGUUUUCACACCUAUCUAGGAGGAUUGUUGCUAGUAUAAAUAUCCCCUACCUCUAAGCUAUCAGCAACCUUUGAUCAUUUGAUAAACUACAUGAUAUUAUAGCCGUGCUGCUGAGUGCCUUACUCAACCUUUGUUCUUCCUUGUUCUUCAUGGACUUGUGAAGUGAAUCCUCUGGGUUCCCCUACUUCAUGCUCUAUGGCUUCCAUUCGGCUGCGCCGUAUUGUGUGGAUUAGUUCCGGAUUGUGGUUUUGCGGUCGUUCGGAGAUCGAGUCGAAGUCUUCACGGUUUCGGUGCCUCUCUCCCCGUCGCUUGGUCGCGUCCAACCUUUGUCAGGUAUAAAGCUAGUUAUCCGCUGUUCGCAGCAAGUUAUCCUUGUUCUUUUGAUCUACUAUCGUGAAGAUCGGGCCACCCUCGUAUCGAUUAAUAUCGGUAACCUAUCAAUUACCAUAUAUGAGUUUAUCGCGACGGAGGAGACCGGGGCCGAGGGGAGACAGGGGCUAGGCGCCCGCCCUCAUCAUCAGGGCGCCCGCCCUGUGCCUGGCUCCUUUGUGGGGCCGCCUCCUCGAGCAUGCUUCUAGAUGCAAAAUUUGUUCGAAAAAUAUAUACGUGGUCCAAAAACGUCAGAUUAAAAAGGUCGGGCUCUAAUUCUCCAUGAGAAGGUAAAAAUGGAUCACGUCUAUUUCUUCUAAUUCUUUAUUGGGAAGGGAAAGUUCUAAACUACUCUAAGCACCCUUCAACUCCAAAUGGCACUUAGACCUAAUCUAGUCUUGACGAUGUCCAACAAUCCUUUGAAAACCGAAAUGAUUUCCACCAUCAAGUAGGCACGAACAUACGAGUCCAUCGAUCACCAUUACCACGACCUAACUCAAAUCAUUUGCCACAACAAAACACACGUUAGUCAUUGUAAUCAACAUUGUCAUUAAACACCAAAACUCAUUAGGGGCCUAGAUGCUUUCAUGCUCUAAUCAAUGAGUUGACAAAGAAAGAAGUGUCUUUUAAAUGGGGAGAAGCAUAAGAGAAGGCAUUUGAAGAAUUGAAAAUGAAGUUGACAACAACCCCACUUCUUGCACUUUCAAUUUUUGGUAAGACAUUUGAAAUUGAAUGUGAUGCAAGUGGUGUGGGAAUUGGUGGCAUGCUCAUGCAAAAGGAGGCUGAUUGCAUACUUGAGUGAAAAGCUAAGUGGGCCAACUCUAAAUGACUCAAUUUAUGAUAAAGAAUUAUAUGCUCUUGUUAGGAGUUUGGAAACUUGGCAACACUACCUUUUGCCUCAAGAAUUUGUGAUACAUUCAAACCAUGAAUCUUUAAAACAUAUUAAAGGUCAACUAAAACUGAAUUGAAGACAUGCAAGAUGGAGUGAAUUCAUUGAGUCUUUUCCUUAUGUUGUCAAGUACAAGAAAUGGAAGGAUAAUGUUGUAGUUGAUGCUUUGUCUCGACGUCAUACUUUACUUUCACAACUUGAUACUAAAAUUCUUGGAUUAGAAAGUAUAAAAGAAUUAUAUGCCAUUGAUUCAUAUUUUGCUGAACCAUAUUCCAAGUGUUGUGGUGGUAAGGGAUGGGAAAAAUUCCAUUUACAUGAUGGUUUUUUUGAGCUAAUAAACUCUGCAUUCUAGAUUGCUCUGUUCGCAUUUUGCUAGUGUAGGAAGCUCAUGUGGGAGGACUUAUGGGCCAUUUUGGUGCAAAGAAAACAGAACAAGUGCUGGCUGACCAUUUCUUUUGGCCUAAGAUGAGAAGAGAUGUGGAGAGGCAUGUUCUUUGCUAUGAAACCUACCACAAAGCUAAGUCCCAUUUGAACCCACAUGGUAUAUAUACUCCUCUACCUAUUCCUAGUGUACCUUGGGAAGAUAUUUCUAUGUACAUUGUUCUUGGUUUACCUCGAACUAAGAGGGGAAGGGCUUCUGUAUUUGUUGUGGUUGACAGGAUUAGCAAAAUGGCACACUUUAUUCCCUGUCAUAAGAGCGAUGAUGCUUCACACAUUGCUAAAUUUUUUUAGAGAAAUUGUGCGUCUACAUGGAGUGCCAUGUACCAUCGUGUCUGAUCAAAGACACUAAGUUUUUAAGCUACUUUUGGAAAACCUUGUGGGGAAAACUAGGAACAAGGCUGCUAUUCUCCACAACAUGUCAUCUUCAAACUGAUGGACAAACCAAAGUUGUGAACCGCACACUGUCAACAUUACUGCGAGCUGUCUUGAAGAAGAAUCUAAAAUUGUGGGAAUAAAGCUUGCCUCAUGUGGAGUUUGCAUACAACAGGGCGGUUCAUUCGACCAUAAAUUUUUGUCCAUUUAAGAUUGUCUAUGGGUUCAAACCUACUGCUCCCAUCAUUCUUUUGCCAUUGCCUAUGCAAGAAUGUGUGAACUUUGAUGCAAGCGAGCAGAAUUUAUCAAGAAGCUUCAUGAUCGAGCUAAAGCAAACAUUGAGAAGAUGACCAAGCUAUAUGAGAAGUGUGCCAGCAAGGGUCAUAGGAAGAUGUUAUUUGAACCAGGAGACUUGGCUUGGGUGCACUUACACAAGGAUCACUUUCCUAAACAUUGCAAGAGUAAGCUACAACCUCGAGCUGAUGGGCCAUUCAAAGUGCUUCGCAAGAUCAAUGACAAUGCAUAUGAAAUUGACCUCCCAAGUACAUAUGGUGUGAGUACAAGCUUCAAUGUCGCCGAUUUAUCUCCUUUCUUUGGAUUGGAAGAGUUGAGGAUGACUCCUUUUCAAGAGGGGGAGGAUGAUGAGGACAUCCCUGCUAUGCAUGCUCGUUCAAGUCCAAAUGCUACAAAUCAAGGUCCACUUACAAGAAGCCGUGCUAAGAAGCUACAAGAGCAGGUGAAUUCUUUUCUUACUAAUUGUAAUUUUUACACUUGAAUGUUAUACUACCUAAGUGCUCUACAUUGGUUGUACUUAGGAAUAUACUUGAAGCGAAGGAAGAGAAACUGAUAUAGAAUUGCGACAUUAGAAAAAUAACACGCAUGAAUGUUUGGACGUCUGAAAGUGGUUACAUGAAUGUUUGGACAUCAGAAAGAAGCAGUUAUAACUCUCAACUCCUUGAAGCUUUGGAGGCCCAUGAGGACAUUUGGAAAGCUCAUCAAGUCCACUUUCCAAUGCCACAAUCCACACCUCAUUUGGACGUCACAAUCAAGAGUUAUGUUUGGAUUAGUCAAGACUGCUUAGAAGGUUAAUAGUGUAUUGUGACAGAAUGUUAGUUCAACUUGCCGUGCAAAAUUGUACCAAUCUACAAUGUUUUGUGGUGCAGGGAAUAUGUUGCAAUAAAGCACAUAGAGUCUAGUUUCACACCCAAGAAAGGGUUCAUCAUUAGGACUUUCCAAUGAGGAGUUAUGGUCAGUUUAUUGGAAACUACUCUGGGAGGCCAACAGUCACACGAAACCACUUCGAGAAUCCAUUCCGAGGGGGCCCCUUCACACUGCCUUCCUUCAGAAACUCCAUUUUAUUUUCAUACCCACCUAGGAGGGUUGUUCCUAGUAUAAAUAUUCCCUAUCUCUAAGCUAUUAGAAAACCUUUGAUCAUUUGAUAAACUACAUGAUAUUGCAGCCGCACUGCUGAGUGCCUUACUCAACCUUUGUUCUUCCUUGUUCUUCUUGGACUUGUGAAGUGAAUCCUCUAGGUUCCCCUAGUCUGUGCUAUUUCAAUUACCAUUUAGCCACACCGUUUUGUGUGGAUUAGCUCUAGAUUAUGGUUCUAUUGUUGUUUGAUGAUUGAGUUAAAGUCUUCAUGGUUUUGGUGCCUCUCUCCUCAUCGCUUGGUCGCAUCCAACCUUUGUGAGGUAUAAAUCUAGUAAACCACUAUUCGUAGCAAGUUAUCUUAGUUCUUUCAAUCUACUAUCAUGAAGAUCGGACCACCCUCAUGCCUAUUUAUAUCGGUGUUGAUGGUCACUAUUGCUCAUUUUUAACCAUAAACUAUUGCUUGAUAUGACAUGAUAUGAACCACAAAGCAUAGUUAUAGGGGUUUAUCCUAACGAGUUGCAUGAGUUGUGUUAUGAUCACUUGUCUUGCAUGAUAUUCAAUAUUUCACCAUAUAAAAGUAUCUCAAGGGAAGGUCUGAGUACGCCAUUGUAGAGAGCUCAUCAAAAUGAUCGAGACAUACAUAUCAUUUACUAUAUUUGGAGAACAGGAGAGCAAGUCUUCGAUGGAUAUGACUUGGAAGACUCAAAGACCCUCAAACCAUCAUCAUCAGAAGACCAGGGACUAAACUAAUAAGAUUCCAUAGUUCUGUGAAAUAAUAUUUUCCAAGGAUUUAUCCAGAAGUUGGGAAAGGAAAGAAUCCAUCCACGACACAACUCAUUGUGUAAACAGAUCGGAACGUGGCACUAGAAGGACGUGGAAGACACUAGAAGGCAUAGGAACAAAGCGGAGGCUCAGUGGCUACCAUGUGGGGCCGAUCGGCCCCACAUGCUAGGCCAGCCGGUCUAGGCCCACUACUAGGUGUGUCCCCCUUCGCAUGAUGGCCUCUAACCAACCUCUACAAUGCAUCUCAACCAUUGUUUUAAGUUAGUUUGAUCUGAGGUCUGUGAUUCACCCCACUAGGCUAUAUAUAGCAGGGCCAGACCACCCUUAGGCAUCUCCUUCUGAUAAUUCAUCUCCAGAGCAAAAGCUAGGGUUUCACCCCUCAUCCAAGUAUAAGUAGAGGUCCCUCUAGAUGAUCGUCUAGUUCUAGUUUUUCUAGUUCAUCUUCUAGUUCUAGUUCUAGUUCAUCUAGUUAUAAACUAGAUAAGAGGAAGAGAGAAGAGGAGAGAUCCGAGGAGCCGGAUCUAUCGGAUCUUCCUCAACAUUAUACAUUUGCAGUAGCCGGUUCAUCUUUGGGCAAUCUCUAGGUUCUUUAAUUUUAUAAUUCUUGAGUUCUUCAUUUAAUUUUCAUAAUUUACUUUUAAGUUAUUUAAUCGAUUCCCACUUGCAUCAAGUGCUCUAGCUCUUUGAUAUGCUAAAGUAGUAAUUAAUAGGUUAAGCGUGGCGCUUAGUCUUGCAAUUACCUAGAAUUACACCCAAUCCAGUAGAUUGUUGUGGUAGCCCCAAGAUCAUGAUAGUCCUGACAUUCGACGUAUCCCACCACAUUCAGAUCGGUGUUUAUACGACCAUAGUCAGAACUUCCUAGCCCCCUUCUCAUCCCUUUUUGUGGUUUGUGUUCUGAUGUCCUAAAAUAAGUAACCCUAAAGUAAACCCUGAUUCCUAGAUUAAUCUAUAUGACUCUUAGGAAAAUUCCUCUCUCCCUACAAAAUCAUAUAUAUAGUUAUCCUUGGGCAAUCUAAACCUCAACUAGUACACUUCGUGUUCCUCGUGGAAAACCGAUACCUUGGAAUACUCCCGGGUGAAAGCUACAUCGAUAUCCAUGCACUUGCGGAUUUUUCUGUUUGUGUUUAAAAUACCCAAUAAGCUUUCUGGCAUCGUUGCUGGGGAAUGGUAGCUAUUCUAGAAUCAAACCAAGUUCAUUUGAGUUUUCUUUUUCAUUUAUCACCUUUUUAUUUUAUCAUUUUUUCCAACAAUAACCCAAAUUCCAUGCCAAUCUAUCAAUGUGCUACACCCAUGAGCACAAGCUUAGAGCAACCAGAGUCCAUGAUUCUCAUAUCUAGCUAUGAGUUGCGCCCAUGUUUGGUUGCAAUAGGUCAAAACCAACCCUUUUCCAUAGCCAAGGUCCUAUCUUCUAAUCAAGAAGGUAAUGAACCCAAUGUCCUAUCUUCCAAUCAAGAAGGUAAUGAACUUUUGGCUACACUAAGGGAAUCUUACAAUCUUCUUAUAAAGUUAGGUUUAGAUCUAGCCUCACAAGACCCUGUUCCUCUCUAAUAUUUUUAUACGGGUCUUGAUAAUAUCACCUUUGGAGGAGUUUUACUUUCUUUGUCCAUUAGUAAAGCAAGGUUUGUCCUUAUUAGUAGACAUAAUCCUUGCAGUAGCCUUCAUGAUGAACUCCUAGAGGUAAAGAAGGAAUCAUCCCCCAAACGAGGAGAGGAAGUUUCCAUAGUCACAUUACAAAUAUUUUAAUUCUAUGAUUUGGCUAUCCAUCCCAAACUAGUUGUACUCCAAACUCCUCUAAGGGAAGAAGAAAUUCUACCCUAGCCUUUUUCAAUGAUGAUUUUGGGAGGAGCGUAAACUUCCUGCUUCAUAAGAGAUAUUUUAGUGCAUAUAGUUUGAAUCUUCUCAAGAAGGGAUCUCUUAGAAAGUGUUCCAAAUCCAAUCGCCUUGAAGGAUAUUUAGGAAGAGUGAAGGAUGGCAAGUCUAGUGAUGCCAUAGUAGGAGAGCAGAACUACAUAGAAGACAAUCCUAUCCUCUUCACUUCUAAGCCCACACUAGAUGACUUCUACGAACCCACUAUUGACAGUCCUUAAGUACCAAAUAUAAUCAUCAAAUAAAUAAAGAAAAGGAUCCAAAUACAACCAACACCCAAACUUAGGGUUUUAUCUGACAGAAUUCCACGAGUUUUGGUGUUUGUCUAUUUCUGCAGGGGGUUAUCAGGAAAUAUGGAGGAAAGGCCCACAUGUCGGGUUUACAUAGAGAUAUUAACGUGCCGCGCAAUUUUCUAUCAUCUAGAAGACUCCAGAAGCCACGGGAACAAAUGGGAAGGCGAUCGGGCCCGGGGGCAGGGCGCCCGCCCUCCCCCCUAGGGCGCCCGCCCUGAGUUGGAGUCCAAUGAGGACCCGUCUCGCGGAUUACGCUCCACCGACCUAAAGGAUCAAGGAUAACCGUUCAAUCAAUGUCGGUUUGAUCCGACGGCCCAAAUUCACUUGAGGGGACUAUAUAAGCAGACCCCCUGGCCCCUGGAGGAGGAGAAGUUCAUUGUAGAGUUGAGAGGUGCCCUCGAAGGAUAACCUUUCCUCUACAUAGACAGAGCAAAAGCUAGGGUUUGGAGAUGAGAGCUCUCCUCUCAUCUCCAAACUAGAGUAGAUCUAGAUAGUAGCGAGAUGGAGAGCGAGGGAGGAUUGGAGGAGAGGCUGGCCUGUCGGUUCUUCCUCCGGUUGUACUUGGCCAUGAUCAAGUUCUAAUCAAGCUUGCUCAUGGGAUGACUCUGGUAAUCUACUUCUAUUUCAUUAUGCAAUUACUAUUCAUGUAUGUUCUGGUUCACAACUCUUUUGAGUACUUUUAAUCUAUAGGACCCUAUAGGUUAGAGUUGUAGUAUAGGUGUAAGCGUGGUGCUUAGACCUAGAUUACUUGUGGAUAUCCCCUGUCUAGCUGGAUCGUGUGGUAGGCCGCGUAGGUGACAGUUACGUUGGUCCCCUGUAGUCCACCUCCUGUUAGCAGGAUGGGUAGGGUUCAUCGGCCUAUGGAUAAGCAUCCUUUGUGGUGUAUUCUUAUCACGUGGUUCAUCCCAGACAUAGACAUACCCCUUUGAAGUAGAGAAACCAUAGUUAUCAUCUCUAUUAUCCUACCAUCGCCCAUAUACUAGAUUGCUCUACUCUCUAUUCCCAUAUUAUCACCCAUUGUUAUAUUACCUUUAAUAUUGUUCUUAUUCAAUUCUACCAUCUUUCCUAUUUACACCUACCUAUCUAUCUAGGUUAAGUUAGAGUGUAGAUCAGUUCUCCCGUUUCCCUGUGGAUAUGAUAAAACCUUUAACCGGGUAAAAGCUACAACGGUAUCCGUGCGCUUGCGGAUUUAUCUGUGUGCGUAUAAAUACCAUAGUACACUCUAGUGCCAUGCUGGGGAUGACAACCUAGUAUUCAAGUGGUGUUAGCAAGUGUCAACAAGCAUUUUUUGGCGCCGUUGCUGGGGAAACGGUUGCUGAGUUGACUACGAACUAGCUUAAUCAUUUUUCUAAAAAAUAAUAAAAAAAUACUUUUCCUUUUAUCUUUUGCCUGAUCUCUACUAUUCUUUCCUCUUAUCUAAUCCUUGAUUUCUGGUCUAUCAUGAAUGCAAACAUGUCUAUCUAUCAGUUUCAUAGACCUACGGGCACACAUCUCGAACCACCAAAAUCUUCAAAGCCUAUCAUAGCAUCUAAUUUUGAGAUAGACCCCGAAUACAUACAAUUUGUUCGAAAACAACCUUUCUCAGGAGAAGGUGAGGAAAACCCAUACACACACUUAAGAGAGUUUUAUCAAGUCUGUGACCUCCUUCGCAUUGAAGGCAUGUCCGAUGAGACCCUUAAAUGGAAGCUCUUUCCGUUCUCUUUAUCAGGAAAAGCUAGACAUUGGUACAAACUCAAAGUAGGGAGUGUUCACGGAGAUUGGAAGGAGUUAUAUAAUAGUUUUCUUUUUAAAUAUUUUCCAAUCUCCAAAGUGGUGGAACUUCGGUGUGAGAUUCUUUCUUUUAGACAACUGGAAGAAGAAUCUCUCAGCAAAUCAUGGGACCGCUUUAUUAACCUUACUCUCACUGGCCCAAAGCUUUCUAUUCCAGAAGAAGUUCUUCUAAUUCACUUUUUUGAGGGCCUUAGUAGGGAAAAUAAGAAAACCGUGAAUACAGCCUCUAGAGGAUCCUUCUAUCACCUACAUGCUAGUGAAGCUAGGGAUUUAAUUGAUUCAUCGAGUGGGAAGUUUCCUAGCAUUUAUAUCCCUAAGAAAGAGAAAGAACCAGUUCCUAGACAAGAAGAAGUUUUGAUAGCCAGAUCACAACCACUUCAAUUCCAAACUUUAGCUAUCGAUCCUAAACCAUCAAUAUCCCAAAAUUCUCCAAGGGAGGAAGGAAUUCUCACCUUAAAUCUUUCAAAUGCUGAUGGUUUAGACUUCUGGUUCCAUAAGAGACCUUCAAGCAGGGAUAAUUCAAAUCCUUGCAGUAAUGGUUCUCUUAGAAAAUGUCCUGGUUCCUAUUAUGAAGAAGUUGAGGAUGACAUAUCAAGUGAAGGAGAGCUAAAUCAUAUAGGAAAUUCUAUCUGCUCUCCUUCCAUGUUCACAAAUUCUAAAUCCAUCCUUGACCUUAGAGACCCCUCUUAUCCCUCUCCUUUUAAGUCUCAUGAUGAUCCUAGCAAUCCAUCAAGACGACCAAACCAUAGGAGUCAUGAAGACCAUAAGGAUGGCAUGUCAAGUAAUGCCAUAGAAGGAGAGCUAAGCCAUAGAGAAGAUUCUAUCAGCUCCCCUAUCUUGAUCACAAGUUCUAUAUGGCUGGAAUGUGUAGAAUGGAUGAACAAGGAAGAAGCCUUAAUGGAUUCUGACUUUGGCUCAAUUUCAAAUGGUGAGUUCUUGACUCCCUUUGAAGAUGAGAUUCAUCCAACUAUAGAAAAGGACAUAGGUGAGACCAAUCCAGGAGAAACUCCAAACAUUCAGAUUGGAGAUGAAGAUAACAUUAAUGAGCAUGGAAUUUAUUUCAUAGCCACUUCGUUUACUCCAUGCUCAUAUGUAACAUCUUCCCAAUCUAUUGGUCUCUCUAACAUCACCACAUUUGAGAUCUCCAACCCCCUCUUCUUUUCUAUUUAUAAAAACUUUAAAAGGGCGGUUGUCGAUGCAUAUGUCUAUAAUAAAUAUUGUAGAUCUCGUUGAGUUGAUCUUGAUAUAGGUCAGCGUUGGAAGGGAAACCACUCCGCCGACAUAAAUUGAUGGUUUCCCAAGGACAAGCUUAGUGUCCUAAAAUAAGCACUGAUCAGAUCGUAACAUGAGCUUUUAAUUAUUUGCAAAUUACCUUGUGUAUUGAGCAUAUAAGGAUAAUUGUAAAAAUAUUCCUUCGGGUAUUCUUGUCACUAACCUUUCCAGGAUUGGAGCAAGAAGAUCGAAUGAAUGACAAGCACAAGGUAUGUCCAACCGAUCAGCAUACAACAUUGAAUUAAAUUCAUCCAAACUUAAAUUUUACAAAAUUCAAGCUUGGGGGAGUACUUUACAUAAAAACAUCCUUUGCCAUGUUGCUAUGCUGGUUGUCCCUACCUUUGAGACAUGCUCAAUUUGUUAAAUACUAAUCACACUACUUCAUCUCCACUACCUUUGUCUAUUUACUAGCAAGUGUUGGUUUGGAAGUACUCGACAUACUUCCAUUGGCAUUUAAAUUAAGCAUGGUGCUUAGGUUAAAUAGCCUUCCUUAAUCCGAUUAGACAUGGAGUCUACUGUUGAUAUUUGGUAACGCAAUUAGAAAAUGAUCCGCAAGCGCAUGGAUAUCGGUGAGCAUUUCACCCGGGAGGUUAUCCAGAGUUAUCGUAUUUAUAUUUUUACCACUGGGAGAAAGGGUGCAUCUGACUAACCAAAUCUAGGCUACUAUCCCUUUAGGCUACAAAGAAUGUCUCUCAAUGUGAGUGAUGUAUAGAGAAGAUUGCAACCUUAGUCUCCUUCUAACCUUGGUAAGGAUGAUCUACUGUUCUAUUGGGGAGGCUCACGGAAUCUAGACAACACAAAGGAUGUUCGACCCGCACCUAUAAACCUACCCGUCCUGCUAACGAGAUGUGAUCUGCAAAGGUAACUCGGAAAUGUCACGUUCCUUGCUACUACCACGGUCCAGCUAGUCAGGGGAUAUCUAUGAGUACCCUAGCCUAAACACCACGUUUACGCUAACAAGUGAUUACUCUAAUACUCAACCGGAAGAGGAUUAAAGUAAACUCAUAAACCAAAGAACAAUAAAACAAGAACUUACUAGUAUUAGAAGUCGAAUUACUGAAGAAUCUUAGAAGCAAGCCUCGGGUUAGGAGACUUGAUCCCGCAGGUACAACUCGGAGUAGACACCGACAGGCCGGCCUUCCUCCGAUCCACACCUCCACUCUAUCUCUCUCAAUCUAGUAGAAACUAGAAGAUCUAUUUCUACCUUACAUUGGUUGCUAAGCCUAAAAAGAAAUAUUAUUUAGAGAAGAGGUUUUCCUUCGAGGGCACCCCUCAAUCUCUAUGAUAAUUUCUUGUCUCCUCCAGGGGCCAGAGGGGGUCUCCUUAUAUAGUCCUCCCCUUCUAUGUGUUUUUGGGUCGAUAGGCGAGGUGGUACUAUGUUAUUCUGGAUCCAAUAGGUCGGUGGAACGUCGUGUGCGAAGAGAGUCCGGAACGGAGUCCAGAGGUGAGCGGGCGCCCAGGUCCUCAGGGCGGGCGCCCUGGGCCUGGCCCCUUUCGGCCUCCGCUUCCUUCCCGUGGCUUCUGGAGUCUUCUAGAUGGUAGAAAAUUGCGCGGUGCGUUGAUAUCUCUAUGUAAUCCUGACAUGUGGGCCUUUCUUCCUUAUUUCCUGAUAACCCCCUGCAGAAAUAGACAAACACCAAAACUCGUGGAAUUCUGUUUAAUAAAACCCUCAGUCUAGAUGUUGAUUUCAUUUGGAUCCUUUUCUUUGUUUAUUUGAUAAUUAAAUUUGAUACUUAAGGACCGUCAACAAACUCCCCCAAGCUUACCUCUUGCUCGUCCCUGAGCAAGGAUGAACUCAAGAGUUUCUGCAGUGGUUUCAUUUCUUAGAAGUACACACGCAUUUAAGCAAGAUCUCAUCUCUGAGUUAGAAUAAACUGUUAAGACUUAAAACUUACUUACUUUACCUACACCAUAGGACUUGUAACCGUCACUUCUGUCUUGAGUGGUUAAAAGAUAGAACAGUCUAGCCAAGUGUCAUGUCUCUUAUUCUUGAUCAGCUAUAGCUCUGGGGUUUUUUUGCAGAUUUUCAAAUAAAACUCAGAAAUUCCUUGUAUGAUUCUCUCAGGUCUCUCUUUUGUGGUAUUUUUGGAUCCUUACCAAGGCAGUGAUGGUAUAUGCCUUCUCUCAAGAUAUGUAGUAUUUGUGGUAUGAAGCAUAGUGACAUUGUCUUCUCUCUCACCCUACUCUAAUAAGGCUUUAAUAUCUGGAGCUCAUAGGUGGGAGAUAAAGUAUACAUACUUACAAGACAUUUAUUGCAUAGUCAAACCAUGGAUCCAAAGAAACAAAUCAAUAAGCCAAAUCAAGAUGUGCAUGUGUGGCGAAUGAAUGGUGUAUGGUGAUGAUGGUGAUAACAAUGGUGGUGGAAGUCUAAUUCUACUUUGCUCUUUGAGGGGAUACAUACCUUCCUUGCUUUUGAAACUUUAUGAGGAGAAUGAGAUGCUCUUCUUUUUUUCUUUUCUUUCGAGGUUCUGAGCACUUGCUCCUUUUUAUUUCCUCGUAUCUUUUAUUUUCUUUUUCUCUCUUUUUUUUCAGAGCAUUCAUCUCUUGAGAUAAUAUAGCAAGUGGUAGUAACAAGAUAACUUGAGCAUUUAUUUCACAAGGGGAAACAGAAAUAUUUUUGGUUAUUCUCUCCCGGAUUAGGAGUAGAAUACUUUUGGGUGGUUUUGGAGAUGGAAAUGAGUGGAUAUAUGUGGAUGGUACUUCCGGAGUAGAAGUAGCAUGUAUGAGUGAACGUGCAAGUGAAUCUUGAUUUAACCACAUGACAAGCUCCUAAGGGUCUACACAGCUUGACCACACUCAAUGCUCAUAAGCAGUAAAUAGUAAAUGUGUGGCUCAAGGUCUAGCAAGCAUGUAUAUAUGGCUGUGGUAGGAAUUCAAACUCUCAUCAUACAGGAACUCAUCAUGCAAAAUUUUAAAGAUUUUUAAAGAUAAAAUUCUCCAGAAUUCUAGCAUCUCUAGGAACAGAUAAACAACAGCUCAACCUUCCCAUAUCGUAUCCGUUAACAACUUAGACUUCAGAUCAAGUUUUCAUCCCACAAGUUUAGGUCUAGAGAAAGCCUUAAAUUAUAACAGUUAUACCUAAACUUGAGAGAGAACUUCAAAUUUGCAAAUUAGGCAGAGCAACUAUUCAUCAUAUCCAUGCUUAAGUUUUAUUAUUAAGAUUCAGAUUAGCAUAGCCACUUUAUUAAACACACUAAGCAAAAGAUAUAUAAGCAUAAAAUCUUUAUUUGGUUUUUCAUAGUUAUGUAUUUUAAUAUUCUAACAUAAUAUAAGUAUAAAGAUAGGUAGAAAUACUUAGUGAGAUAAAUGGGGGUGCUCUCCCCCAAGAUAAAUUUUGACGUAAUUUCUCUUGAUGUAGCUAGCAGGUGGCAGAGGUGUGUUUGAAAGUCACCAGUAUUUUGACAGCGAUUAGAAUGUCCUCCGUCUGCUAGUCUUCUUGAUUCUUAAAUUCUGUGGAGCUCAAAUAGACAACAAAGCUUGUGGAACUGAUUAAGUGCUAGCAUAAAUAUCUAGCCUUUAUCAUGCUGAGACUCCUUAAUAAAUAUUACUCCCUGUUUUUAUAUUUUUGUUUUUAUAAAGCAGAAAAAUAUUUAUUUUAUUUUUAUGCCACCACAGUGAAUGUACUUAUGGGUUUUAUGCCACUCGUCUACUCACAUGGGGCUUACAGUUUUUUUUCACAUUUUUAUUUUCUUUCUAGGAUAAUACAAACAUGAUUAACUAAGUAAACUAUUUGAAAUAAUUAAAAGGGAAAGGAUAACUACCAAGUUUACCUCUUGGCAAGGCGUUCGGUGUUUUUAAGUCCUCCGAACGGGACUCUCUGUUUUCUCAGUGGUCCUGGGAUUCGCUGGAUGGCGUAGUCGGUGGUUCCGGCGGCGCCUCUUCUUCAUGUAUAACUAUCUUCUCUCUCCACACCUGACUCUGUGCUACGGUCUCCUCAGGACAGUUCUGUUCAAGUUGUAUGUCUUCAGACCUUAUCACUUCUCUUUCGUAGUCUACCCAUCCAUCCUUGAUGAUUUGCCUCCUCUGGUUGCGGUUGCGUUGUCUUCUUCUUGUCCUGACCUGCUUAGAAUCUUCAACUAUAUAGUUAGAAUCAUUAAAGUAGUGGCGUACCUUCUCAGAGGGGAAGUGCAUGUGGACUUCUCCGGUUCCAAUAUAGAUGAUGGCUUUGAUAGUGUUUGAGGAACGGUCUUUCAAGGAUGGUGGGUGGAUCAUACUCGUCUUCUCCCAUGUCAAUGAUCUGAAAGUUAUCUAGAGCUGAAUAUAUAUUGGUUGUAGGGGCAUGGUUCCAUGCAGGAGCUGAUAAGUGACUGCGGCCAUUAUGUUGACGUCAGAUCCGGUGUCGUAGAGUGUCUUCUAAAAAGAGUAUCUGUUGAUUGUGUACUCGAUGCUUGGAACACCAGGGUUGUCCUUCUUGAUCAAGAAAGGUGACUUGAGUCAACGAUCUUGACCUCCUUGAGUUGCAGUGACCCUCUUAGUUGACUUGGUCCACAUUUGCUUGUUCCUGUUCCUCCUGUUGGUCCUCUUCCUUGGUUCAUGUCGGGAUUGCUCUGAAGUUUGUGUGUAGUCUUGUUCUUGAAGGAAACUCUCCUUCUUCCCCUUGAUGUAGAGACUGAUCUUGUAGAUGACUGCUCUGGUGUUUAAGAAUGGCCUCCCUAAGAUGAUGGGUGCUCUCUCCUCACUACCAGUCUCUAUCACCACGAAGUUUGCUGGAGUGUACAAGGUACCAACUCGGACACAAAGGUUCUUCAAUAUUCCUUUUGGAAAAGUUAUCGCCUGAUCUCCAUUGUGUUUGUGCUUGUAGAUCCCGGUUCUUCACUUGAUGGAAUCUGGGAGUUGUAAAACGCCUUCACGUUUCUCAAAAUGUGUCCUGCUCAUAGAGACAAGGCAGAGAUCAAGUGCAUGGGCCCUGUUGGUGGAAAACACCAACAGAACCAAAAGUGUAUUUGUUCUUCUCUAACCUUAAGCAUAGUGAGCAAGACAAAGUCGAUGGAUCAUGAGUGUAGCAUUUAAAACAUUUGUUAGAUCAGAUGGCUCAACCUAAUGGAAAGAUAAUAUAUCUAUUUUUUAUGUUUUGUUUAUAUCUUUCAAAGAUUGAAUGUGCAAUACUUUAGCUUAUAUGAUUAGGAGUGUGGGAUCACGAUGGUAGUACUA
RNAcentral lists this long non-coding RNA (109323 nucleotides) under Sorghum bicolor (sorghum). Its description in RNAcentral is "long non-coding RNA (SBIC_LNC003120)". The stretch from base 3823 to 3929 matches the Rfam family "Plant small nucleolar RNA R71". Lineage: Eukaryota; Viridiplantae; Streptophyta; Magnoliopsida; Poales; Poaceae. The record is from RNAcentral.